GAUGGCGGUAGAGACACAUUCUUGGCAGCUACUAUUUGAAACAUCACCCCUGCAGAGAAACAGCCCGUAGACCACGUCAGAGUUUCUGCCAGAGGUUGUGCUGUAGAAUCGAUUGUCACGGGUGGCGUUGGAGGAUAGAGAGGAGAGCAGGUGAUUGAGAUCGGCUUGGUAAGUACCGUUUGUGGGAAAAGUGGUCGUGUUCGAACAACUAUGGUAGAGGUAAGUUUGUUGCGCUUCAAUGGUAAAGCUAAGCAAGGAGAGGAACAACAGAGUUCUGAAGGACUUGUAGACAAACAUUUUUUCUGUUUCUUUUUUCCUCGGACCGUAACAGAGAUGAGUUUCUCAAUAUGGGGUUUCCACCGGCACUAAAAGACUUGUACUUCAAGACGCCAACAGUGAAAAACCAGGUGUAGCCAAUUUAAUGGGCCGUCUUAGGCAACCUUGAAAGAUGUAAAGACAUUUACGUGUCUUUGAUGGAUGGGAUGGGAGUUGGAGAUAAAUGUCAAGUGCCGGUUUCACAUUCAUGGUGCCUUAAAAUCGCAGGCGCACUGAUUGGAAGUUAGUGCUCCUGGUUGUAACAUACUUUUUUCAUUACAUUUAGAUUUCUUUGAUCCUCUGUCAAAUGUGUCCCUACCAUUCCAUUCAUCUAAAGGAGGUUUUUUUUUUUUUUUUUUCAAUACUAUUAUAUAAAAAUAUUUUAUGAUUUAUUUUCAAAGUUCUUUGAUCUUUUGGUCGAAUAAGUAUAGUUUAAUUUUAAUAAUAAACGCUUGAAUUAAUUCUUUGAAUAAAAACAGAUAUACUUCAAAAAAGAAAAUCACAUACAUCUAUAGCCAAAAUUUUUUUUUCUUUUGUAUAUUAUUGAUUUAUGUAGAUAUCUCCCAUUCUUUUGUUGAAAAGGUUUAAGUACAUUUUUCGGUGUCAUUCAGCCAAAAAAGGCUUAACAAGUGUUCAGAAGCUAGCAUCCUUAGAAUAGUGCAAUAAAGGGAGAUGCAACUACUAAUCAAUCACCGAGGUGAGAUAUUUGAAAUUGUAACCUCAUUAACAGAACAGAAUUUAUUAUUUGAAGAUGAUUGAAUUGGUUCUGCAACAACACGUCCAACAGAAAAUGCAGGUUCUGCUGGUAUAGGAGGUGUUAUGGUCUCGCUUGCCAACAUGACAAUCACAGAUGACAUGGUAGGUCUGUCUGCUGGGUCUUCUUGCACGCACAACAGCCCAAUAUGGAUGCAUUUAAGAACCUGAGUGGCCACACACGACUGAACAAGGAGCGGGUCUAUUAGCUCCAUCCCUUGACCCUUAGACCAUAGUUUCCAUGCCUGCAAUGUUACUUAAAAUUAGAAUGGUACAACACUACAGCCAUCUACAAAGAUAGGAUAAAAACGUACAAACGUUAGGAGGCUUUCACCAUGCUCCGAGAGAUGAAAGCCAUUGUUCCUUUUGCCACUUAUAAUCUCCAGUAAAAGGACUCCAAAACUGAAAACAUCGGAUUUGACUGAAAAAAGUCCUUCCAUAGCAUACUCUGGUGCCAUGUAUCCACUAUUUCAGUUCAUAAAAAUAGAUAAAAUCAGGCUAGAUUAUGGAAAUAUCAGAACCAAGAAUCUUUCAGUUUGAACAUUGUGCUGUCACAAAAUUGAAGGAUGAUUACAAAUUUUAGAUUAUAAAGAACAGCAAUGUUCCUCUGCGGAACAAACCACAGCAAAGACUGUGAUCUGAUGUACUGCUUUUCCAUUUUAUGAGUUCAAUGCUGAUUCUUUCUUUUCAAUAAAAUUUUAUUUGACACAGACGCAAUAUUAAAGAUCAAAAGAAAACUACUGAAGAACCUAGAUUGGUAAAAAAAAAAAAAAAGAACUGUGAGCCUAGAAGUGCAUGGAAUAGUGGACUUACUAUGUUCCAACCACUCUAUUUGUAUUUGCUUCAUUUUGAUUUCCACCAAAAAUUCUUGCCAUUCCAAAAUCUGAUAUCUUUGGGUUCAUCUCGUGAUCUAGCAAAACAUUGCUAGCUUUAAGAUCUCUAUGAAUAAUUCUAAGACGAGAAUCCUCAUGUAAAUACAGGAUGCCUCGGGCAAUGCCCUUAAUAAUGCCAAGACGCUUCUGCCAAUCCAGUUGCAAACCAAUGCUUGAAUCUGGAAAGGAACCCCCCAAAAGAAUAAUAGUAGUUAGUUGAUUUUUUAACAUAUUGCAUGAAGAAUCCUGUUAAAAAACAGAAUGAAACAAUAAUUUUUUGUUUGAGGAUCAAACCAAAGAGGAACACAUCAAGGCUUUUAUUGGGCAUGUAUUCAUAAACAAGCAGUUUUUCGUUCUGCUCCAAGCAGCAGCCCAGGAGUCUCACAAGAUUUCUAUGUUGUAGUCUGGCAAUUAACAUCACUUCAUUCUUGAACUCAAGUAACCCUUGCCCAGAAGUUCUAGCGAGCCUUUUAACUGCAAUUUCUUUUCCAUCUGCCAAUUUGCCCUAAAAGAAGGAAUUACAAAGCAUCAUAAAAGAACUAAUUAUGUGAAGUUGAAGAGGUGCAUCGUAUACUAAAAGUAUAACAUUCCAUCACCAUGGUCACCUUAUACACAGGGCCAAAUCCACCUUCUCCAAGUUUAUUUUCAUCACAAAAUUGUUUUGUCGCUGCUUGUAAAAUAUCUAACUGAAUCGAGGGAAACUCCUGAGAUCUCACCCCACUCUCACCUUGAAAAUUUUCAAUUGAGUAGUCAUCGCCAGAUCUUCCUCCUAAUUCAAGUAACUGAACUUCUUGGCUGUUAUGAUCUAUAUUCUCUUCAAGAAAAAAUGAAGUGGAUGUAAGAUCCAAUUUCAUACCUUGAAAUUUUCUCCUUCUCCAAAGGAAAAUACCUCCAGAACAGAACAGAGUGACGCCAAAAAUCGUGGAUAAACUUGCAACAAUAGGAACCCACUUUGAUUCGCCUUUUUUGACACCUUCUAAGUCUGUUACUGCAAAAGAAAGUUAUCUUUCACUUGAUUAUUAGUGGAAUAAAUUUCUAAUUUUUGUGUUCUUCUUGCUGUUUCUAUUUUACGGAUAUGAAUUCAUUUAUAAUUAGUUUCUGUAGCAGGUAUUUGUCCUACUUUCUUUUUUGAUGGAUGAAAAGUUCAGUAAUUAAAAAUUAGGCAAGCUAAAUUCUCUAGCAUCUGAUGAUACUAACCGUUUGAGCCACUGGUUUUGUUUACUGAAGGUUGGGGUGCUUUUGGUUCAACUCCAGGAUUCUUGAUAAUCGUAUUGUUUGGUGAUUCGUCUCGAGGUUUUCCAUAAAAUGGAUAUAUCUCAUACCUGAUGUUACAGCUUGGUCCUAACACUCUCGCACCUUGUUUUCCAAUUGCGAAAGAUGGGAUUACAGCAAUUGAGCUACGUAGACAAGAUUGACAGUCUGCAACUGACAAAUCACGGGUGCAUUGAGCAAGUCCAUACAGCUUCAUAGAAAUUGAAACAUUAACUUCUGUAGUUGCAUACAUGCGGUUAGAAGCAUUUGAAAGCUUCGUAAUCAGAUUGUUGUAAGUCUCGGCGAGAUUCUUUUCAAAUUUAUCAGGAUCCGUUACAUUUUUAAUAUUAUACAUACCAAUAGAAGGUGAUAGCUCCAUGAUAGAGAAGAAAGAUCUAUAGGAAUAGCGCAAAAGGCAUUCAUCAUACCAUAUGAUCGCUUCUUUGUCAUUAGCGCACUCCUCCAAGAUCUUAGCGGUUGCUGCGUCAAUGCAGCUUUGGCAGAUAUUGAGUUGAACAUCACCUCUACAGAGGAAAAGGCCAUAAACCUUGUCUUGAUUUUCCCCUUUUGUAUCGCUAAAGAAACCAUAAUUACUUCCUUGAUCAUAAAGCUGGCGGAUGAGAAGGCGCUGAAGGUUGUAAUCGAACUGGCUGGAACGAUUAUAUCUUCCCCGGCAACUUGCAGAGAGAUAAGUCGGCUGUAUUUCGGACAUGUUUUGUGAGAUAACAAGGAGCGGAGAAGAAAGAAAGAAGAGCAGGUAAAAUGCUCCUGAAACAGAAAGAACAACAUAAUAGUGCAUUUUCUUCCAAUGUUUUUCAAUAAUUCAGAAAUCUGAAUUUUAAGGCCAUAAUUUGUCCGGAAUGGGUUAUUAACUGAGACUUCUGACUCGUUCACUUCCACAACUCUUGUCUGCAGAAGAAAUUAUCCCCACAUUCUUUAACCUUUUUUGACCAAGCACGGCACAAACAUAAUCUGUACUGUUUCUCCAACACUAAAAAAAAUGUUAUUAAUUGUUUUGAUCAUCAUGAAAAUUUCUGAUUAAUUAUUUAUGUUAUGUCGUUACCAAGCUUUUACUUAGCUAAGGUAAUUAUUAUUAUCUAAGUUCUCUACUAUUUUUUAAGAUUUACCACUUUGUUAAAGCUUAGUUUAUUACAAUAGAAUAAUUGAAUAAAGGCUCUCAAUAAAUUAAUAAAAAUUUUAUUUGUGAAAUUGAUUAUAAUUUAAAAUUUGAUCAAAUGUAAAAGGUUAAAUAGUCUUCACCCUAUAAAAUAAUUUUAUUUUUUUUAUAAAACACAUAUAUGCUUUCAUUCUAUGUAUAUGAUUAAUGUUACUAUAAAUCAGUUUUGUGCAUAUAUUAUUAUGUAUUAAUUUAUUAUUAUACAAUAAUAUUGAUAUAAUUUUAAUACUUAUAUUUAUAAAAUAAGAGGACCUUUGCUUACGAAUUAAUAUGGUGGAGUGACAUAAUAUCAUUUUCGGAGGUGACGUCAUUACUCUUUCUAGAAGUGAUGUAUUGUCAAAACAGCUGGAGACUUAGCCACUAAGUACAGUCACUUAGACACGCCGUGUAAGACUUAAAUUAAGUAAUUUUAUUUCUAUAUUUGUAAAUUUUCCUUUAAAAAAAUUAUAAAAUAAAUUUUUAUUAUUGAAUUUUGCUAACAAAAAUCUUUAAAAAAACAUUUUAAAAUUAUUAUAUUAAAUAAUAUUUUCUUUCAAUAUAUUAAAAAUUGAUAUAUUAAUUGUCAAUUAUUCAUUAAACAAAAAUAUUAUCAUAAAUACAAUAUUAAUUAAUCUUAAAAAUUCGUUAACAAAACUUUUUAUUAUCAACUAUAUCACUUAUCGCCGGUAUCAACCCUUCCCCUAGAAAAAGAAAGCACUUAAACGUCUUGGAAAACCAGUAAACCAGUCACGACAUUGCAAUUUUCAACUUAAAUUGGGAUCAACAAGUAAAGUUUUUCAAAGAUAUAUUUAUUUUUUACAAAAUAUUAAAUUUUAUAUAUUUAUAUUAUAUUUUAUAUAAAAAUUAUAUAUCAUAAUUUAUAUCGAUAUAAAAAUAUAUAAUAUAUUUUUUAUUUUAUUAAAUUUAUAUAUAAUUAUUAUUAAAAUUUAAAAUUAUAUCAUUUUUAUUUUUAUAUUAUAUUUAUAUUUAUAUUAUAUUAUUAUAUUUUAAAUUAUUAAAUCUAAUUCUCCAACUCUAAUAGAUGACAUUCGAGGUAAAAGUCGAUUCAACGCAAAGUUAGAAUAUUAUUUGCUAACAAGAAGAAGCAAAUGCACCCCCCCACUGUGAUACUUGAGGUAGAAGUCGUUUCCAAGACGCAGUCGAAUAUUAUUUGCUAACAACAAGAAGCAAAUAGAAUAUUCAAGAGAAAGAAAAAAGAAGAGAAAAUCAUUGAAUUUACGUACAACUUUAGGCAAAUAAACAAAUGGGCGGCAAAGUUUAUCAAUAAUUGGAGUAGUUCCAGGAAGAUGCUUUUAGCCCUUUCACCGCUUUAAAGCCAGACGACGCUGGGAUACCUUGACCUGCCCAAAACAGAGAGUUCAAUGAUCAACGAACCGCAUUGGAUAGCUUGUUUUGUCUAAACUUGUCCUUAAAUAUUAGAAGUCCUAAUAAUGCUAAAAUAACAAAAAAAAAAAAAGGUCUCUUAAAUUUCAUAACUUUAAUUAAAUAAAUUUUUAUAUUUUUAUUAUAUUUAAAUAAAUAUUUAAUAUUUAAUUUGCACUCAUAUAAUCCUUUAACAUUUAAUUUGUAUGUAAAUAAAUUAUUAAACUUGUAAUUUCUACAUAAAUAAUUCUUUAUAAAUUAUUCUUUUAUUUGAAAUGAAAAUUUAUUUAGAUACAAAUCAAAUUAUAAAAAUUUAUUUAGAUAUAAUAAAAAUAUAAGAGUUUAUUUUAAAAUAAUAAAAUAAUUCAAAGAUUUUUUUUAAUAUUUUAACUGACUAAUAAUUAUGCUUUGCAUACAUACAUGUGAGACAAUUAUUAAAAUCUGGUAAAUUGAAAGGGUGUAAAUAUUAGAUGGCCUGUUAACAGAACAAUGUCAUCAAUAUGAACAAAAAGGAAUAGAAAUUUUGAACAUUGAACUUUUAUCAUAUCAAAAAUAAUUUAGAGUAGUUAAAUUAAAUUCAUCAAUUUUUUUUACUCGGCCAAAUGUAUUCAACGGGCUGAGAUAUUAGAUAUUGUCAUCAGAUAUAUUAAUGAAUCUAUUGUAGAAAGGCUGAUCAACAAUAAUAACUCUGCCAACAGGCAAAAGCAGGUCUUUUGCCUCAGGAAGAGCAAAUAAGGGUCCACUGGUCCCAGUUGUUUUCCUUCUUUCCAUAGUCCCCAGGCCUGCCAAUGAAUUCACAUAUAUCAAAUUUUUGACAGAAUACAAUAUUGCAAUGGUGGGAAGGACACUUCAAUUUUGAUGACAAAUUACAGGUAUACCUACAUGUGCACGAAGUGUCGGGGCAUGUUCCGUUUGGUAAAAGUCACUAUUUUUUUCCCCCAGCAAUUUCAAUCUUGAGAAUGAUAGAGAUGUUUUAAUUCCCUCAGUUGGAGUCCCCAUGAAAUUUUGACUUCCAGCAGCCUUUUACAGUUGAAUUGUUGACACCUACAACCUUGUAGCCUCAAAAUUAGCCACUGUAAAAAGUUGAAUUAUAAAAAGUUUUGGUGUAAUAAGUAUUGUUUAAUUUUAAUAGUAAAUGACUGAAUGUAAUUCUUUGAAUAAAAAUAGAUACACUUUUGAAAAAAAAUCAAAUACGACUGAAUCUGUAGCCAAUUUUUUUUCUUUUGUAUAUUGAUAUGUGAACAUAUCUCAGCCAAAAUAGGCUUAGUAAGUGUUGAGAAGCUAGCAUCCUUAGAAUAGUGAAAUAAAGGAAGAUGCAACCACUAAUCAAUCACCGAGGUGAGAUAUUUGAAAUUGUAACCUCAUUAACAGAACAGAAUCUAUCAUUUGAAGUGGAUUGAAUUGGUUCUGCAACAAAACGUCCAUCAGAAAAUGCAGGUUCUGCUGGUAGAGGAAGUGUUAUGGUCUCGCUUGCCAACAUGACAAUCACAGAUGAUAUGGUAGGUCUGUCCCGCUGGGUCUACUUGCACGCACAAUAGCCCAAUAUGGAUUCAUUUAAGAACCCGAGUGGCCACACACGAUUGAACAAGUACCGGAUCUAAUAGCUCCAUUCCUUGACCUUUAGACCAUAGUUUACAUGCCUGUAAUGUUUCCUGAAAUUAGAAUGGUACGGUACUACAGCCAUCUAUUUUUUUAACACAAAGAUAGGAUAAAAACAUACAAACGUUAGGAGGCUUUCACCACGCUCUGAAAGAUGAAAGCCAUUGUUUCUUUUACCGCUUAUUAUCUCAAGCAAAAAGGACCCCAAAACUGAAAACAUUAGAUUUGACGGAAAAAAGUCCUUCCAUAGCAUACUCUGGUGCCAUGUAUCCACUAUUUCAGUUCAAAGGAAUAGAUAAAUUAGGUUAGAUUAUGGUAAUAUCAAAACCAAGAAUUGUUAAGUUUGAACAUUAUUCUAUCAUAAAAUUGAAGUAUGAUUACAAAUUUUAGAUUGUAAAGAACAGCCAAGUUCCUCUGCAGAAUAAACCUUAGCAAAGACUGUAAUCUGAUGUACUGCUUUUCCAUUGUACGAGUUCAAUGCUAAUUCUUUCUUUUCAAUAAAAUUUUAUUUGACACAGAUGCAAUAUUAAAGAUCAAAAGAAAACUACUGAAGAACCAAGAUUGGUAAAAAAAAAAAAAAAGAAUUGUGAGCCUAGAAGUGUGUGGGAUAGUGGACUAACUAUGUUCCAACCACUCUAUUUGUAUUUGCUUCAUUGUGAUUUCCACCAAAAAUUCUUGCUAUUCCAAAAUCUGAUAUCUUUGGGUUCAUUUCGUGAUCUAGCAAAACAUUGCUAGCUUUAAGAUCCCUAUGAAUAAUUCUAAGACGAGAAUCCUCAUGUAAAUACACGAUGCCUCGGGCAAUGCCAUUAAUAAUGCUAUGGCGCUUCUGCCAAUCCAGUUGCACACCAAUGCUUGAAUCUGGAAAGGACCACCCAAAAGAAUAAUAGUAGUUAGUUGAUUUUUUACCAUAUUGCAUGAAGAAUCCUGUUAAAAAACAGAAUGAAACAAUAAUUUUUUGUUUAAGGAUCAAACCAAAGAGGAACACAUCAAUGCUUUUAUUGGGCAUGUAUUCAUAGACAAGCAGUUUUUCGUUUUGCUCCAAGCAGCAGCCCAGGAGUCUAUGUUGUAGCCUGGCAAUUAACACGACUUCAUUCUUGAACUCAAGUAACCCUUGCCCAAAAGUUCUAGAGAAGCUUUUAACUGCAAUUUCUUUUCCAUCUGCCAAUUUGCCCUAAAAGAAGGAAUUAAAAAGCAUCAUAAAAGAACUAAUUAUAUGAAGUUGAAGAGGUGCAUCGUAUUCUAAAAGUAUAAUACUCUAUCACCAUAGUUACCUUGUAUACAGGGCCAAAUCCACCUUCUCCAAGUUUAUUUUCAUAACAAAAUUAUUUUGUUGCUGUUUGUAAAAUAUCUAACUGAAUCGAAGGGAACUCCUUAGAUCUCACCCCACUCUCACCUUGGAAAUUUUCAUUUGAGUAUUCAUCGCUAGCUCUUCCUCCUAAUUCAAUUAAGUGAACUUCAUGGCUGUCAUGAUCUAUAUUCUCUUCAAGAGAAAACAAUUAAUUGGGAUAACAAUUGAGUCAAGAAGAAAGUGAAGAGCAAGUAAGAUCCAAUGCAUACCUUGAAAAUUUCUCCUUCUCCAAAAGAAAAUACCUCCAGAACAGAACAGAAUGACGGUAAAAAUCGCGGAUAAACUUGCAACAAUAGGAAUCCACUUUGAUUUGCCUUGUUUGCCACCUUCUAAGUCUGUUACUACAAAAGAAUGUCAUCUUUCAGUUGAUUUUUAGUGGAAUAAAUUUCUAAUUUUUGUAUUCUUCCUGCUGUUUCUAUUUUGCAGAUAUUAAUUAAUUUGUUAUUAGUUUCUGUAGCAGGUAUUUGUCCUACUUUCUUUUUUGAUGGAUGAAAAUUUCAGUAAUUAAAAAUUAGGCAAGCUAAAUCUCUAGCAUCUGAUGAUACUAACCGUUUGAGCCACUUGUUUUGUUUACCGAAGGAAGGGGUGCUUCUGAUUCAAUUCCAGGAUUCUUGAUUAUCGUAGUGUUUGGUGAUUGGUCUCGAGGUUUUCCAUAAAAUGGAUAUAUCUCAUACCUGAUGUUACAGCUUGGUCGUAAAACUCUCGCACCUUGUUUUCCAGUCGCGAAAGGUGGGAUUACAGCAAUUGAUCUACGUAGACAAAUAUGUAAACUUGCUUAUCAGGAAUUCUUAUGAAUAUUUAUCCUAUAAUCCUAUAAUUUUUUGACAUUUUUUCAUAUCUAAAGAUUUUACUAUUUAUAAAUAUACAAAUUUAUCUAUCAAAAAAAUUUUUUUUUAAUAUUUUUUUCUCUUACAAGUUUUUUAUCUAUUACACAAUAUUUAAUCAAUUUUAAACAAAAUUUUUCUAAACUUUGAACCACUAUUCUUUACACUAUUUCCGAUUUCAACUUCUCAACGAACAUUAGAAGUAUUAAUAAUUAUGUCUUGCAUGCAUAGGUGAGACAAAAUUUGUUAAAACGUGUCGAGCAUUAAUGUAUUAAAAGGGUAUAAACGUUGGAUGUCCCGUUAACAGAACAAUCUCAUAAAUAUUCUUGUUACAUUUGAUUUGAACAAAAUAGGAAAAGAAAUUUUGAACAAUGCUCCUUUUAUCAUGAGUUAAUUGUUUGCAAAAUCAAGAUAGUGUUAACAUGCUUAAAACCUUCACGAUUUAGAAAUUGAUAGAUAAACGUUCCAAACACAAAGCUGUAAAAAAUUUCUUAAAAAAGAUUAAAAUCCAUGCUUGAUGCAAACCUAACUGAACAAAAUUAUAAGAAAAGCCAAAGCAAUGCAGUGUCUGCAUCUCCCAGUCCUUGUUGAAUUUAGAUAAAAAAAACUAAAGGUUGAGAUGUGACCAUUUCUAGAAAUAAUGAGCACGGCAUCUGGCCAAAAACAGAAGGGUAAUUAAAUGCGAGGCUAGAACAUGGGAAAAUUCAGUGGUUUGGUGGUUAAACUCUGACUUUGACAAAACAAAAGUAUGGUAAUUAUUUCGAAAGCCAAGCCCCUUGGUGUGUCGACAUUUUCAUGUAGAAACAUUACGGGAGGUGUCAUCUGUUCACUGCCUAAUUCUGUACUUCAGGAACCAGGGCAAAAUUCUGAGAGAACUGAGAAUUGCCGGUAGUUUAAAAUAUAAUGUACCUUAUAUUAGAUAAAAAAAUUUAAUUAUUAUUGAAUAAAAUUAAUUUUUAUAUUAAUUUUAUUUAUAUUUUAAAUAAUUAUAUUUGAAUAAAAAUAAUUAUUAUAUAAUAAAUUAUCAUAAUUAUUUAAAUAUAAAUAUAUUAUUAUUUAUAAAAGUUAUGAUUAUAUAAAAGGUGAUAAUCAUUUGAAUAAAAAUUUAUAGCUAUUUAUUUAUUAUAAAUAAAUCUUUCAAUAUAAUUAUUUUUAUUAUUUUUUAUUAGAGAGUUUGAAAUUUUGUUAUAUCCUAAAGAUAUAAUUAACUUUAAAAAAAUAUUUUUCAUACCUCAAAAUUGAAAUUAUUUUUGAUUAUUUCUCUUUUUUUAUUUAUUUUUUGUAAUAAUUUAAAGGUAAUUAUGAAGAAUUUUUUAUAUUUUAUAUUUAUGGAGAUGCAAAAGAAAGAAAUUUAUAAAUGUUUUGGUGAAAUUUAAAUUCUUGAAAUAAUUAUAAAUAAAGAGAAAUAAUUCUCUACCACGAUGUUAGAUAAGUUUUCUUUAAUUUUUAUUCAAAAUUAAUAUGUUAUUAAUUCAUUGUUUGAUUCCGUUGCAUAAAUCCAAUUUCAUUAUUGUUUUUCAUAUUACUUGGGCUUUUGGAAUUUAUUAAUUGUGCAUUCCAAAAGCUUCACUGAAAUGGAUUUUUCAAAAUUGUAACUUGUAGUAGUCUGAAAUUAAUAGGGUGAAUAUAUGCAUGAAAAUUGUCGUUGAUUUUGGAUUGGAUAAUAAGCCAAGAGCAAGUUUAUACAUGAAGUUAUAAUGUGAUUAAUUGAAAUUGGCUUAGAUAGUCGUAAGCUGAAAUGGGUUCUGUAUAUAUGAUAAAAAUUGGAUUUAGACAUAAUAAAUGAUCUCUUUUGUUCAAUACUAAUGAGAAUUUGGAAAAGAAAAUAGGUUUUAAGGAAAUUGAGAUAAUUGAUUGGGAUCUUUGUUCACAAUAGAAGUUAAUAGAAGUGAAAUGGAGUGUCACAAUAAACUUAUUUUUAAUUAUUUGUGGUUAAUUAAUACAUAUAUUAAUUAAAUGCUUGUUUAUUAUUAUUUUUUAUGCUUACAUUGUUUAGUCAUGCUUGCAUUAACAUGCUUUGAGUUAAAUGGAAUGUUUAUAUAGAGGAGAAUUUGAUUAAUUCAGCUUUAUACUUAUUAUUAAUACAAUUUGCUAAUAACAUGCAUUUAUUAUUUGGUCAAAAGGCAUGAUUGAAAUUUUAAUUUUUGAAUAAGCAUGACUUUAUGUUUACCCUGACAAUCAUUAAAUAAAAGAAUUACGAAAAUAUUGUUAAAUUUAUUAAAACCAUAAGAUAAUGUUUUAAUUGAAAAAAGCUAGAAAAGUAAUAAUAUAUAUUUGCAAUUGUAAUAUUUUGCCCAUAUGAGAUUUAUUUAGAGUAUUAUUAUGUAAUUUAGGGUUAAAUACAUAUUUAGCUCAUGAACUUUAUAAUUUUUAUCACAUUGGUACUUAAAGAAAUUUUUUGUCACAUUGAUACUUAAACUUUUAAAUCGUUAUCACUUUGGAAUCUCUAAUUAACAUUGAUGGUCAAUUUUACUGAUGUAACAUGAAUAUCUUAUACGAUAUUAGUAUGUGUCUAAAAAGUUUAAUCAAUACCAUAUCAUUAAUGUCACGUCAUGCCCACAUCACAUUUAAAAGAAAAUUUUAAAAAAUUCUAAAAUCUUUAAACAAUUCUAAAACAUAUAUAAAAAUUCUAAAAAAUAUUUUUUUAAAAAAAGAAAAGUAUUAAAAAUUCUAAAAAGUAUUAAAGAAUUUUGAAAAAAUUAUAAAUUUUUUAAAAAAAUUUUAAAAAUUCUAAAAACUUUAAAAUUUUCUAAAACAUUUUAAAACAUCAAAAAAAUUAAAAAAUUAUCAAAAUUCAAAAUAAUUUUAAAAUAUUUUAAAAUAUUUUUAAAAACUUCUAAAAAUUUUUAAAAAUAAUUUGAAAAUUUGAAAAUUUUUUUAAAUUUCUUAAAAAAUUCUAAACAUUAUUGGAAAAUUAUAAAAAAAAGUUUAAAAAUUUGAAACUUAUAACAAAAUUAAAAAUAUGAAAUAUUUUAUAAAUUAUAAAAAUUAUCGUAAUUUGGAAAAUUUUAAAAUUUUUGAAAAUUUCUUAAAAAAUCAAAAAACUUAAAAAAAAAGUUAAAAUUUAUAAAAAUUAAAAUUUCUUAAAGCUUUUUAAAAAAUACAAAAACUUAAAAAAACUAAAAAUAAGAAAAAAAUCUAAAAUCUUUUAAAAUCUUUUCAAAAAUUAAAAAAUUUCAAAAUUUUGAAAUAUUAUAAAAAUUUUAAAAAAUCUAAAAUAUAAAAAAAUUAAAUUUUAAAUAAAAAUCCAAAACAUAUAAAAAAUUGACAAAUUAAAAAAUAUAUAAAAAGUUGAAAUUGUAAGAUUAAAAAAUAUAUAAAAAUUUUAGAACCUUCUAAAGAUUUUUAUAUUUUUUCAAAAAAAUUUUGAAUUUUGAAUUUUGAAUUUUGAAUUUUUCUUUUUGUUUUUUUUUUUUUUUGAGUUUUUCUCUUUGUUUUAAAAAAAAAAAUUUAACAAAAUUUUUAUAAUCAUUAAUUUUUUUAUUCUUUUCAUUUUUCUAUUUUUUAUUUGAAUUUUUUUAUUUUUUUUAAUUUUCAAAAAUUUUUAUUUUAAAAUUUUUCAAAAAUUUUUAAAUUUUUCUAGAAUUUUUUUAAAAAUUAUUUUUUAAUAUCUUAAUUUUUUUCAAAAUUUAAAAAUUUUUAUAAUUAUUUAAUUUUUAAAAAAAAUGUUCAAAAAUUUGAAAUUAUUUAAUUUUUGAAAAGAUUUUAAAAUUUUCUAGAAUUUUAAAAAAUCUUUAAUUUUUUUGAUAUCUUAAUUUUUUCAAAAUUUUAAAAAUUUAUUAAAACCAUGAGAUAAUGUUUUAAUUGAAAAAGGCUAGAGAAGUAGUAAUAUAUAUUUGCUAUUAUAAUAUUUUGCCCAUAUGAGAUUUAUUUAGAGCAUUAUUAUGUAAUUUAGGGUUAAAUACAUAUUUGGCUCAUGAAUUUUAUAAUUUUUAUCAUAUCGGCAUUUAAAAGAUUUUUUUGUCACAUUAGUAUUUGAACUUUCAAAUCGUUAUCACUUUGGGAUCUUUAAUUGACGCUGUUAGUCAAUUUUAUUGAUGUAACAUAAAUACCCUAUACGAUAUUAACAUAUGUCUAAAAAGUCUAAUCAACACUACAUCAUUAAUGCCAUGUCAUGCUCACAUCAUAUUUAAAAGAAAAUUUUUUAAAAAUUCUAAAAUUUUUAAACAAUUCUAAAAUAUAUAUAAAAAUUCUAAAAAAAAUUUUAAAACUAAGAAACGUAUUAAAAAUUUUUAAAAAUUCUAAAAACUUUAAAAAUUUCUAAAAAAUUUUAAAACUUCAAAAAACUAUUAAAAAUUAUAAAAAUCCUAAAUAAUUCUAUAAAAUUUUUAAAAUUUUUUAAAAUUUAUAAAAAAUAAUUAAAAUUUCUCAAAAAUUUUUUAAAAACUUGUAAAAAUAAUUUUUAAUACACAAAUAUUUUUAAAAUUUCUCAAAAAAUUCUAAACAAUUUUAAAAAAAUUCUAAACAUUAUUGGAAAAUUGUAACAAAAUUUUGAAAAAUUUGAAAUUUAUAAAGAUUAAAAAUAUGAAAUAUUUUUAUAAGUUAUAAAAAUUAUCAUAAUUUGGAAAAUUUUAAAAAUUCUGAAAAUUUCUUAAAAAAUAAAAAAAUUCAAAAAAAGUUAAAAUUUAUAAAAAUUAAAAUUUCUUAAAAUUUUAAAAAAAUACAUAAACUUAAAAGAUUAAAAAGAAGAAAAAAUCUAAAAACUUUUAAAAUCUUUUCAACAAUUAAAUAAUUUCAAAAUUUUGAAACAUUAUAUAAAAUUGAAAAAAAUUGAAAAAAAAAACUUAAAUUUUAAAUAAGAAUCCAAAACAUAUAAAAACUUAAAAAAAUUAAAAAAUAUGUAAAAAGUUGAAAUUGUAAGAUUAAAAAAUAUGUAAAAUUUUAGAACCUUUUAACUAUUUUUAUAUUUUUUCAAAAAAUUUUUGAAUAUUGCUUUUUGUUUUUUUGAACCUUCUCUUUUUGUUUUAAAUUUAACAAAGUUUUAAAAAUUUUUAAAAUCAUCAUUUUUUUAUUCUUUUAAUUUUUUAAUUUUUUAUUGAAUUUUUAAUUUUCUAGAAUUUUUAGAAAUUUCGAUUUUUUGAUAUCUUAAUUUUUAAAAUUUUUAAAAUUUUUUAAUUUUCUAAAAAUUUUUUGAAAUUAUUUUAAAGUUUUUAGAAUUUUUGAAAAAUUUUUAUAAUUUUAAAAAAUUUUUCAUAUUUUUUAGAUUUUUUUUGAAUUUUUUAAAGUUUUUAAUAUUUUUUUAAUUUUUAAAAAUUUUUAGAUUCUUUAUUUGAAUUUUUAAAAUUUUUUAAAUUUAAAAAAAAUUAUUUUAGAAUUUUUAGAAUAUUUUUUUGAAAAUUUUAAGCUUUUUGUUUAGAUUAUUUUUUUGAAGUUUUGAAUUCUUUGAAUUUUUUAGAAAAUUUUAAAUUUUUUUGAAUUCUUUUAGAAUUUUUAAAUAUUUUUCUUUUAAGUAUGAUAUUAGCAUGACAUGGCAUGAUAUGGUAUUGAUGAUGUGGCACUAGUUAGACUUUUGAUAUGUGUCAGUAUCUUAUUGGAUAUUCAUAUUAUAUCAACAAAGUUGACUAAUGGCGUUAGUCAAAGUUACUAACAUAAUAAAGAUUUGAAAGAUCAGGUAUCAAUAUAACAGAAAAAUUUUUUAGGUACCAAUGUGAUCAAAAUUAUAAAGUUCAGGGGUCAAAUAUAUAUUUAACCCUAUACUUUAUAGUUUGGGAAAUAAGUGUAUGCAUUAUUAAUAUAAUGAUUAUGACCAUGUACAUAUCCAAGGUAAAAUGCACUUAUAUUUAAUAUAUCCAUCAUGCAUACUGCAUUUGCAAGAGAUCUCCGAAAGAGAUACUAUGGAAUUAUAAUAGAAACACAUAUAAGAGGGUUAUGUUCAAUUGUGGUGCCAUAAAAAUCUUGGCAAUGUCAAGAACAUAAAACAUAUAUCCAUUUUUAUAUUUAGAUAAAAGGGUCAUGUUCAACUGUGGUGCCAUAAAAAUCUUGGCAAUGUCAACAAUAUAAAGCAUAUAUUCAUUUUUAUAUUUAUAUGUAUAUCAGCUAAAAAUGAAUAUUGAGUUUUUCAAGUCUUUUAAUUUAAUGAAUGAACAAAGACCACUUAAUGAUGUUAAAUUCAUGGUUCCAUGGGUUAUCACAUUUCAUGGCUUGAAUACAUAUUUUGUGAAUUUUUGUGUAUGGUAAUGAAUUGAAACAUCCAUGAGCCUAGAAUUGGACAUAGAGAACUCAUGCAUGGUUUGCCAUAUAUUAAAAAAAUAAAUGGAAACUCAAAUUAUCUUAUUAUUAGCAUAUAUUGCAUUUAUAUACAUAACAUUGAAAAAAAAAGUGUACAAGUCUUUGUGGUACAUGAGUUUUUAUAGUUUCAGGGUAAGGGUAUUGAUGAGAGCUUAUAUAUGCAACAUUAAUAUAUGGACUUGAUAAUGAUGAUAGCUUUCAAUAACCUCAAUCCUUGGAAUUAAUCGCUAAAUGAGUUAUUCAUGAAGAAUGAGGUAUGAUUCUUAAAUGAACAGUGCUUUUGAUAAAUUUAAAAAUAUUUAUUUGUAUAUAAUACAAAAAUGGUUUUUCUUAAUGAUUUUUGCAUAAAAGUGAUGUUUGUUUAAUUUUAUUUGAUAAUAAUCAUAGCUUGUAUAAACGAUUUACAUCUCAUUAUUUUAUUAAAAGUUUUGAGAUAUAGUGAAAAUAUAAAAUUAUAUUCACAUUGAAAGUCAUGGGUGAUUCAAAGAUUUUGUGAAUAUAAAAAAAAUAGCAAAAUGAAUUCCAUUUGAUCCAUUUGGAUGAUGGACAUGGUUUUGCUCGUGAUAAAAUUAUGUUAAUAGUGUUUAUGAUGAAAUAUAUUCAUAAGUUUCCAUGAGUUGGUAUAAAAGUCUCAAAAAAAGACUUUAGAAAAUAUAAGUUUACUAAAAUAAAAAAAUUUUUUUGAAAGUGAUUAUAUUUGACAUAAUUCUUAUUGAUAUAUACUUUCAUACUGGGUUUAAAUAAAAGUUUUGAAACUUUUAUGAGAAGAAAAUAUUAAGAUAUAGAAUAUUUGCUAGUUAUUUUUUACUAAAGUUUGGAGGCCUCCUACUUAAAAAAAAAAAUCACCUAAUAGCGAAAAGAUAAAUGAGAUAGCAACUUAAUUAAGUAUAUAUGAUAUUAAGAAGUGGAUGGAAAUUAAGAAGUGGAUGGAAAUUAAAAUAAUUUUUUUACAUCAAUUUAUUAUAUGAUAGGAUUGAAAAAUGAAACUUACAUUAUUUUAUCAUUAUAAAUAUUUUAAGUAAAAACUAAAAAGAAAAAUUCUAAAAGUAAAUGAAUAUUUUCUAUUUAUAAUAUUUGACUCAGUCCUCUUUUAUUUUCUACCUUUAAUCUUUUUUAUUUGUAAUGAUUUUUUAUGAAUAAAAAUAAAAAAUGACAAUCUCUCUCUCUCUCUCUCUCUUAUGAUAUGGCUCAAGUCAACUGCAGCUUAACCUACAGAUAAAGCUUAAAUAUUAUGAGUUAAGAAAUCCUAACCGACAGUUGCUACAGAGCAACUUCGCGGAAGAACUUUCGAGUGGAAAUCAUAAAUGCUACGACGGAUUUUCUUAUUCAGAUAAACUACGUAGAAAACUAGAAAUGCAAUGAAUUGACAUAUAUCAUGUGGAAAAAUAAUUUAAAGGUCGUGUAUGUUUGACAUAUUGAGGUAGCACUCAAUUCCAGCACGCCGUUGAUCAUUUACAAACCACUAGAAGCAAAUGCAGGGCCAGUUCAUAAUGUGUGCUUGAAGGGGUCUUCUCCCCCAAAAUUUUGAAACCUUCUAUUAUAUAAUUUAUAUUUUGUUAAAUAAAUUUAAAUUGAUCCCCAAAUUGAGAAUAUUAAUAUUUUUUUAUUUUUUUAUGAUUUCGUAAUCUUGCAAUUUAAUUAAGGGGUUAAAAUUACAUUACUAUUUAUCUUUUUAUUAUAUCCACUAAUCAUUAUUUAGAAAUCUUUAAAAUCAAAAAUUUUGUUGUUUAUUUUAAAUCACAACAAUAUGAUUUUAAUUUUUUAGCUUUCCUGACAAUAUUAAGUUUCUAAUCAAGUAUUAAAUUUGUUUUUUUUUUUGUAAAGAAUUAAAAGAGUGUAAACGUUGGUUGUCCGGUUAAUGGAACAAUCUCAUAAAUAUUCUUGUUAAAUUUGAUUUGAAAAAAAAAAAAAAGAAAUUUUGAGCAAUGCAUGAAGUUGAUUGUUUGCAAAAUCAAAAUCGUGUUAACAUGCUUAAAACCUUCACGAUUUAGAAAUUGAUAAAUUCCGACAGCGAUAACGUUCCAAGCUCAAAGCUGUAAAAAAUUUCUUAAAAAUGAUUAAAAACCAUGCUUGAUGCAGACUUAACUGAAUAAAAUUCCAGAAAGCCACGGCAACGCGGUGUCUGCAUCUCCCAGUCCUCGUUGAAUCUUGACAAAAAACUAAAGUUUGAGAUGUGACCAUUUCCAAAAGCAUCUGUCCAAUUAUUGCGAGGCUAAAAGAAGUUCAAGGCAACAUGGGAAAAUUCCUUGGUUAGGUGGUGGAACUCUGACUUUGACAAGUCAAAAGUAUGGUAAUUAAUUCGAAAGCCAUGUGUCAAAAUUUUCAUAUGGAAACAAGCAGGGAGGUGUCUUCUGUUCUCUGCCUAAUUAUGUUCUCCAGGAGCCAGGAUAAAAUUCUGCCGCUGACUUGGACAUCGGUGUCAGAGAAGUGAGGAUUACGGAAUAAUUAUUGAGAAUUUCACACGUUUUUAGAUGAGAUCCACUUUAUCAAUUUUUUUUUACGAUUUUUUUUUAAAUCAUCAUUUGGUAAAUUUUGUAUUUUACGAAGUUUAACUAAGAUGACAUAUGACAUUUCUCGAUAAUUUUUUUAAGUUAAAUUAGUUUUGUGAAAAAAAUUGAGACCGAUGAAAUUAUAUACAUGGCACUCUUAAUUAGCGUUUUAUGUUUUAUAUUAUUUAAUUUUUAAUUAAAUAAAAUUUUAAAAUAAAAUAUAUCAAUUAAUAAAAAUAUCAAAAUAAUUUGUAUUUAUUUAAUUUUAAUCCAUUCUAAUUUGAUAUGAGUGAUUUUUUAAAUUGAAAUUAAAUUGAGAUAAUAUUUAAAUUUUUUUAAAAUAAGAGUAGGACAAAAAAAAUACUCUUUCACAAUUCAUUUUUUGUAUAUAUAAAAAUAUUUUUUAAAAAAUUUUAUUAUAUACAUUUAUUAAUAAAAUUAUUAUUUUUUAAAUUGGUAAUUGAAUCUUCUUUUUUUUUUUUUUUUCUCAUCCUCUUUUUUCUGAUGUUUAUGUACAUAAGGAUUUAGGUGCGAUUAUAAUUAAUUGAUUUAUAAUUACGUACGGUUGAAGGGAGUAGGAAAAAUAAAAAAUAUAUAUUUGAGACGAUUGAUAAAGAUGGCAGUUGUUAAGGACAAGCCGCCUGGCUUUCUGUGCGCCCAAAAAGCGGUUUUGUCCUUUUCGAAUAUCCUAUAUAUAUAUAUAUAUAUAUAUAUAUAUAUAUAUUUUACUUUAUAGUGCCCAUCACUAGUUAAUUGUGAAUUUAAAAUUUCAUUUAAUUAAUUUAUUAUAAUUAUUUUAAUAUAUUUUAUAAUUUUAAAAUUUAAAUUUUAAUAUCUUUUCGUAAUUAUCACAAGGAACUAAUCCGGCGCCAUGACAUACCAAUUUAAGAAUCUGACUUUGGGUGAUUCAUAAAUUUCUUGCAUAAGAAAUUGCUUGAAGGGCUACGCAGUUCACACACCGUUUAAGAUCAAAAGAAGAUUCAGAAUUAAAACCAAAAAAUAAUAAUAAUAAUAAUAAUAAAGAAGUUGAUUGAGACGGGAGUGGUGGAAGAGGAUAAGCUGUGAAGCUUCUAGUUUAUUUCCCUAUCUAUGAAUGAAAAAAAAAAAAAACAAGGAUUAAAGUUUUUUUAAUAAAAAUUUAAUAAUUAUUAAAAAUUUUAAUAUUUUAUUAUGAUCAAUUAAAUUUUUUAUUUUUUUAUUUUGAUUCAAUUAAAUUUUUAUUGAACAAACCUUAAAACAUAAUAAAAUUAAAUCAUUAAUUUUUAAAUUAUAAUCAAUUAAAUCUUUAAAAAUAUAAAAAAAUAAUUAUUUAUUUACUUUUCACAUAUAUAAUUAUGCAAUAUAAUAAAUAUCUAUCUGUUUAUUAUUAUAUGAAAUUUCAUUUUAAUUGAUAAAAUUAACGAUAUUUAAAUACAAAUUAAUAUUAAAGGUAUUACUUGAAAUAAAAAAAAUAAAAAUGUAAAUAACUUUUUAAUUACAAUUCAGAGAUUUUUAUAUAUUAAAACAAACAAAAAGUUUUACUUUUAUUUCCGUGUGGCACUCAUGUGUCGAGCCAAAAGUCAAUCACAUUGUCCGUCAAAAAAGAAAAAAAAAGGGAGAUUUCAAUUUUUUUAUUCUUUUUUUGUUUGUAUUUGUUCAUCUAUAACAAAUUGAUCACAUGAAAAGGAUUGUCUAAGGGUAAUCCGCUCAAACUGACAAUCACUGAAUUUCUAACAAUCAUGAAUGAUAAUGGUACUGAAUGUUGACACAAAAAUGCUUACAAACUUGACCAGCUUGGUAUCUUGGAUGCAGCUCGGUAAUUGAAACCUCAAUUUUUGAGACUACCACAAUUUCAUUUCUGGAUUGACUGGAUUGUGUUGCCCCUGAAUUUAAGUGCUGCGACCACAGCAUCCCUGAUUGAGUGUUGCUGUGCAAAAAAAUGCAGGUUGUGAGGGUAGUGGCAGAGUGACAGAGUGGCUAGUAAGCAUCAGAACAACCGAAGCCAUGUUUGGUCUCGCAGCUACAUUUUCUUGAACACAAAGCAGCCCGAUGUGGAUGCAUCUCAUCAGCUCAGUUCUUGAACCAUCUCUAAAACUGGGAUCUACAAGAUCCAUUACUGUCCCAUUCUUCCAAUUUCUCCAAGCCUGCAGCGUUUAAUUCAUGCAAAUUAUUAAACAGUAAAUUCUUUUAAUGCUUUGGACAAGUAUCAUAUGAGUUACAAUCUCAUGCUUGAGGACAAAGGAAUACUUACAAAGUUUAGAAGAUCUUCUACAUUACUCCCAUUAUGGAAAGCACUAUUUUUUUGACCACUUAAAAUCUCCAUAAGUAGCACACCAAAACUAAAAACAUCGGACUUAACAGAAAAUUGUCCAUGCGUUGCAUAUUCAGGCGCCAUGUAUCCGCUACAAGUUAAUAAAAGAAAAAUUAGUUUUCCUUGUGGAAAAAAAGGGACACAUGACUUACCAAUCUUUUGAAUUGUUCAAGUGAGGAUGAUCAUCGGUCAUGCAUCAGCCAAGAUUUUUCUUUUAUUCACAUGAUGGGAAGGCAGUUUAACAAAAAUAAUAAUAGUAUAUGCAAUUAAAAGUGUAAUUAUUGACUCAGAAGAUUUCUAACACUUACCAUGUUCCCACGAUUCUAUUAGCAACCCCUUGAGUUUGAUCAACUGCAACCAAUCUUGUCAUGCCAAAAUCUGUAAUUUUAGGAUUCAUCUCUGCGUCUAAUAAUAUAUUGCUUGCUUUGAGAUCACAAUGAAUAAUUUUAAGUAGAGAAUCUUGAUGAAGAUAAAAAAGUCCUCGAGAGAUGCCUCUUAUGACUUUGUAUCGUCUUUCCCAAUUCAAAUAUGUACGGUUAACCGGAUCUGCAUCACCAUAAAUGUACGAAUCCUAAUUAAUAAAAUAAAACAUGGAUGUUGGUCUUUUGCUUUGUAGUAUACAUUCUAUAAUACACCGAUAUAUCAUACCAAAUAAUGAUUUAUCCAGACUUGUGUUAGGCACAAACUCAUAGAUGAGAAGCCUUUCAUUUCCUCCUAGGCAGAAACCUUGAAGCCUAACCAAAUUCCUGUGCUGAAGCUUGGCCAAUAACUGAACUUCGUUUUUGAAUUCAAGAUCUCCUUGUCCGGAUUCUGUAGACAGUCUUUUCACUGCUAUUAAUUCUCCAUUGGCAAGUGUGCCCUGAGAAGAUAUCAGAAUGAAUUAUAUAUGUAUAUGCCUAUUGAACUUGCAUACCCAUUUUAUUUCUUACGGAUGAUCAUUAUCGUCUUACCUUAUAAACUGCCCCAAAUCCACCUUGUCCAAGCUUAUUUGCGUCAGAAAAGUGAUUUGUUGCAGCUCUAAUGGUGUUGAAAUCAUAUUGCAAGGACUCUGCACUUGUGAUUCCAUCCACGGCUUCAGCUGCUUCACGCUCUUCAGAGGUGUAACAAAAGAACAAAAACAUAAACAAGUAAACAUUAGAUUUAGUCACGAGCUAAAUUCAUUAACAACAUUCCAAAAGGAAAAAGAACAAGAACACACUGACACACAAAAAACAAAGAAGAAAAUCAAUAAACCGAUUCUUUUACUUACUUUCAGCAUUCACCUUUGACUUCCUCGCCCCUAAAAAGAUGCAGACGCAGCAGGAAAUGAGAAGUACCGCAAAAGCGACGGCCGAGACGGUUAUGAUAAUAGUAGUUCGAGAUGAAUUACUCUUUUUUCCUGCAAAAUUUCAAAAAAAUGCGUUUUCUAUAAGAGUGCUGAAAUAGUUAACUUUGGAACUACUCUUAACUUAAUUAGUUAAAUUAGAGAAACCCUUUUCUCUGUUGUCUAGGAAAAUAAAAUUUUUACAGGCACACAUCCCAUUGAUACAAGACGGAGAAAUUCUUGAUAUUCUGAGGUAGACGUUCUCAUUUGGGAAAGAAACAACUGUUGAAUUGACAAAACAAAGCAGAAAGCGUACCUGUUGUACUUGUGGUAUCGUUUGAGAGCGGGGGAGAUAGUGGGGAUGCUGGUGUUGGUGGCGGUGAUGAUGGUAUUGGUAUAUCAGCAUUGGUAAGAUCAUAGAAACGUUCAACCUUAAACCUUAAAUUACAGCUAGGCCCAAUUAUCCUGCCUUCUUGUUUUCUGUCACAGCAUACCGGAAUAAAUCCAAUAGCCCGAGACAAGCAAGAGCUGCAGUCAACCUCGGUCAAAUCAGGAGUGCAUUGAACAAGUGCAUAUACCGUUUGGAAAGCUGAAACUUCUGCACUUCCUGUUGCAAACUUGCGAAGGGAAGUCCCCGAUGAAGCGUUAUUUCUUAGGGUAUCCAACACGGAACCCAGGGCCUGAUUAAAAGCAUCCACAUUCGUGACGUUAUUUACAUUCCACAUGUAGAACGAAGGGUUGAUCUCCAUAACACCAAAGAUGGAGCGAUUUGCGUAGCGGAACAUGCAUUUAUUAUACCAGAUGAUUGCCUCUUUCUGGUUGGGGCAGAGAUUUCUGAGCGCAGCGGUUGCGUUAUUGAUGCAGCUGAUGCAAUCACCUGAAUUCACAUCUCCUCUGCAAAGUGCAAUUGCGUUAACUCUGUUCGAGCCUUGGCCGGAUGAAAAAUUGUAGAACCCGUAAUCAUUUGCUGUGUUAAAGGAGGAAGAGGAAAGGAGGCGAUUGAGGUUUGUCUCGUAAGUGCUGUUUCUGGUGAAGUUACCACUACUCUCUAAACAGAAAUAAUAUAGAGGCUGUUGUUGGGCAAUGGUAAGAGUAAGAAGGAAUGUAAUAGUUGAAGAGAAGAAAAACUGCCAUGAAAAUUCCAUUGCCUUGCCUGCGGAGUACAGUAGUGUUCUGCUUCUGCGUCUCCAAAGCUUGUUGGACCUAUGAUUUUCAAAGUUUAUAUUAUAAUGAUGAAUGCUCCUUCUAUCAUGGAGUUGAUUGUUUACAAAAUCAACAUCGUGUUAACAUGCUUAAAACCUUCACGAUUUAGAAAUUGAUAGCUAAUGAUAGUGAAAACAUUUCAAACACAAAGCUGUAAAAAAUUUCCUUAAGAUGAAAAAUCCAUGCUUGAUGCAUACGUAACGGAUUAAAAUUCUAAGCGAGCCACAGCAACGCGGUGUCCGUAACUCCCAGUCCUUGUUGAAUCUUGACAAAAAACUAAAGUUUGAAACGUUACCAUUUCAAGAGGUAAUGAACACGGCAUCUGGCCAAAAACAGAAUGGUAAUUAAUGCGACAAGUCCAUGACAACAUGGGAAAAUCCCUUGGUUUGAUGGUUAAACUCUGACUUUUCCAAGUCAAAAAGUACGGUAUUUAAUUGGAAAUCCAAGUUUCCUUGGUUUCAAAUUUUUCAUGUAGAAACAUGCAGGACGGUCUCUUGUGUUCCCUGUCUAAUUUUGCUCUCCAGGAACCAGGGUAAAAUUCUGCCAUCGCUUGGACAUCUCUGUCAGGGAAGUGAGGAUUACGGGUAAUUAUUGAGAAUUUCACACGUUUUUAGGCAAUAAUUCUGAUUAAGUGACUUUAACUAUGUGCUCUAAUGUCCACUCUUUUGUUGAUAAGGAUAUGUUAUGGGUAAAGGAAUGCCCUGAUUGAGUUUCAUUCAAUUUCAUUGAUUUAAAAUUAAAUGAGUGAAACAAAGUUAUUCCUCUAAAAAUAAAAAAAAACCAAACCGUUGUUAACUGUUACGUGGAGACGGUAUCUAUAGGUUCAGCUAUAAUCAUAUUAAUUUGGUUGAAUUUUCUUAGAUAAAGUUGUUUUUUUCUUCUUUUUUAGAAAAAAAAAAAAAAUACAAAAGCUAAUAUAAUUGCGUCUGAAAUGGGGAAGUGGGAACUGCUGACUCUCAGAUAAAUCAGGCAAUGAUGGCGAUUGGUAAAGAUGCAAGAACUUUGCUGUGGUCUAAUCACCCUUCUCAGUCCCAAUCAAAAGACAUAAUAUUAUUUUUUAGUCUCUCGGGAGAUUAUUCUUGAAUAAAUUGAGAUGACAGUGGAAAAUAAGGUGAUAGAAAAUUCGCUAAUGGCGACUGAAGUGGAUGAAUGACAUCUAACGGGCAAUUUUUAAUUCCUGAAAAAAGUUAUUUCGGAAAGAUGAAUCAGUCCUGAAAUCAUUUAGUUACCCUUUUUCUAUUAGAAAAUGUGGCUUACUAUAGGAAAAGUUUUCCUUGUAAAAUCCAUACUGCAUUGUGCCGAGUCUUUCUUCUUUUUUUUUUUUUUUUUUAAAGGAUAGUGGUGUUAAUUGAGAAAGAGAAAUGUAGUCUUAUGAAGUGGGUACUCAGCUUCGCCGUAGUAUCUCUUACGUGUCACCUCAAUUCCCAGGAGGUAGUGCAUUGGAAAGGAAAUAGGAUCUCUGGACACAGAAAACUAUGGAGUUUGCUACAUUCAUGAUUUCAAAAAUAACAGUAAAGAUAUCAAUUAAUUGUUGUAUAAAAUUCUUAUAGAAAUGUAACUAUCAUCAGGCUGCUAGCUACUGUUUCUUCAACUUAACUGUUAUAAGUUCAUUUAUAUAGUAGUGCUAAUGCUGAUUCGUUUGAAAACAUUUACUUUUGUUUUCUCUUGGGGAAAAUUAUGCUCCCCCAAAUAAAUUGUUCAAGCCAAGAUAAUUCUACAAUAAGCACAUUUACGGGUUAAAUAUAGCUUCUUCAUUAGCAUAUAAAACUGCAAGAGACAAAUGAUGAGCAGCUUAGUUGAUUUAAUAAAACAUGUAGAAUACUACAGAAUAUCAAGAUUUUGGGGGUAAAUAACUCUUGUAUGUCCAGUUCAUACAUAAAGUGACUGGAUCAAGUACACAAGUACCACUACUUAAUCGUACCAAAUAUUCACAGCAAUGGCAGAAAAAGGACUUAUUCAACAUUGGCAGAUUGCUUUCUAUACUGAGGAAGCAUCUAUUAACUCACUUUACCGAGGGUCUAAUUCAGUAAUCGAUGCCUCAUUGAUAGACCAUGGCAUUGAUCGACUAGUGGAUUGAUCAGAUUCCAUCUCCUUGUUUGGCAUACUUCCCUCUGUUCUGCUGUGAAGGAAAAAUGCCGGUUGCUUAGGUAAUGGUAGUGUGACAGAGUAACUGUUAAGCAUGAGAACAAUGGUAGUCAUCGUAGGCCUGUCAACUGGAUCUUCCUGAACACAUAAUAACCCAAUUUGGAUGCAUCUAAUGACUUCAUUUCUAGAGUAAGUAUCCCUCAGAAUAGGAUCCAACAAUUCCAAUGGCGUCCCAUCCUUCCAAUGUUUCCAAGCCUGCAGUGGUUCAUCAAGUAAGAUUUAAAAAGUCACCUCACCUUAAAUUUUAAUUUCGUAUUUCGUAUAGGCUGAAUUAUACUCACGUAGCUAAGGAGGUCCUCAGCACCAUCUGUUUGAUAGAAAUUACUGUUCCUUUGGCCACUAAUAAUUUCGAGAACUAAAACGCCAAAACUAUAUGCAUCUGAUUUCACAGAAAACUGCCCUUGCAUUGCAUAUUCGGGAGACAUGUAGCCACUGCAGAACCAUUAGCAAUGUUAGUAUAAUGACAAGAACAAAAAUUUUUAGUUUGAUCUAAUAAUUUAUUUAUGCUAACAACAAUCAGGAUAGCUUGUUAUAAAUGAUUUAGCUGGAGGUGUUAAUAUGUCACAAGGAUUCCUAAAUUCGAUUAAAAGCAGGGUAUAACCAAAAUGAGCUUUUAUUUCUUUAAGUUGUUCAACAAUUAGGAUGCAACAACUCAUGGUUAAAUUGCGUAUGAAACUUAUGCAAACAAAUGCUAAACAUGUUCAAAACUUACUAGGUACCAACAACUCUUCUGGUGGUUCCUUGAGUUUGAUCAACACCAAAAAUCCUUGCCAUGCCAAAAUCUGAAAUUUUUGGAUUCAUUUCACCAUCUAAUAAUAUAUUGCUGGCCUUGAGAUCCCGGUGUAUGAUUCUAAGCCGAGAAUCCUCAUGCAGAUAAAGCAUUCCUCGAGCAAUCCCUCCUAUGAUCUUGUAACGUCUUGACCAAUCCAAUUGUCCUUGUUUUGCAGGAUCUAUAAAAAUAAAUAAAUAAAUGAAUGAAUAAGUAGUUUUGUUCACACAGCAAAUCUAAGAUUAAGAUAUACCCAUGUAUCUCUCUAGGCAGUGUUUAAAAUCAAUUAAAAGUCCCAACAAAAUUCUUGCAACAGUAUAUUACACGUACCAAAAAGAAAAUAGUCAAGACUUUUAUUGGGCACAAAUUCAUACAAGAGUAUCUUUUCUUCUCCUUCCAAGCAAAAUCCGAGUAGUCUCACUAGAUUUCUGUGUUGAAGCUUGGCAACCAAUACAGCCUCAUUUUUAAAUUCCUCCACCCCUUGCCCUGAACUUCUUGAUAACCUCUUAACAGCUAUCUCUUGUCCGCUAGGAAGGGUACCCUGAGAAUGUAAGAUACCCUUGAUUAGAAAAGCUUUCUGAGAGUUUGAGUUUGGACACUGUAAGCAUGUAUAAAAUGCCUACAUGUCAUUAAAUACUAAUAAUACCUUGUAAACUUCACCAAAACCACCUUCUCCUAGCUUGUUCCUAUCUGAGAAGUUGUUUGUGGCAACUUGUAUCGUGCUAAAAUCAUACUGCAGUGACUCUAUUGUGGUUAUAUCAUUUCCUGCUGUAAAAUCAAACUAGCAAAUGUCAUAUUCUGUAAAACAUAAUCAAAGAACAGGGUGAAACCGGAGAAAUGAGAUUGUUUUGGCUCAAAAUAAGUUGUGUUUUACCAUUUUCUCCUUCUAUAGCUUUGUACUUCCUUGCUCUCCUUUUUAAUAGACAACAACCCACGAAAAAAAGCAAAACAGAGGCAGAAAUUGGAGCAACAAUGGCAAUAAUUAUUUGCCACGAAUUUUGGCUUUUUCCUGCAGAUGCAAUAAAGAAUUAAAGAUGUGUCACGAUAAUUUCUAAUACCAUAAAGCAUGCUUAGAAGGUGGAGAGGAUAUGUGGAAGGCUACAACUAUCAAAUAAAAUCAAAUUCAAAUUCAUUUGUGACUUUUAAUUCGAGAUGUCUUUGCGGCAAUCUUCCGGGAACCAGAACUUUCCCAAUGUCAAUUCCUCAAUUCCAUCAAGGAAAGGCAAAUUUUAGCGUCGGUAAUUUUUUGGAAGAAAACUAUAAGGCAUAUAGUCGUCCUAAUUAUAAUUAUUUAACUCAACUAACAAAAAUAAAUAAAAAGGCAAUAGAACGGAUGGUAUGACUGAACCUGGAGCUGCUGGAGGACGAGUUAUCACAGACGGAGGUGCCGGAACUGAAACUGCGGUUUGAUUAUAGAACGGGUAAAGUUCAUAUCUAAUGUUGCAGCUAGGAGUCAGCACUCUUCCCCCUUGCUUUCCACUGCAACAAUUAGGCAGAGCCGCUAUAGCUCCUCGCAGACAUGUAUUACAAUCCGUGCUUGAUAGGUCAGGAGUACACUGCACAAGGCUGUACAGUGUUUGAAACCCUGAAAUAUUCGCGUCUCUGGUCGCGAAGUUUUUUAAACCUAACGUAGCAUUUACAGCCAGGGUUGCUGCAUUAUUCAUCGUAUCAGCCAGUAUCUGGUUAAAACGCUCUUGGUCCGAGACAUUUCCCGUGUUCAACAUAUAGAUUGCAGGUACAAUGGUCGCGAUGGAAAAGAUAGAUUGAUUUGAGUAACGCAAGAGGCAAUCAUCAUACCAAAUCACAGCAAUUUUUUCAACAGCACAAAGUUGAGUGACGUCGUUGAUGGCAGUAGAGACACAUUCUUCGCAGCCACUAUUCGAAACAUCACCCCUGCAGAGAAACAGCCCAUAGACCACGUCAGAGUUUCUGCCAGAGGUUGUGCUAUAGAAUCGAUUGCCGCGGGUGGCGUUGGAGGAUAGAGAGGAAAGCAGGUGAUUGAGAUCGGCUUGGUAAGUACCGUUUGUGGGAAAAGUGGUUGCGUUCGAACAGCUAUGGGCGAGGUAAGUUUGUUGUGCUCCAAUGGUAAAGCUAAGCAAGGAGAGGAACAACAGAGUUAUGAAGGACUUGUAGACAAGCAUUUUUUCUCUUUCUUUUUUUCCUAGGACCAUAACAGUGGUGAUCUUCUCAAUAUGGGGUUUUCUACCGGCACCUAAAGACUUGGUACCUCUAGACACCAACCGUCAAAAGCAGGUGAAGCCAAUGUAAUGGUCGUGUUGGCUGGUUGAAUGCUGUAAAGACAUUUACACGUCUGUGACGGAUGGAAUAGGAGUUGGAGAUAAACAUCAAGUGCAGCUUUCACUUUAAUGGUGCCUUAAAGUCGCAGGCCCACACUCUAAUCGGAAGUUAGUGCUCCGUAUUGAAACAGACUUUUCUCAUUACAUAUUUACAUUUAGAUUUCUUUGUUCCUGUGUCGAAUUUGUCCGUAGCAUCCCAUUUAUUAAAGGAGUUUUUUUUUUUUUGGAAUAGUAGUAUACAGUAAUUUUUAUGAUUUAUUUUUCAAAGUUCUUUAAUCUUUUGUUCUAAGAAGUAUAGUUUAAUUUAGUAGUAAAUGAUUGAAUUAAUUCUUUAAAUAAAAAUGGAUAUACUUUUGAAAAAUAAAAUCAAAUACAUCUAUAGUCAAUAUAUUUUUUUCUCUUUUGUAUAUUGAUAUAUGAAGAUAGCUCCAAUUCUUCUGUCGAAAAAAUUAAGCACAUCUUAUGGUUGUCAUUCAGUCAAAAACGGCUUAAUAAGUGUUCAGAAGCUAGAAUCCUAAGAAUAGUGAAAUAAAGGACGAUGCAACCACUAAUCAAUCACCGAGGCGAGAUAUUUGAAAUUGUAACCUCAUUAACAGAACAGACUAUCAUUUGAAGUGGAUUGAAUUGGUUCUGCAACAACACGUCCAACAGAAAAUGCAGGUUCUGCUGGUAGAGGAAGUGUUGUGGUCUCGCUUGCCAACAUGACAAUCACAGUUGACAUGGUAGGUCUGUCCGCUGGGUCUUCUUCCACGCACAACAGCCCGAUACGGAUGCAUUUAAGAACCUGAGUUGGCACAGACGACUGAACAAGGAGCGGGUCUAUUAGCUCCAUUCCUUGACCUUUAGACCAUAGUUUCCAUGCCUGUAAUGUUAAUUAGUAUUAGAAUGAUACAGCAAUAUAGCCAUCUAUUUUUUGAAGACAAAGAUAGGAUUAAAACGUACAAAGGUUAGGAGGCUUUCACCACGCUCGGAAAGAUGAAAGCCAUUGUUCCUUUUGCCGCUUAUUAUCUCCAGUAAGAGGACUCCGAAACUGAAAACAUCGGAUUUGACUGAAAAAAUCCUUCCAUAGCAUACCCUGGUGCCAUGUAUCCACUAUUUCAGUUUAUAGGAAUAGUUAAAAUCAGGUUAGAUUACGGAAAUCUCAGAACAAAGAAUCGUUAAGUUUGAACAUUGUGCUGUCAUAAAAUUGAAGGAUGACUACAAAUUUUAGAUUGUAAGGAACAGCCAUGUUCCUCUUCAGAAUGAACCUCCGCAAAGACUAUGAUCUGAUGUAUUGCUUUUCCAUUUUACGAGUUCAAUGCUGAUUCUUUCUUUUCAAUAAAAUUUUAUUUGACACAGAUGCAAUAUUAAAGAUCAAAAGAAAACAAAUGAAGAACCUAGAUUGGUAAAAAAAAAAACAGAACUGUGAGCCUAGAAGGCAUGGGAUAGUGGACUUACUAUGUUCCAACCACUCUGUUUGUAUUUGCUUCAUUUUGAUAUGCACCAAAAAUUCUAGCCAUUCCAAAAUCUGAUAUCUUUGGGUUCAUCUCGUGAUCUAGCAAAACAUUGCUAGCUUUAAGAUCCCUAUGAAUAAUUCUAAGACGAGAAUCCUCAUGUAAAUACAGGAUGCCUGGGGCAAUGCCAUUAAUAAUGCUAAGACGCUUCUGCCAAACCAGUUGCACACCAAUGCUUGAAUCUGGAAAAGAACCCCCCAAAAGAAUGUAGUAGUUAGUUGAUUUUUUACCAUAUUUCAUGAAGAUUCCUGUUAAAAAACAGAAUGAAUAAAGCAGAAACAAGAAUUUUUUGUUUGAGGAUCAAACCCAAGAGGAACACAUCAAGGCUUUUAUUGGGCAUGUAUUCAUAGACAAGCAGUUUUUCGUUCUGCUCCAAGCAGCAGCCCUGGAGUCUCACCAGAUUUCUAUGUUGUAGUCUGGCAAUUAACAUGACUUCAUUCUUGAACUCAAGUAACCCUUGCCCAGAAGUUCUAGAGAGCCUUUUAACUGCAACUUCUUUUCCAUCUGCCAAUUUGCCUUAAAAGAAGGAAUUAACAAGCAUCAUAAAAGAACUAAUUAUGUGAACUGUGAAGUUGAAGAAGCGCAUCGUAUACUAAAAGUAUAAUACUCCAUCACCAUAGUUACCUUGUACACAGGGCCAAAUCCACCUUCUCCAAGUUUAUUUUCAUCACAAAGUUGUUUUGUUGCUGUUUGUAAAAUAUCUAGCUGAAUCGAAGGGAAAUCCUUAGAUCUCACGCCACUCUCACCUUGAAAAUUUUCAAUUGAGUAGCCGUCGCCAACUCUUUCUCCUAAUCCAAGUAACUGAACUUCUUGGCUGUUAUGAUCUAUAUUCUCUUCAAGAGAAAACAAUAAUUGGCAAAACAACAGAGUCAAGAAAAAAUGAGGUGGAAGUGUGAUCCAAUGCAUACCAUGAAAAUUUCUCCUUCUCCAACGGAAAAUACCUCCACAACAGAACAGGGUGACCCCAAAAAUUGCGGAUAAACUUGCAACAAUAGGAAUCCAAUUUGGUUCGCCUUGUUUGCCACCUUCUAAAUCUGUUACUCCAAAACAAAGUUAUCUUUCAGUUGAUUUUUAGUGGAAUAAAUUUCUAAUUUUUGUAUUCUUCUAGCUGCUUCUGUUUGGCAGAUAUUAAUUAAUUUGCAAUUAGUUUCUGUAGCAGGUAUUUUUCCAACUUUCUUUUUUGAUGGGUGAAAAUUUCAGUAACUAAAAAUUAGGCAAGCUUAAUUCUCUAGCAUCUGAUGAUACUAACCGUUUGAGCCACUUGUUUUGUUUACUGAAGGAAGGGAUGCUUCUGAUUCAACUCCAGGAUUCUUGAUUAUCGUAGUGUUUGUUGAUUCGUCUCGAGGUUUUCCAUAAAAUGGAUAUAUCUCAUACCUGAUGCUACAGCUUGGUCGUAAAAAUCUCCCACCUUGUCUUCCAGUCUCUAAAGAUAGGAUUGAGCUACGUAGACAAGAUUGACAGUCUGCAACUGACAAAUCAGGGGUGCAUUGAACAAGGCCAUACAGCUUCAUGGAAAUUGAAACAUUAACUUCUGUAGUUGCAUACAUGUGGUUAGAAACAUUUGAAAGCAUCCUAGUCAGAUUGUCGAAAGUCUCGGCCAAAUUCUUUUCAAAUUUAUCAAGGUCCGUUAUAUUUGCAUCAUUAUACAUAGCAAAAGCAGGUGUUAGCUGCAUGGUAGAGAAGAAAGAUCUAUAGGAAUAGCGCACAAGGCAUGCAUCAUAAUAUAUAAUCGCUUCUUUGUCACCAGCGCAAUCCUCUAAGAUCUUAGCGGUUGCUAAGGCAAUGCAGUAUUGGCAGAAAUUGGGUUAAACAUCACCUCGACAGAGGAAAAGGCCAUAAACCUUCUCUGGAUUUUCCCUUGCCGUAUCGUUAAAGAAACUAUAAAUACUUCCUUGGUCAUUAAACCGCCGGAUGAGAAGGUGGUUAAGGUUGUUCGCGAACCGAAUACUAGAAUUAAAUAUUUCUGAACAUCUUGUAUAGAGAUAAGCCUGCUGCAUUUCGGACACGUUUUGUGGGAUAACAAGGAGCGAAGAAGAAAGAAAGAGGAGCAGGUAAAAUGCGCCUGAAACAGAAAGAACAACAUAAUAGUGCAUCAUCUUCUUCCAAUGCUUUUCAAUAAUUCAGAAAUCUUAAGACCAUAAUCUAUCCGGAAUGGGUUAUUAACCGAGACUGAGAGGCCCUCCUCGACAAAUUGACUUGUUGACUUCUAAAGUUUCCGUCCACCGCCAAAAUUAUCUCCACACCACGAUCUGUUGCCUCGUUUGGCAAAAACGUUACGCUCUGUUUUCUCGUUAACGUGCAGUUUGCAUCUGAAUUUUUUUUUUUAGUAUUUUAAUAAAAUAAUAAUUAUUAAUUGUUUUGGUAACCAUGAAAAUUUCUGAUUAAUUAUUUAUUUUAUGUUGUUAACAAGUUUUUACUUUGCUAAACUAAUUAUUUUUGUUAAGUUCACUAAUUUUUAAGAUUCACCACUUUGUUAAAGCUUAAUUUAUUACAAUUGAAUAAUUGAAUAAAGAUUCUCAAUAAAUUAAUAAAAAAUUUAUUUGUGACAUGAGUAUAAUUUGAAAUUUGAUCAAAGGGAAGAGGUUAAUAUAGUCUACACACCAUAAAAUAAUUUUAUUUUAUUUUUUAUAAAAGACAUACCCUUUCAUUCGAUAUGUGUAAUUAAUGUUACUGUAAAUCAGCUUUAUGCACAUGUUACGUAUUAAUUUAUUAUUAUAUAACAAUAUUGAUAUAAUUUUAAUUACUUAUAUAAUAAGAGUGCUUUUGCUUUCCAAUCAAUGUGAUAGAGUGACAUAAUAUCAUUGAUAUCUCUUGAGGUGAUGUGAUUACUCCUCCGAGAAGGAUGUAAUAUCCAAGCAGAUGGAGAAUUAGCCACCAAGUACAGUCACUUAGAUGUUAGGGAUGAUUAUAGUUUUGAUAUUAUUUAUUAAGGAUCAUUUAGUUUUGAUAUUAUUUGUUAAGUAAAAUUUUUUUAUCUAAUUAAAUAAGUGAAAGUUAAAUUAUAUAAUCAAUCAAUCAUAUAAAAAAUAUUAAUUUAAUAUAAUUCGAUCCAAUUAGUUUAUGUCUACAAAUAAAAAAAAUCAUUAGUUAUAAAAAAUUACAUUAAAAUAUUAAAAUAAUCACUCACAAUUACACCUAUAGACCUUCUCAAUCUCUUCUAAUUCUCUAAAGUAUUCUCAAUCUAAACAAACAUAUAGCUAUAUAUACCUUUUUAACACAAAGAAACACAUACCCAUAUGUACUCAUGUAUCAUAUCUAUAUAGACUAUCUCAAUCUCCUCUAAUCCACUCACAAACAUACAACAUAUACAUUCAUAAGAUGUAAAUCUCUAAUAGUCUUAUAAGUUGUCUAUCACAAUAAAACUUUACAACUCUCUUUCAUCUUUUUCUUAUUCAUGGACUUAGGUCAAUUGGAUCGAAUCAUGUUAAAUUAUUGUUUCUUGUGUGAUUAUUUGAUCAUUUGAUUUUGCUUUCGCUGGCUUACUUGGAUUGGGGCUUUUUAACCUAACAAAUGGUAUCGAAGUUGUAAUAAUUUCUAAUAAAUUAUAUCAGAGCUACGGUAAUCCCUAACAAGUCGUAUCAAACUCAAAGGUUCAAGCCAUUGGAAAAGGUAAGUCCAGAAGAGCUCGAUUCAAGAAAAAAAUUAGAGUUCGUAUUUUAAAAAUUAAUUUGCGUGAAACAUGAAGGUACACAAAAAAAGAUGAUUGUGAGAUUUUUAUUACAGGUACAGUCAAGCAUGUCUAAUAUGAAAAUAUAUGAUUUGAUGAAAUUUGAGUUAAGGUGAAAAUUGUUGGAAAUAGUAACUCAAAUCCCAUAACAGAUUUGUUUGAAAAUUGAUUAGAUAUUAUUUGAUGGACAAGAAGAUUUACUGACGAAGAAUUCUAAAAGAAAAUGAAUUUUUAAUAGGUAAGUUUGACUUACAAAAGAAAAUUUUUAAAAGUAAAAAAAUUUUUAAUAGGCAAAUAUGUAUGUUUAUAAAUAAGUGAACUCUCUACAGGAUUAGGUAUGAGAAAAAGAUAUAAGAGAGUUGUAGGAUUUUAUGAGAUAGACACCUUAUAAAACUACUAAAGAUUUACGUCUUAUGAGUGUGUAUGUUUAUAUAUUUGUAAAUGGACUAAAAGAUAUUGAGAGGGUCUAUAUAGAUAUGAUGCAUGGGUGCACAUAGGUAUGCGUUUGUUUGAGUUAAUAAUACUUCAUAAGACUAGAAGAGAUUGAAAGUAUCUAUGAAUAUUAAUUAUUGAGUGAUUGAUUGAUUUGAUAUAUGUUUGUAACUCUCUAUAAUUAGUGGAUAUUUUUUUCAUCUAUGGACAUAAGUUGAUUUGGUCGAACUACAUUAAAUUGUUGUCUCUUAUAUGAUUGUUUAAUCAUUUGAUUUUGCUUUUGUUGGCUUGAUUGGAUUGGAGUUUUUUAGCCUAACAUUAGACACGUCGUGCGAGACUUAAAAUAAAUAUUUUUAUUUCUAUAUUUGUAAAUUCUCCCUUAAAAAUUAUUUAAAUAAUUUUUUAUUAUUGAAUUUUGCUUACAAAAGUUCUAAAAAAACAUUUUAAAAUUAUUAUGUUAAAUAAUAUUUUGUUUCAAUAUAUUGAAAAUUAAUAUAUUAACUAUCAAUUAUUCAUUAAAUAAAAAUAUUAUUAUAAAUAUAAUAUUAAUUAAUCUUAAAAAUUUCUUAAAAAUAGUCAAGUUAACAAAAUUAUUUACUAUUUAUUAUAACAUUUCUUAUUAUUAAUACCAGACACUGCCUUGAAAAAAAGAAAACAUUUAUUAUUGAUAACAAACACUCCCUUGAAAAACAGAAAGCAUUUAAACUUCCUGGAAAACCAGUAAGCCAGUCACGACAUUGCACUUUUCAACUUAAAUUGAUCAAUUGACAAUUUGCUGUGUGUACAGAGCAAAGUUUUCGGCAUGCACCCCGCAACUAUGCUUGUCAGCUAAAGCACAAAAUUAAACUCUUAAGGGGUCCAUUGCUAUUUCUAUUAAGACCUGUCAUGAAGACCAAUUUAUGGCAGGAAAUGGGGAAGGAAAUUAUGGCACUUUUAAAGGUUUUGCAGAGGAUAGAAAAUUAAAAAGAUAAAAAAUUGAGAGAGAAAAAAAUCCAAAUUAAGAUGGAAAAACUAUGAUUUUUUUUGUUGGUGUGAUUUUGUAAGAAAAAUUAAAAAAUGGAUGGAAUUAAAAUAAUUUUUCUAGAAUCGGCUCGAAAAUCUCAAAUUUUAAUUUUAAUUUUAAUUAAAAACAAUUAAAAUAUUUUUUUUACAUAGUCUAAUUAUUUGAUAGAGUUAAAAAAAAUAACAUUAUUUUAUCAUAUAUAUUUUAAAUAAAAAUAAAACAAUUCUAAAAGUAAAUAAAUAUUUUAUGGAUUUAUAAUAUUUGACUCACUCCUUUUUUAUUUUCUCUUGUUUAUUUUUUUUAUUUCAAAUGUUUUAUUUAUGAAUAAAAAUAAGAAAUGACAAUCUCUCCUAUUAUUAUUUUUUAUGAUAGCUUAAUUAACCUAAAGGUAAAGCUUCAAUAUUAUGAGUUAUAAAUCCUAACUGGCAGUUACCAUAGCAAUUUCGGGGAAAGGGCUUUCAAGUGAAGGUCAUAAUAUAUUAUUACAGAUUUUCUUGUUCAGAGUUUUCUGGUAAACUAAGUAGAAAAUAUAAAUGCAACGAAUUAAAAGGUCGUACGUAUCAACGAGUGUGUGACUUUUGCGGUUGAAGUCGAUUCCGAGGUUGAGUAUUAUUUUCCUAACAACAGGCAAAUGGAAACUUCGAGGGAAAGAAAAAAGAAGAGAAAAUCAUUGAUUCUACGUACAACUGAGGCAAAUAAAGAAAUCGGCGGUAAACUUUACCAACAAUUGGAGUAGUUCCAAGAAGGUACUUAUUAGCCCUUUCAUCACUUUAAAGCCGGACGAUGCACUGGGAUAACUUGACCUACCCCAAACAGAAAGUUCAACGAUCAACGAACUGCACUGGAUAUCUUUUCUUGUCUGAACUUGUCCAUAAAUAUUAGAAGUCCUAAUAAUGCUAAAAUUAAAAAAGAAAAGUAUCUUAAAUUUCAUAACUUUUAUUAAAUAAAAUUUUAUAUUUUUAUUAUAUUUAAAAUUUUUUUUAAUAUUUAAUUUGUACUCAUAUAAUACUUUAACAUUUAAUUUGCAUGUAAAUAAGUUAUUAAACUUUUAAUUUAUACAUAAAUAAUUCCUUAUACAUCAUUCUUUUAUUUGAAAUGAAAACUUAUUUAUAUACAAAUCAAAUUAUAAACAUUUAUUUAAAUAUAAAAAAUAUAUAAGAGUUUAUUUAAAAAUAAUGAAAUAAUUCAAAGAUUUUUUUUUAAUAUUUGGGCUUACUAAUAAUUAUGUCUUGCAUACAUCCAUGUGAGACAAUUAUUAAAACCUGGUAAAUUGAAAGAGGUGUCGAAUAUUUAUGUAUUAAAAGGGUGUAAAUGUUAGAUGGCCUGUGAACAGAACAAUCUCAUCAAUAAGAGACGGAGUCAUAAUUUAUGAUAAGUGAAAUAAAUAUUUUAAGUUAAUUUAAAAUUUUUUUCAUUAAAGUAAAAUUAAUUUUAAAAAUUAAAAAUAAAAUUAGCACGUAUAACCUUUUUGUAAAUGAAAAUAAAAUUUUGUUUUGCAAAUAUAAAUAAUAUUUGCGUAAUUAAUUAUAUGAUUUUUUACAAAUAUAGUCUAAACACUAUUUAGAUAAAUCAUUUAUCUUAAUAGACACACACACACACACACAUAUAUAUAUAUAUAUAUUGAUAUAUUAAUUUAAUAGAAUUUUACUUACAAAAUUCUUAAAAAUAAAUAUAAUAUGUGAAAGAAUGAAAUAAAAAUUAAUAUGUUUAACUUUAUUAUUUACUUUUAAUAUGUUUAGUUUUAUCAUUUAUUUUUAAUAAACAAAUAUAUUUGAUAUUUAUUCAUUAUAAUUUGAAAAAUAAAAAAUUAUUCUUUUCUUACAUACAAUGAAAAGAAGAAUGAAGAUGAUUUUUUUUUUAUUUUAUUACUUCAUAUUUUUUUAUGUUUUUUUAUUUUGUGUUAAAAAGUGGUUAAAUCACUUAUGUAGUGUAAGCUCCAUAUCACAUUAUUCCUAUAAGAUCAAUUUGUAUCAAUCUAAACAAAUUAUUAUGAGAAAUUAAAAAUUUAACAAUUUCAAACUCUCUAGAAAUAAUUUAUUUUAUUUUUUACAAACUUGAAAUAUAUAUAUAUAUAUAUAUAUAUAUAAGUAUAUAUAUAUUAUAAUGAUAUUGCUUAGCACUCAAAGUGUCAAUGUUCAAUUAUUAGAUAAAUAAUGAAAAAUUUCAUAUAUGAACUUUAACUUAGUGGGGGGCAAAUAUGACAACAAAGAUUUUUUAUAAGGACAAAACUUUAAAUUUUCAAAACUUUUGAUAUUUUUAUAAUAAACCCAAAAGAAUUUUAUGAACUCAGUGGGGCAACUGCCCACACAUGCUUCUACGUAGAUCUGCUCCUGUCAUCAAUAUUUUCUUUACAUUUGAUAGAACAAAAAUGGAAUAGGAAUUUUGAACAUUGAACUUUUAUCUUAUCAAGAAGAAUUUACAGCAGUUAGAUUAAAUUCAUCAAAUUUUUUACUCGGCUAAAUAUGUUCAGCGGGCUGAGAUAUUAGAUAUUGUCAUCAGAUUUAUUAAUGAAUUUGUUGUAGAAAGGCUGAUCAACAGGAACAACUCUGCCAAUAGGAAAAAGCAGGUCUUUUGGUUCAGGAAGAGCAAAAGAGGGUCCAUUAGGUCCAAUUGUUUUCCAUUUUUCCAUAGUCACCAGGCUUGCCAACGAAUCACUAUAAGAAAAUAAAAGAUUAGUGACAAUUUUGUAGCAAUAUUUCAUUUACAAAUAUUAUUAAUUUAUGUGUUUUUAUAAAAUUUAAAGCGCUUAUUAUCAAAACAUCAUUAAAUAUUUAAAUAGCGACAUUGUUACUUAUAAACACCACUCAAUACUUGAUAUUAGCGACAUUUAUCGACUAAAACGUCUUCAAUAAUCUUGUCUUAAAAAUUUGAAUGAAUAUUAAAGGAGUUUUUGGUAGAAAAUGACUUAAAUAAUCUCGUUAAAAAAAUUAAUAAAGAAUUACUCAAGGCGUUUUCUACAUGAAAUGCUUUUAAUAAUUUCAUAAAAAAAUUCAACAGGGAUAUUGAAGGUGUUUUUAAUUAAAAAUACCUUCAACAAUAUCCUAUUAAAAUUUUAGGAUCGUACGGAUGUUAACCAUAAGGUGGUAAGUUCGAUCCCUUCAUUUUGCAUUUUUUAAGUUUUUACAGAGAUUAUUUAUAAUUGAUUAUUCUAGGUAUUUUCUGGGCAAAAAUGCCUUCACCAAUCGAUUUAAAAAAUUUUAGAGAGAAUAUUGAAGGCGUUUUUGGUAGAGAAAUGCCCUCAAUAAUCCAUAAAAGAAAUAUGGAACCGAUUCUUGAAGAUAUUUUUGGCUGAACUCACCUUCAAUAAUCCAAUCAAUAAACUUUUAGUUUGGAUUAUUAAAGGCGAUUUUUGUCAAAAAUGCCUUCAAUAAUCCAUACACAAGUUGAAACGGAUUCUUGAAGGCGUUUUUGGCUCAAAAUGCCUUUAAUAUUUCACACGAUAAAUUUAAAUUGUUGGAUUAUUGAAGGCAGUUUUUAUAAAAAAAUGCCUUCAAUAACAUGUUGUUAGGGAUUAUUCAAUACGUUUUCCAGCAAAAAAAAUGCCCUUAAUAAUCCAUAGGAAAAAUAUGGAACAGAUUUGUGAAGGUGUUUUUGGCCAAAAGUGCCUUCAAUAAUCCAUUCAAUUAAUUUUUAGUUGAUAUUAUUGAAGGUAAUUUUUUUUUUUUAAAAUGCCUUCAAUAAUCCAUACAAAAAAGUUGGAAUGGAUUAUUGAAGGCAUUUUUUAUCCUAAAUGCCCUUAAUAUUCUACACAAUAAAUUUUUAGGUGGGAUUAUUGAAGAUAGUUUUGGUAAAAAACUCCUUAAAUAACAUUUUGUUAAGGAUAAUUCAAGGUGUUUUCUUGCUAAAUAUGCCCUUAAUUUGUUUGUAGGAAAAAUAUGAAACGAAUUCUUGAAGGUGUUUUUAGGUGAAAGCGCCUUUAAUAAUCCAAUCAAUAAAUUUUUAAAAUAGAUUAUUGAAGGUGGUUUUUGUCAAAAAUACCUUCAAUAAUCCAUACAAAAUAUUUGGAAAGGAUUCUUAAAGGCGUUUUUGUCCCAAAUCGCUUUUAAUAUUCCACAUAAUAUAUUUUUAGAUAGGAUUAUUGAAGGGGAUUUUAGUUAAAAACUCCUUCCAUAACAUUUUGUUACGAAUGAUUAAAGGUAUUUUCUUGCUAAAAACGCCUUCAUUAAUCCUAUGAAAAAAAUAUUUUUGAUAUUAUAUAUGUCAAGUCAGUUGUAAGUUUAUGCCCAGAAAACAUUUAAAGUCAGUUGUACAUUUAUGCCUAGAAAACAUUUGGUUUAUAUAUGUGAUACUAUGAAUUAUAUUUUGGAAUUUACAUAAUGAAAAUUGUUGUAUUUUAAUAAAUUGACGACACAUUCGAAUUUAAAACUAAUAACGUUGCCAUAUUACUAUACUUUCUGAAAUAAUCGUACUCAAUAAUAUAUUAAGUACACAUAGUGUAUUCAUAUAAAAUAAAUAUAUACCAAUAAUAUUAAAUCAAUACCCCAAUCUACAAACUUAAAAUUUUCAUUCAACAUGGCAUGUUAAAAAAUUAUAAUAAUUUGUUCUUCAUAUAUUUACAUUUAACCAACAAUGCUAAUCUCAAGGUUUAUCAAUAAUGAUAAAUGAUAAUAAAUACUCACACCAUUCUUUAAGGACUUCAUCCAGUUCCUCUACUGUGAAGUUUUCUUUACUCUCUCACUAAAAAAAAAAAUAGAAGUAAAUGUUAAUAAAUGAGAACAUAAUUUAGUUUUUUAUUUUUUUGAAGAUAUAACGAGUUUAUGAAAUUUAUACUAACCUUGAAUGGUGUGAUUAUAAAAUCAUAUAAAACUAUCUCCUGCAUAAAAAGAAGGACAUAAUAUCCACAUUCAGUAUUACUGGUUGAUGAUGUACCUGAAAAUUAAAUUGAGUGGGUUUAAGAAAUAUUUAUCUACACAAACUCAGUAUAAAAGAAUAAAUUUUACAUUUACCGAUAAUGACACCCAUUUCAGUUUCUUUGCCUUCUUAUCAAAUAUAGAUAUUAUCUUAAAUUGAAAAGAAAAAAAUUACUUAAUACAUAAAUAAAAUUACUUAUGAAAAACAAAAGAUAUAUAAUAUAAUAAAGUGUAAUACCUCUUUAUAAAAGUUUGAAUUUUGGUGUUAGGCAUCACCGUUGAUUAACUGAAUUAAGUAAGUAUGGCGUUAAGGAUUUGGUGUCAAUCACAAUAAGCACCCAAUGAUGACUACUAAAUAAUGACAAUGUUAUACUCAGAUUAUUUAUCAUAUUAGAUUUGGGUAAGGUUGAAAUAAUUAUUUGUAUGAAUAUAACUUACCGUGCAUUAUACGAGAGCAAAUAAUAAUCAGUCGAUCUUUUCACGUAUUUAAUCAUAUGAUUAGCAUGAUAAGUGACUGUGCCACUCUGCUCACUAAUGAAGUUGGGGUCAACGAAUCUAAAUUUGUUGGUCAAUUGUCUCCCUUGAGCUCUCUAUAUAGGAAGCUACACGAUAACAAUCAAUAAGACUAGUUAGUAUUACACCAUAAUAUAGAUUAAUACAUAUUGAGGGUGCAUAUUUGUAUUUAUAAGCUAACCUCAUAUAAGCAACAAUAUCAACAACUGAUAAUUCAUCCAAUUCAUAAAAAUUUUUAACCUCCUUCACACCAAUGAAAAAAAAAUGAUGGUUUAUCAAAUAAUCCUUCAUCAGACUCAAUGGUUAUGAAGUUUCCUCUGGAUAAAUGCUUCAACAAAUAAUUAGAUAACUCAUCCAUAGUAGCCUGAGCAAGGGUCAUACUCUGAGUCCCAACAUCCUACUACAAUAUUUAAUGAAAUAUAAAUAUUAAAACCAAAUAAAUAAAUAUAAUAAAUAAAUUAAUAUUAAACUUAUAAACAAAAUUAUACUUCAUGAGUGGUAGUGGAGGUUGAGUUCAUUGCCUGACUUGCAACGGAAGCUUGUCCUACGUGGAUAAUGCUAUUUGACUGGCCUACUGCCAUACUAUGCUACAUUGUUGCCAAUAUGGCCUUCAAAGCAGCGAGUCUUUGCUGUUGCUCAUUGAGGCAUUACUCAUGGUUAUCAAGUCAUUGUUGUUGUUGCUCAAUGAUUGCUUCAUAUUGUGCAUUUGUCAUUCGUAAAGUUUUGGGUUGAUUAUUAAAAAACUUUGAUGACAAGAAAAAUUUACCAAUCCCAUGAACCCGACCAAGCCUUUCUUUAGUACUUAAUGCUAAAGAUAAUGGAUCUUCUCCAUACUGGAUUAUCAGUUCACCAGAUUUGACUUUGGAAACAUAAUCAUCCUAAAAGACAAUAAUAAUAUGGGCUGUAACAACAAAUCUAUUCAAGCUAGUAUACAAUUAUGCAUACAACCACAAUGCUAAUCAUACAUUAUAUUAAAAAAGUAGUUAUACAUACAAUCUUUUUCGGUAUUUUUUCAGUUGCUUCAUUUGCAAAGGAUCUAUAUUUUUGUAGAUGUCCUUAUUUUCAGACAUCCCAUCUGAAAACUUCAGUACCAGAGCUUGCUGAUUUCUAUUAAAUUACUGCAAUAUAAGAAUCUGAAUGUAUGAAAUGAAUGUUCAUAAAUAUUCAUUAAUGAGUAUAAAAUAAGUGUGCGAAUUCAUACAAGUUCAUACUUCACAUUUGCAUAUCUUUUUCUUGUUGUUCAAUGGUGAUAUUGUUGUUUGGCUCAAAUAUUCUGUUGGUUUUCUUUGAUUUUCUACAAAAGAAAAAAAUUACGUCAAUCACAUAUGAAGAUCAAAUGAUAUAUUGCAUAAAAACCUAUAAACAAUUUUUUUGGUAAUGGGUUUGCAUACUGAGAAAUCUUCUGAAAGUCGAUAUUGAACAAAAUUUAUCCAAUCUUCAACACUUAUUACAUCUACAUAUGACGCAGGUGAAAUAGCCAAUACAUCACCUUGAUUAGCCAGCGGUAAAAUAUAUUGGGUUGUUAAUUUGCUUUUAAAAUCUCUGAAUGUUUUCUCAGCAGAUUGCAACACAAUCUUUUUAUAGUCAAUUAAGACAUCAAACCUUCCUAAAUAAUUUAACACAAUUAGUAUGAACAAAUUGAAUUUUAAUUAAAUGAUUAUUUAAUAAAUUUUACGAAAUAGUUGAAUAAACAUACCACAAUCGACUGCCAUAUAUCAUCUUUUAGAUCAUUAGAAACUCAUCACCAAUUGGUGUACAUAAUUGAAAUCCUAUUACGGACGAUGGCUCCAAUAUGAGUAGUCAACUUGGUAGCUCCUUCAGACACAAGCUGCCCAUUUUGAUUGAAGUCAAUGUGAAUUUUUGUGUCACUCACUUUAAUUUGUUUAUUUGGGCCCCUUCCCUUUUUUUUUUGGCCUAUAGGUGUGUCUUGUGCAUGUUUAAUAGAAGGAGAAUGAUGUUGUUCGAAGUUUAUAAUACAUGUAAUUUUGAUCAUAAUUAUAUGAAUUACACAAAAUAACCGUUUAAAUUUAACACUGUACAUAAUUAAAUAAAAUUAAUACCAUACUACAUACAGAAAUACCAUUCAGUAAACUAAUCAGCAAUGUGCUCAAACACAACCAUUCAGAAAUACCAUUUAGCAUACCAUUCAACAUAAAAUUUAGCGUACCAAUAUCAUACAAUACCAUUCAGCAAAAUAAUAUCACACAACAAACCACAAUAUUUAAAGAAAACUACACAGAAACAACACACAUGCAAUGAAAGGUGCUUAGGCAACUUUGCUUAUGGUGAAAUUAAUAAAAAUAUAUGCAUAUGUAAAUAGUAAAGAACCGAAAAAAAUACCUUUAUUGAAUAAUAUCAAUAAUACAGUAAACAAAAAAUAAAAACAUACCAAUAAACAUAGAGGUGCUCACCGUUGAUUUGUUAAAGGUCAAUGACGAUGAUAGGGAUAAAGAAACCAAAAGUCUGAUAGAAAUGUGUUUAUAGGUUUGGUUUGGUUUAUUAAUGCAACUUUUAAUCAUUCUCUAUACUAACAGUUUGUGAUUCUAAUGUUCAAGAUAAGGGAAUGAAUAUAAAAAUUAUAAGUGAAGGCAUUUUUCUGAAAAAAAGGCUUUCAAUAAUUCCUUUAAAAUUUUAGUUGUAGAUUAUUGAAGGUAUUUUUUAUUAAAAAACACCUUUAGUAAUCUAAAAAAUAAUUUUCAAAUGAAAUUAUUAAAGGUGUUUUUCCUCAAGAAAUGCCUUUGAUUAAUUUAAACAAAAAUUAUUAAAGGCGUUUUAGUAGAAAAUCGCUUUCAUUGAUAUUCCUGUGAUAAGAAUUGAGGGAAUUAUUGAAGGCGUUUGUUCUUAAAAAAGCCUUCAAUAAUUAUGUGCAAAAACUAAAAAGAAUUAGUGAAGGUAUUUUUCUGGAAUAAACGCCAUUACUAACCAUCUUAAAAUUUGAGUAUUGAAAUAUUGAAAGCGUUUUUCAUUAGAAGACACUUUUAAUAAUCCCAUAAAUUUUUAAAAGAAAAUUAUUGAAGGCGUUUGUUCUCAAAAAAUACCUUCAAUAAUUAUGUAUAUAAAUUAAAAGAAAUUAGUGAAAGUAUUUUUUAAGAAUAAAUACCUUCACUAACCAUCUUAAAAUUUGAAUAUUGAAAUAUUGAAGGUGUUUUUCACUAGAAGACGCAUUUAAUAAUCUCAAAAAUUUUUUUUAAAAAAUUAUUGAAGGCAUUUUUUGAGAACAAAUGCCUUCAAUAAUUAUGUACAAAAAUUAAAAGGAAUUAGUAAAGGUAUUUUUUUGGAAUAAACACCUUCAUUAACCAUCUUAAAAUUUGAGUAUUGAAAUAUUGAAGGCAUUUUCACUAGAAGACGUCUUUAAUAAUCUCAAAAAUUUUAAAAAAAAUUAUUAAAGACGUUUAUUCUCAAAAAAUGCCUUCAAUAAUUAUAUACAUAAAUUAAAAUGAAUUAGUGAAGGCAUUUUUCUAGAGUAAACACCUUCACUACCUGUCUUAAAAUUUGAGUAUUAGAAUAUUAAAGGUAUUUUUCACUAGAAGAUGCCUUUAAUAAUCCAAAAAAUUUUUAAAAAGAAAUUAUUGAAGGUGUUUGUUCUAAAAAAAUACCUUCAAUAAUUAUGUACAUAAAUUAAAAAGAAUUAGUGAAAGUAUUUUUCUAGAAUAAACGCCUUCAGUAACUAUCUUAAAAUUUAAGUAUUGAAAUAUUGAAGGCAUUUUUUUACUAGAAAACAUCUUUAAUAAUCUCAAAAAUUUUUAAAAAGAAAUUAUUGAAUGUGUUUGUUCUAAAAAAAUCUUCAAUAAUUAUGUACAUAAAUUAAAAAGAAUUAGUGAAAGUGUUUUUCUAGAAUAAAUGCCUUCAGUAACCAUCUUAAAAUUUGAGUAUUAGAAUAUUGAAGGUGUUUUGUACAAAAGACAUGUUUAAUUAUCUAAAAAAUUUUUAAAAGAAAAUUAUUGAAAGAGUUUGUUCUAAAAAAAAGGCUUUCAAUAAUUAUUACAUAAAUUAAAAAGAAUUAGUGAAGGCAUUUUUCUAGAAUAAAUGCCUUCACUAACUAUCUUAAAAUUUGAGUAAUGGACUAUUAAAGGCAUUUUUCACUAGAAGACGUAUUUAAUAAUCCCAAAAAUUUUUAAAAGAAAAUUAUUGAAGAUGUUUGUUCUAAAAAAAUGCCUUCAAUAAUUAUGUACAUAAAUUAAAAAGAAUUAUUGAAGGCAUUUUUCUAGAAUAAACGCUUUCACUAACCGUAUUAAAAUUUGAGUAUUGAAAUAUUGAAGGUAUUUUUCACUAGAAGACAUCUUUAAUAAUCUAAAAAAAUUUUAAAAGAAAAUUAUUGAAGGCAUUUUUUGCAGAAAAUUGCCUUCACUAAUAUUCAUAGAUAAAAAUGAGGGAAUUAUUAAAGACGCAUUUAAUAAUCUCAAAAAUUUUUAAAAAGAAAUUAUUGAAGGUGUUUGUUCUAAAAAAACGCCUUCAAUAAUUAUGUACAUAAAUUAAAAGCUAUUAUUAAAGGUGUUUUUUUGGAAUAAAUGCCUUCACUAACUCCUUAAAAUUUUAGUAGUGUAAUAUUAAAGGUGUUUAGUGCAGAAGAUGCCUUUAAUAAUCUCAAAUAACUUUUAGAAAGAAAUUAUUAAAGAUAUUUUUUUUUUGUAGAAAAUCGCCUUCUUUGAUAUUUAUAGAUAAAAAUGAGAGAAUUAUUGAAGGUGUAUUAUGCAAAAUAUGCCUUCAAUAAAUACACCAUAAAAAAUUAGAUGAAAUUAGUGAAGUCAUUUUUGAGGUGUAAACGCCUUUAAUAAUCUCAAACAAUUCUACUUCGACUCUGCUAAAGGCAUCUAUAAUAUAUUCAAAAACUAUUUAGGAGAAAAUUAUUGAAGGCAUUUUUCUUAGUAAACACUUUCAAUAAUCCGAUCCAAUAAAAUUGUCCCCAAACUUAGCACAUCCAAUCACUAACUUCAAGCUUCAUCUUUAUCAUUUUACUAUUUCUCUUUCCAGUCCAACUACAAUUUACUUUCCCUUUCCUUUAGCUUUUAGUAUUUGAGCAUUGUCUUUUAUUUCAAUUAUUCAUUAGUUAUUUACUUUAGCUUUUACUUCAUUUGACAAUUCCUUUAGCUUUUGCAAUUUACGAUUUUUUUUUUGUUUAAACAAUUUUCUCUAAAACCCACAUUUCUCAAAUACCCAUUUGUAACCCAUAAUCCACUUCCUUGACCCUUUCAUUUUCUUCUUUUUUUGGGUUUCCUUUGUACCAGUUUUACCUUAUUUCAACCUCAACUACAAAUACUCUUGAGUACUAUCUAGGUGAGCAACAGACUUUUAAUAUUCAUAAUAUUAGGUAGCUAAUAAAAUAUUUCACAACAAAGAGUUCUGGUAUUCUGUAAGUACUAGUCUUGUUAUUAUAUUUUAUUUAAAACAUAGUAAACUUAAGUAUUUUGCAUGUUCAUUUUCAUAUAAAUUAUUUAUAUACAUUUAGUCUAAUAAUGUAGCAAGAACUAAAUGGAAAAGAGUUGGAUGUAAAAGUCAAUUAAGUCAAGAGUAUUGAGAUGGGUGACAAAUUUUCUUAAUUUUGCAUUUGAGAAUACAAGUCAAAAUAAUAUGAUAUUAUGCCAAUGUGUGAAGUGUGCUAAUAUCGAUUGGCAAUUGUGUGAAAUUAUUUUUGAACAUUUAAUUUGUAUUGAAUUUCUCUUAGGAUAUGUUAAUUGAUAUUUUCAUGGAGAGUCUGUACCGUUAAGGUUUUUCACUAGAGUUCUUUCAAUUUCAAAGGCUCUCCAAUACCAACAUAAUCUUUUUAUAGCAGAUUACAGUGAAGGCAUAUUGCAAGAUAUUUUUAACAUUCAUAACCAAUAUUUUUGUAAUCUUUCUCCCCAAAAUGAUGGAUUUAAUCAGUCCAAUGUUGAAAUGAAUGAAUUUCGUGAACCUAGGAUAGGUGUAGGUGACCAUCAACCUAGAGAAGAAGCAUCAAAAUUUUAUAAGUUGUUUGAGGAUAUAAAUGAAGAACUUUAUGAGGGAUCGAAGCAUUCAAAGUUAUCUUUUUGCGUUCGUCUUUUUCACUUGAAAUGCUUAUGUGGAUAGAUAGGAAACUCUCUGACUUUAUUAUUUGAGUUUAUAAAAGAAAUGUUUCUUUUUGUAAAAAUCUCUAAAUCUUGUAAGAAAUCAAAGAAGAUGAUCAAAGAUUUAGGUCUCAGAUAUGAGAAAAUACAUAGUUGUCCCAAUAAUUGCAUGUUGUAUUGGGAUGAUAGAAAAAAUCAAGAAUCUUGUCAUUUGUGUGAUAUUUCUGGUUGGAUGGAUAAAAACCCUGAUAAAAGGUUGAAUGAGGAUGGUGAUGAGGUUUGUGUCAAAAAGAAGCCUGUUAAGGUUUUACGUUAUUUUUCAUUAAUACCAAGACUUCAACGACUCUCCAUGUCUUUCAAAACUAUAAAUUCAAUGAGAUGGCAUUAUGAGAAGUAAAUGAAUAAUGGAUCAUUGAGGAUCCUGUAGAUUCUUUGGAAUAAAAAUUAUUUCCUUUUAAGUUUUCAGACUUUGCAUUUGAUCCUCAAAAUGUUAUGCUUGGACUAGCAUCUGAUGGAUUUAAUCCGUUCAAAAUAAUGAGUACUUUUUAUAGUACUUGGCCAGUUGUGUUAAUUUUUUACAAUUUGUCACCAUGGAUAGCUAUGAAGUAAUAGUUAUUUAUAUUAUCUAUGAUAAUUUUUAGGGAAAAAGGUCCAGGUAAUGAUAUAAAUAUCUAUUUUACAACAUCUUAUUAAAGAGUUAAAGCAAUUAUAAGAAGGAGUUGAGACCUAUGAUGCAUUAAAAAAAUAAAACUUUAAUAUGCGUGCUACUUUAAUAUGGACUAUCAACGAUUUUUCUACUUAUGCAAAUUUAUCUGGUUGGAGUAUAAAAGGUUGUUAUGUUUGUCCACAUUAUGCUGCUUAGACAUGUUCGAAGUGGUUACCUAAUGGUAUGAAGUUCUAUUACAUGAGACAUUAUCAAUGGUUAGAUGAUAAUCAUCGAUUUAGAUUCCAAAAACAUCUCUUUGAUGGAACUAAAGAGUUGAAGAGAUCGUCUUUACCAAUUAGUGGGUCAAUUUCUUGUUAAAGUUAAAAUAUAUCAAUUUCACUUAGAAAAAAAUGACUCCAUCAAGAAAAAGAGUGAGGACAUCUUUAAAGGUGUCUGGCCUCAUAUCACGCAAGUUGAUGAUACUGAUACUUAAGUUAGUGAUCUUUACGUUUAAAGUGAUAAAAAAGAUCAUAAAAAAGAUGACCUUAAUGAGUCUGAAUUGUAAAAAAAAGAAGUAUCAUUUUUGAGUUGCCUUAUUGAAAUAUAAUCUAUUACGCUAUAAUCUUGAUUUGAUGCACAUAAAGAAGAAUGUUUGCGAAAAUUUUAUCAGGACAAUUCUCAAUAUGAAUAAAAAAUCAAAUGAUGACUUAAAUAGUUCGCUUGACCUAGUUGAUAUGGGGAUUCACCCUAACUUUUAUUGAAAAUUACUUUCUAAUGGCAAAUAUCGAUUACCUGCUGCUUGUUUUGGGAUUUCUAAAGCCAAAAAAGAUAAGUUUUGCAAGGUUUUAAAAAAUGUCAAAGUUUUGGAUGGCUAUACAUCAAAUAUAUCUAGAUGUGUGAAUCUAAAAGAGCAAAAACUUUCUUCAUUGAAGUUAUAUGAUUAUCACAUUUUGAUGCAAUACUUACUUUCAAUUGCUUUACGUUCAUCAAUGUCAAAGUAAGUUACUUCUGUGGUAAUUGAAUUGAGUAACAUAUUUAAAUCUCUAUGUGAAAAAUGUAUGAAUAUGGAAGAGCUUGACAAACUUCAAGAUCGAGUCACGAUUACUUUAUGCCAUUUAGAGAAGAUUUUUCUUUCAAACUUUUUCACUAUUAUGAUACAUUUGGUUAUCCAUCUUUUAUAUAAAGCAGAAAUCGGUGAGUCAGUUUAUUAUUGAUGGAUGUAUCCUAUCAAAAGGUAUUAUUGUUUAAUAGAUUGAUUAGGUUUUUAUUGAUGAUCAUGCCACUCUAGUUAAAAAGAUAUAUGACUAAUGUUUUAUGCGAUAGGUUUUUAGAGAGAUUAAAGUCUUAUUGUCACAAUAAACGCUAUCGGGAAGGUUCAAUUGCUAUAGGAUAUUUAGCAGAAAAGUGUAUGAUAUUUUGUUCUCGUUAUUUGAAAGAUGUUGAAAUGAGAUUUAAUAGACCAUCGAAAAAUGUUGGUAUGUAACAUACUGAUUCUAUUUAUAAUUAUCUUUUUCAAAGUUUUAGACAACCAAUAAACAAAACUGAAAUGGUAGAGUUAGAUGAUAAAUUUGGGCAUAAGAACAUAAAUAUAUUUUUUUUUAUCAUGACUCUAUUAAAUUGUUUUGCACAUAAGUUUUUUAGCAAAAAAGUUAUUCAUUACAUUAAGCAUAAUUUAUUGUAUUUUUUUAUUGUUAAUACUUUAUCAUGAUACUUUGUAGUGAGCAUAGAAAUAAUUUGAGAGCUUCUGCACAUUAUCGAUGAUCAAACCAUCGAGAGCUUAAUAAGUUAUUCGCUAAAAACUUUUAUAAAUGGUUAGGAGCAACUGUAAGUAAUGCCAUACUUUCAAUUAUGAGAAAUCUACAUAGAAUGCUUAUAAUAUAACUAACAUUAAUAAUAUAUAUUUAUUUAUUUCAGUUUUAUAUGUUUGGAGUAGAAGGCUUCUUAAUGAAGAAGUGACGUAUCUUUCACAAGGUCCGAACAGGAUUGUGAAACGAUACAAAGGUUUCAUUGUCAAUGGAUUUAAAUUUUACACUAAAUACUGUGAGAGAUUUAGAAGUACACAAAAUUUAAAAGUUAUUGUUACUUUAUCAACUACUAGCUAUGCUAGUGCUAGGGACACAAACCCUUUAGUAAAAAAUGUUGACAAUUAUGGCAUGAUUAAUGACAUUAUUGAGUUAGAUUAUUAUGGUAAGUGAAAAUUUAUCUUAUUUUGGUGUGAUUGGGCUGAUGUGAAUAGUACAAGAGGUCUUAAGAAAGAUCAAUAUGGAUUUAUACUUGUGAAUUUUUUUUAAUUAGUUCACACAGGACAACAAUUCAUCGAUAAACCUUAUGUUUUUUCAUCCAAGUCAAACAAGUUUUUUAUUCUAAAGAUCCCAAAGAAUUGGGUUGGUUUGUUAUUCUUCAAAACAUACCUAGAGACUUAUUUGAUAUGAGGUUAGAUACCAAAGAUGAUGUUAAACAUGGCACUGAAUGUUAUCCUUUUGCUGAAUAAAACUUGGAUGAAAAUAUCUCUAGUACCUACACUCAGUGGGUCUAUGAAAAUGUUACUGAAGACAUUUAUAAACCAUGAUGGAUCAUCUAUAUUUUGUAAUUCAAGUGUUUAAGACAUAAUGUAGUAAAUGAUUGUAUGUAAUUAAUGUCGCAUUCACUAUUAUAUAUUUAUUAUAUUAUAAAUCAUACAUUAUCUUUUGAUUUAAUUAAAUCGAUAUGUUAUUUAUAUAUCGUAUGUUAUGAUUUCUUAAUUUCUCAAUGUCUUUAUAUAUGUUCUAAACUAAUAUCUUUUAUAUAUUUUCUUUUAUGAUGCAGGUAAGCUACAAUACGGAUGAGUAGAUUGAAAAGAAUACAUAUCAGAGAUAUUAGUUAAAAUCGUCUGCGGCACCUAUUGAUAUUGGUUAUGGACUGAAUCUUUUGAAGGGGAAUGAAUAUACUGUCGGAUCUAACUCAAUCACUUUUAACUUUUUAACUGAUAUUGGAUCUAGAAAUAUGAAAGAUCCAGGUUUAGAUAGUAUCCCAUCAAUUGAUUAUGCUUUAAAUUUUUUAUGCAAGUAUCAUAUACCCCAUAUUUAGAAUUUGAUUAUAAUGAUAAAAGUAUUGCCAUUUUACAAAUUUAUUUUUUAUUUUUUACAGUUGAUAACAAUGAUCAAUGGAAGACCAAAGGCCAGAUAACUUUGAAUGAAUUAUUUGCAUUACCUUUGAACGAGUGUAUUGUAGUACCUGCAAACUCUGAUAGGCAACUAAUUGGUGAAGAGGCUCAACUAUUGGUUGGAUUUCUAGGCAUGCUUGCCUAUAAUGGAAUGAAAUUGCCUAUCUAUUAUGAAACAUAGCAUAAAGUUCCAGCGAAAGUUAAGGCUGAUGCUUUAAACUUUAUUGAGGAAUUAAUAUAAUUAAUUACAUAUAAAAAUAUAAUUGUUAUACAUUUUGUUUACUUAUUCAAGCUUUUCUUAUUAUAUUAUUAUAGUCAAGAUUUGUACUUGAAAUACCAACUUCAUUUGUGCUUAAGUCAUUGAAAAAGAAAUGGAAAGAUUAUAAGCAUAAUUUGAGGAAUAAGUAUUUUGAUCGAAAUACUACUAUAAAAGUGACGAUGAAAAAUCUACCUUAUAAUGUGAUUAGGUGGUAAUAUGAACAAUUAGUUAGAUUUUGGUUUUUAAGAAAAUGAGAGGUAAUAGUUUAUAACAUUGUAUAGUAGAAUGAAAUAAUGAAAGUGUUUUAUGCUUUAAAUUGGUAAUAUUUGUAUUUCUAUCAUAUACGCAAUUAUUUUUUAUGAUAGGAAAGAGAACAAAUUGGGAUUGAUAGCAGAAAGCAACAGAAAUAUAGCCAUACAAGUGGACCAAAAAGUUUUACAAGAAAACAAAAAGAAAUAGUAAGUUUAUGAUUUUAAACUUAUUCCAAUGAAUGAACUUUUUGUGCCAUUAAAAGGUAAAUAUGCAAAUUAACAGUUAUUGUUCUAUUUUAAUAGUUUCAAUAUAUGAUAUUAAACUUAUCAAAAGUUUUGAACUUAGUUGACAUGGAUGAUAUGUAUGAAAAGUUAUUAUUUACAUCUAUUUAGGUAAAAAUACAAAUUUGUUGUUAUUGUUGUAUUUUAACAGUUUGGAUAGCUUCAAUACUUGAUAUUAAACUUGUCCGAUUGAUUGAACUUGGUUUCUAAGGUUGAUAUGAGUGAAAAAGUUGUUAUUUAUGUUUAUUUGGGACUAUUUUUGCCUUUAAAAGAUAAAAAUACAAAUUAAACUUUUGGAUGGCUUUUAACAGUUUGAAUGGCUUCAAUCCAUGAUAUUAAACUUGCCCAAAUAAUUGAAUUUAGUUUCCAUGAUCGAUGUGUGUUGUCAUAACGGUUUUAUGUCCGCCUGACGAAUUUGGAAACGAAAUAAAAAAUAAUGAAGUUGCCACCAAUCUUUUUUGGCUAGGUGCGAUUGGUCACCUAUUAAAACAUAUCCUUUUAAUGAAAUCUUAAAAUUAAUUAAAAUUUAUUAAAAAGAUAAUUUUAGGAUUUGCGCAACAAUCUAGGUUCAGAAGUAGUUUCGUGUGGGGAACCCCACAAUGCCCAUUUAAAAUGGUACCAAUUAAUUACUUGUUAUUCGUUGAUUUUGAUAAAAAUAGUAUUAUUUUUUAUGUUUGAAAAAUAAUUUCCUUGAUUGUUCAUUUGUUAGCUUUUUUUAUAUACUAUUCGAGAAAUAUAAAUUAGCACUUUUUUGUUGAAAUAAUUCUUAAAAUGUUCUAGUACGUUGGUAACAUUAGAAUAACUUUUUUUCACUUAGAGAUUUCUUAGGCAUUACUUAUUGGAAUAUCGUAGAAUCUCAUCCUCAAAAGGAUCAAAUUUACUUUUCGUAAAAAAAAAAAAUUAUGUUGUGCAUGCAAUGCAAAUAUUAACAUGUUGAUGCACACAUUUUAUUUUUUAUUUUAGAAAUUUUAUUAAUUGUUUUAUUUUUAAUUUAAAUUUUUGAAGAAAAGAAUUUUUAUUAUAUUGAAGUUUUUCUAUAAAUAUUUCAAUACACUGGUAAUAUUUUAAAAAAAAUUUCUCACCUAGGAAUUUCAUAAAGCAUCACUACUCGAAAUACUUUUAGAAUCCCAUUAUUGGAAAAAAUUUUCUUUUUCCUUAUUUAUAUUAUUAUUUUUUUAUAAAUUAAUUAAUUUUUAUUUUUUAUUAACAAAAAGAAAAAUUUUAUUGUAUUAAAAUUUUUUUAUAAAUACUCAAAUACAUAGGCAGUAUUUAAAAAAAAUCUUCUCACCUAGAGAUUUCAUAGGCAUCACUACUCGAAGUACCUUUGAAUCUCAUCGUCGGAUAAAAAUUUCCUUUUCUUAUAUAUUUUUUAAUUUUUUAAAUUUUUUAAAUUAUUUAAGGUUUAUUUUUAUUUUUUUAGUUUAUUUUAAAAUUAUCAAAAUUAUAAAAAUUUUAACAAAAUUUAUUCUAACAAAUACAAAUAAUUUAAUAUGCAUAUAUAUUAUAAAAAUAACAUAUAAAAAAAUAAAAAAAUUUUUUUACCUGAAUCGGACCCGUCAAAGGUUCGAUCAACGCGGAUCCGAUCGGUUCAACCACUUGGUAUGGCCUGGUUGGUUCGACGGUUCGAGGUCGGCCCGACUCGGUUUGAGUCGAUUCAGUUGGACUGAUUAGAGGCUGAGGGAUGGACGGGUCAUCGGGUCAGGUACGCUGACCCUGAGUCGGGUCACGAGUUGACUCGUGGAUCCUCAGGGGCUCAAAUGAUGUCAUUUUGGUUUUGGUCAUUUAUAUAAAAAGCCCUAAAUUUUUUUUCAGUUACUUUUUCCUUCUCCAAAAAAAAAAAAAAAUCUCCCUCACUCUCUCAGACAAAACCCAAGGGGACCGGCCAGUCGUAAGUCGCCGGUCACCGUCGUCGGUGAUAAAAAAAUCUUUAAAAAGACCAAAAUAUUCCUCUCAAUCUCCAAAGUCCGGAUCUGAGCUUAGUUUUAUGAAAAUAGGCUCCAAACGAAACAUAUUUGGCCUGGAAUGUUCGACAAAAAAUAUUUUUUUGUAUGUUUAUGUUAUUUUUUUGUACUGACGCCAGGUUCCCUUACCUUGGGGACUAUGAUUUUUUUUUGGUUGGUUUUUUAUGUCGAUUUUCAAAAAAAAUUUUCUUUGAAUCUGGCAAAAAUUUUUUUGCAAGGUUUCUGAUUUCUUCGAUCACUCCCUUAUCAUGAAAGAAAUGAGCUCUAUUUAUAGAGCUUUCUAAGAUUCGAAUCCCAGAUUUUCUGGGAUUCGAAUCCCAAUUUUUCAACCGACUUAGGCUUUUGGGUGGCCGAAAUUCAUGCUGUCAGGUUAGGUAAAAUUUUAGGCGACUGCUAGUGGUGGCAGUGGUGAUUUUGGACUUUAAAGAGAGUGCAUUUAAUGCACUCGUAUUUUUUGUCAAACUAAUCAAAUAGGAAAGAAGAAAAAGAAAAAAAGAAAGAAAAAAAUAAAAAAAUAAUACAAAUAAUACAAAAAAUACAAAAUGAUGUUUACAGCUGCCCCUUUUUGCCUAUUUCUGAGAAUCAGAAAUAAGGCAAAGAUAAAUAAAUAACCAUUUUGUUCGAAAAGAAGAAAUAUUGAGCACAAAUUUUUUUUUUUAAAAAAAAAUCCUCUAAAGAGAGGUUCAAGAAAAUUUUUGAAAAUUUACAAAUCUCUUUUAAGCAGAGACUCAACAACUUUUGAAAAUUUUAAAGAGGCUAUUCUAAGCAGAGGCUAAAUGACUUUUAAAAAUUUAAAGAGGCUCCUCUAAGCAAAGGCUCAACGACUUUCAAAAAUGUAAAAAAAGUUUCUCUAAGCAGAGGCUCAACAACUUUAAAAAAUGUAAAAAAAGCUUUUCUAAGCAAAGGCUCAACAAGUUUAAAAAUUUAUCUUGAAAAAGCUUCUCUAAGCAGAGGCUCAACAACUUUAAAAAUCCAUCUUGAAAAAGCUCAUCUAAGCAGAGGCUCAACAACUUUAAAAAUCUUAUCUUGAAAAAGGCUCCUUUUAGCAGAGGUUUAACAACUUUAAAUAUCUAUAUUGAAAAAGCUCAUCUUAGCAAAGGCUCAACAACUUUAAAAACUUAUCUUGAAAAAGCUCCUCUCAGUAGAGGUUCAAUAACUUUAAAAAUUUAAUCUUGAAAAAGCUCAUCUCAGUAGAGGCUCAAUAACUUUAAAGAUUAAUUUUUUCUCGAAACUGAUUUUUCAUCUUUAAACAAGUAAAUUUCUCUCUUUUGACAUCUCUUGUUUAAUUAUUAUCUUCAUCUGAAUAUCAAAAUCUUGUUUUUCAUUAAGAAAUAAAAAGUCUUUGUCUUUAUUAUAACUGCUCAUGGAUGCAUGUUCUGAGUGCUCUAAAUGCAAUGCAUAUAAUGCAAUCAAAAUUAUUCAUUGUAGUAAAAAGGUUCUUAAAAUCUCUCGUUUUUCAUUUCUUUUAUCAGAAUUCUCAACAAUUGCUAUAUGACCAAUCUGUUCUUAACAUUUGACCAUUGUAUUCUUCCAUAACAAUACUUUUCUUUUUCAAAAGUCUGCAACAUUAAUGUCUUGUCAUGUUUUUCUCAUUCUUUUUCAUCUGCUUUUGUCAACUUUUAAAAAGUAAUAUUGAGAUUUUUUAUGUUUAUUUUCCUUUUCAUCAUUUUAAGUUCAAGACAAACAAACUGCAAUCACACAUUUUUCCUAUUUGUACAGUGAACAAAAGUAUUAAAUGAGAAUAAAGGAAUGGAUAGGCAUUAUUUCUAAAGGAAAGAUAGCAUAUUUCAUUGAUGGAAAAGUGUUUGAGUUAAAACAAAGGUGCCCCAAAUAAUGAUCACAAGAUAAUCAUGAACAAAAUAUUUUCAGAUUUUUUUUAAAAACUAAAUCAGAUGACUUUCUUGAUCUUUUAGAGUUUAUCAAACUACACUUGCCCCCUAUGUUGUAAGUACAUCCAAGCUGCCUUUUCAGAUUUUCAGCUUAGAUAAGUCAUUAUUUUUUCAUUUUUUUAACUUUUUUAUUUUUUUUCUUCUUUGUUUUUCAAGCAAAAUAUUUUUUUACAGCAUCUGAAUUUAUUGGAGUAGGUAAAUCACCUCUAUCCAUCUCUGUCAAAAUAAAUGUCCCACAAGAAAAGGCCUUUUUCACCACGUAUGGGCCCUUCCAAUUUGGUGUCUAUUUUUUUUUAUUGUCAUGUUGAUUUGGAAGGAUCUUUUUUAGCACUAAGUCUUCUUUCUUAAAAUGACGGGGAUGGAUUUUCUUGUCAUGUGCUCUCAUCAUCCUUUUUUGAUAUAAUUGACCAUGACAAAGUGUUGUAAGUCUUUUUUCUCCAAUGAGAUUCAAUUGCUCGUAACAAUUUCAAACCCAUUUUGCUUUCUCUAACUCUACUUUCAUCAAGACUCUCAACGAGGAAAUUUUCACUUUAACUGGCAGCACAGCUUCCAUUCCAUAUACCAAAGAGAAUGAGGUGGCCCCAAUAGAUAUUCUGACUGAUGUUCUAUAAGCAUGCAGAGUAAAAGGUAACUUCUCAUACCAAUCUUUGUAAGUAUCAGUCAUUUUCUCUAGGAUUAUUUUUAUAUUCUUAUUUACAGCCUCCACUACCUCAUUCAUAUUUGAACGAUAUGGUAUCGAUUUACGAUGAUAGAUCUUGAAUUGAAUGCACACUUCAUUCAUCAUUUUGUUGUUCAAGUUUUUGGCAUUAUAAAAAAUAAUUAUCUCUGAAAGCCCAUAUCUAUAUAUUAUCUCUUUUUUUAUGAACUUGUAUUCCACAGUCGGGUCACACCAGCAUAUGAUGUAGCUUCUACCCACUUUGUGAAGUAAUCAAUCAUUACAAAGAUGAAUUUAUGUUCAUUCGAAGCUUUUGAAGUGAUGGGACUAAUGACAUCCAUGUCCCACAUAGCGAAUGGCCAUGGAGGAGCUAGAAUGUACAAUGUUGAUGGUAGAGCAUAAAUCUUGUCAGUAUAAAUCUGACACUUAUGACAUCUCUUAGCAUAGUCAAUACAGUUACCCUAUAUUGUCAACCAAUAAUAGCCAGCUCUCAUGAUUUGUCUAGCCAUCGUAUGACCAUUUGUAUGUGUCCCACAGACUCUGUCAUGUACUUCUUCGAUAAUCCUCUUUGCUUUAGCUACAUUCACAUAUCUUAAGAGUACUUGAUCUCGACCUUUUUUGUAAAGAACAUCUUUUUUUAGGAAGAAACUCAUAGCUAACCUUCUGAUAGUUUUUUUUAUCAUUUUGUAUUCCAUGCUCUGCAUAUUGUUGACUUUUAAUAUAUUGCAUAAUAUCAUGAUACCAUGACCUCCCGUUAACUUCUUCUUCGACAUCUGAAUAAUGUGCUAGUUCAUUAUUCACAUCCAGCUUAAUGGGUUAAAUUUCAGUAUUUGUAUCUAUUUUAAUCAUUACAGCUAGAGUAACUAAUGUAUUAGCAAUUUGGUUCUCCUCUCUAGGCAAAUGCUCAAAUUAAACUUUUUUGAAUAGUUUAACCAACUCAAAGAUGUAUUUAUGGUACCGGAUUAACUUAGAAUCUCUUGUCUCCUAUUCUCCUCGUAACUAAUAGAUGACUAGAGCAGAAUCUCUAAAUACAUCUAACACUUUGAUUUUUUUUCAAUCGCUGCUUAUAGACCCAUGACACAAGCCUCAUAUUCAGUCACAUUGUUUGUGAAAUUGAAAUUCAACUUGGUUGUGAUAGGAUAAUAAUGUUCAUCCGGAGAUAUUAAAAUUACCCUAAUACCAUGCUUAAAGCAUUAAUAGCUCCAUCAAAAUACAUCCUCAAAGAUUUUUCAACAGGUUCAUUUUUUUCAAUGGCCAUCACAUCUUCAUCGGGAAAAUUUAGUUUCAUUGGCUCAUAAUCUUCGGUUGCACGAUUGGUAAGAAACUCGGCUAUCGUACUUUUUUUAAUAACCUUUUGAGUCACAUAAAUAAUAUCAUAUUCUGAAAGCAUAACUUGCCACUGCACUAUUCUCUCUAUCAAUGAAGGCUUCUCGAAAAUAUAUUUAAUAAGAUCCAACUUUGUUAUGAGACAAGUAGUGUGAUAAAACAUGUAUUGUCGGAACGUUCGAGCUAUCCAGACUAAUGCAUAACACAUUUUCUCUAAUUGAGAAUACUUGGACUCGUAAUCAGUGAAUUUUUUACUCAAAUAGUAAAUUGUUCGUUCUUUCCUGUUAGUUUCAUCUCUUUAUCCUAGCACACAUCCCAUUGAAUUUUCAUGCACUGUUAAGUACAAAAUCAAAUGUUUUCUCAGGAUUAAUGGUACCAACAUAGGUAGAUUUGACAAGUAUUCUUUGAUCUUAUCAAAAGCUUCUCAGCAUUGGUCAUUCUAUUCUGCUGGAUCAUGUUUUUUAAGAAGCUUGAAAAUAGGAUCGUACUUAUAGGUGAGUUAAGAAAUGAAGCAAGCAAUAUAGUUAUGGAUAACUUGUAUCUUAUCUGGGUCCAUUUCAAUUCCUCUUUUACUAACCACAAAGCCCAAUGGUUUUUUUUAUUUGGCACCGAAUGUACAUUUGACAGGAUUCAACUUCAGUUGAAAUCUUCUCAACUUGUCAAAUAGCUUUUUGAGAUUAACUAUAUGAUCUUCUCUUUCACAAGAUUUUAUAAGUAUAUCAUCCACAUAUACUUCUAUUUCUUUAUGCAUCAUAUCAUGAAAAAGAGUCACCAUUACUCUUUGAUGAGUGGUACCAGUAUUUUUCAACCUAAAAGGUAUGACUUUGUAACAAAAUAUCCCUCAUAUGGUCACAAAUAUGAUUUUUUCCAUAUCAUCUCGAGCCAUCUUGAUCUGAUUAUAGCCUAAGAAGCCAUCCAUAAAGGAAAAUAUAGAGUGCUUAAUAGUAUUAUCUACUAGAGUAUCAAUAUGGGGUAAAAAAAAGUUAUCCUUGAGACUUGCUCUAUUCAAGUCUCGAUAAUCGACACACAUUCUCAUUUUUUCAUCUUUUUUGAGAACUGGCACUAUAUUGGCUACCCAUUUAGGAUAUUUUACCACUUUCAAAAAUUUGGUAUCAAAUUGUUUUUUUACUUUCUAAUUAAUUUUUAACAAUAUCUCUGGCUUCAUGCGUCUUAGCUUUUGUUGCACCGGCUUGUAUUUCGAUUUCAAAGGUAACUUGUGCUCUACAAUAUCAGUGCUGAGUCUUGACAUAUCCUGGUAAGACCAUGUGAACACAUCAAUAUAUUCUCAGAGUAGUUUUUCUAACUUUUACCUUUCAACAGGUAAAAAAGAUGUACUAACUUUGACCUCUAUUUUAUUUUCACCGUCUCUCAAAUUCACUAAUUCGAUAAUUUUUUGGUGGGGUUCAAUUGGCUUAUCUUCAUGGUUUAUCAAUUUUAACAAAUCAGGAGGGAGUAUGUAAUUAUUCAAAUCUUUCUCAUUAUCAAGUUCAUCAUCAUGAAUUAAGUUUUCAAAAUCAAAUCCGAGAUUAUUGUCAUGAUUAUUUUCAUGUUCAUUAUUAGGGACCCUGUAAAGGGUAAGAUGAAGAGAAUAUUGGCAUAAAAAAAUAAAAUGGCAAGAAAAUGAUAGAAAGAAAAAAUGGAAAGCAAAAUGAAGAUGAAAAUAAUAGAAAAAAUAUAGUGCAUCUUCUAAGUCUUUUAUUAAAAUGAUAAACAUAAAGACACACAAAAAAUCACCUAAUGCUCAUAGAAGCAAUUAGAGAUUUAAAGUUUCACAAUACAUUACUUUUCAAAAAUUUUAAAGAGAAUAGGCAGCUCUAUGACUCUUCAGUUAUUCAGCUCAAAAUCUGAAGGACAAGGGUGCACGAAUAGUUCUUCAUAUCGUCUCUUUUUUUCUUCGUCAUCCACCAUUUGAAAGGGCAACUCGAAAAACUCUUCCACGAAUCCUGCACUUAGGGCUCUAGGCAAAUCUGGGUAAAUAUGUCUUCCUAAACGAAAAGAAUCAUGAGGUAUGGAAUGACAAUAGGCUCUAACUCGGCUCAUAUCCCCCAAGAUUAGCCAUUCUUUUUUUUUUUAUUCACCAUUUUCAUUCUAUCUCUUCUUGUAGGUUUAUAUCCUAAGCCAAAUCUAUUUUUCUUGUUAUAUAUUGCUAGUGGCUCUAUAAUUCCUUGUAGGUUCCUUUUUAGUCCUGUUUCAAGUUACCAUCCCAUUUUAAUGAUCUAUUUAAUGACCAUUUUAGUAGUCGUAGAUAGGUGUGAUGAAUAUAAUUUAUAUCCUUCAGCCAUAUAUGUUACGUUAGUAAUCUCAAAAGAUCUAUACGAGCACUCUAGGACUUCAUCUAUUGCUUAUACAAUAGGAGUAUUUAUCGAUUGGGUGACCAGUAAAUCUUCUUUUCAUACCACACAUGUCAAUUUUCCAUCAAUAAUCAAUUUGACUUUUUGAUGCAAUUAGGAUAAAACAGCACCUGCCAUAUGAAUCCAUGACCUUUUCAAUAAUUAAUUGUAUGAGGGAGAGAUAUCCAUAACUUGGAAUUUCACGUUGAAAGUGCAUGAGGCCAAUUUGUAAUGGCAUUUCUAUGUCUCUCAGCACCUCUCUUCGGGUCUCAUCAAAGGUUCGAACUAUCAUAUGACUAGAUUUUAUGUAAGAUUCAUCCACAGGUAAUUUUGCCAAAGUAGUCAUGGGUAUAAUAUUGAUGGAUGAGCCAUUAUUAAUUAAAACUUUAGCCAUUAUAUGACUCUUGUAUUUCAUAGUAACAUGAAGAGCCUUGGUACUUUCUUGACAUUCAAGAGGAAUCUUUUCGUCACUAAAAGAGAUAUAAUUUGAAAUCAUUAGAUUACUAACAAGCUGUUUUAUAUAUUCAACAGAGACAUUAUGGGACACAUAUGCUUGAUUAAACACCUUCAAUAAAGCAUUACAGUGUGACUCUGAGCUUAGCAAUAAUGAUAAUAGCGAAAUUCUAGCUAACAUCUUGUUCAACUAUUCUACCACGUUAUACUCGCUAUGUUUUAUUAACUUUAAAAAUUUACAAGCUUCACUCUCAGAGACUAGCUUCUGACAUUCUUUUUCUGGGGCUGUGGCAAGAUUAUUUUGACUUUUCUCUUUUUUUUUUUACCUUUGCUUUCUCUUUUCUGGCUUUCUUUAAAGCUUUUAGAGUAUAACAUCUUUCACUUCGAGUUAUACCUUCUACGCCCGUUAUGUUUAUAAUAUCUGGAUUGACUACGACAUCACAAUCAUACUUUUAUGGUAUUAUUUUGUCAUUCUAGUAUAAAAUAAGGCCAAGAACUUUAAUUGUCACUAUUGGUCGAGAGAUGGGUUUUUUUGGCCUCGGUGUUGACUUUUCAUCAUAAUAAAUUGUUAUUGGUCUACGUACAAACUUAUUCUUUGAAUCAAUGGUAGACACUUCAGCUUUUAUCAACUCUUCUCUUUCUUUGUAAAACUCUAUCUGACCUAUAUCCAUAAACUUUUGCACCUCUUAAUGAAAUUGGUGACAACUCUCGAUAGAAUACCCCAAAGCCCCUCUAUGAUAAUUAUAGCUCUUAGUUGAGUUAAUAGCUUCAGAGCAAUUCUGAAGUUUUAUUGACUUUAACAUGUUAGCUUUGACUAAGGCUUCAAACACUUUACCCAUAGGAGUUUUGACCUCUUUUAUCCCUCUUUUCACAUAGCUUGCUUGCCCAUUAAUCAAAGCAUUUAUCGAUGGCCUAAUAUAGUUCGGUAGAGGGUUCUUAUUAACAUUUGGAGUUUCUCGUUGGCUGGUUUCAAAAUUUAACACCUCUUCAUUGAUUAAUCUUUGUACUUUACACUUCAAAAUAGUACAGUUCUCAGUAAAAUGACCUGAGUUUCCAUAAUGAUAAUCAUAAUGUGCAUUAGGGUCAUACCAUUUAAGAAACGAAGGUUUCAAAGGCUCAAUAAUAACUGGGGCUAGUAAAUGUUUCUCGAUAAAUUGAGGAUAUAAAUCUAUGUAUGUCAUGGAUAUGAGGUUGAUGUGGGUUUUCCUGGAUUUUUUUAGGGUUUUUGGACCAUUAUUUGGACUAAGUCUCUAUUCUGGUUUUGCAGGUAUAGUAGGACGAUUGUAAGAAUAUGUGGGUGUCUGAAAAGAUAGCUAAAAUUAAUAUAGAUAAGCUGGUUGUGGUAAUGGUUGGUAUGGCUAAUAUGGAUAAAGAGUGGGCGUAAUAUUAUUUAUGAGAGGAUAAUGGGUUUGGUAGAUUAGUGCAGGAUAAGGUGUGAAACCUUUGAACUGUUACACCACAUAGUUCACCGCUUGAGCUUCAUUCUCUUUCUUUUUGGGAACUCCAUCUUUUUUUACUCCACUUGUCUCUCCUGCAUCGAGCUUACCAUUUUUUAUAGUAUUUUCAAUAAUCUCACUCGAUAUCAUCAUAUCUAUAAAGUUUUUGGUUGCAUUGCCUAUCGUCUCUCAUAGUGUGAUACUUUUAAAGUAUUAAUAAAUAAGACAGUUAUUUUUUUCUCUGUGAAAGGAGGUUGAACUUAUGCAGCCACAUCUCUCUAUCUCUGUGCAUACUCUUUAAAACUUUCUAUUACUUUUUUUCAUACUUUAUAGAGAUAGAUAGUCUAAAACCAGAUCCAUGACAUGCCGAUAUUGUGUAAGAAAUGCCCUUGUGAGCUUUUGCUAGGAAUGAAUACAAGUUUUAUCUUGUUGAACAUACCAUCUAGCUACAGAUCCUAUAAGGUUAUCUUAAAAUACAUGCAUCAACAACUUUUCAUCACGAGCAUGUGCUGUCAUCUUACGAUAAUACAUGGUGAUAUGGGUUAUCGGGCAUUUUGUGCCAUCAUAUUUUUCAAAUUCAAGGACUUUAAAUUUAGGUGGAAUGACCACGUUUGGGACCAAACAAAGGUCGGCUGCAUCUGUGGAGCAAUAAAAAUUUAUUUUCUCUACGGCCCUAAGUCUUUCUUCUAAUACUUUCAUUUUUUAUUGGGCACUAGUAUCUUCUACUUUCUUGAUUGUCUUUAUCCCUAGCUUUUUUCUCUCAUUAGGAUCAUCCAAGUCAGGGAUCAAGAUUGGCUCGGGUGAUUUUUCCAUCAUAACGGGAUUAACAAAAUUUUGAAAUUAUCCUAGAGUAAGUGUGGAUGUCAUUCCUGGAUAAGGAUUGGGAUAUCCACUAGGAGUAGAAAUUUAUACUUUAGUUCCUUGAAAAAGUUAGGUCAAUCGUGGCUCAAACCUUGAAAGGUAAACAGGAUCUUUCAUAUCUGACGAUUACUCUUGAAAGCUGAUAUUUUCUUCCACUACUUUUCCAUUGUCAAGUUUUUUAAGCAUAACUAUUAUUACAUUGAGAUCUCUUCUUAGUUCUUAUUGAGCUUUCUCGAUUCUUUUAAAUCGACUAGCCUAUUUUUGCUCCAUGAUUCAUGUUUGAGUCUUAGUAUUGUAUGAAUGAUGAAUAGAUUGGGUCAAAAUUUUUAAUGGACGAGCUAUUCUUGAACUUUUAUUACCAUAAUGUUUUUUUUUUUUUAAAUUAGAAUGCUAUGUGUUGAAAAUUUUAUUUUUUUCAUUUAUUUUAUGAAAAUGAUGUACAUGAUGCAUGAAUACAAGUGAGAGAUAUUUGCUCUUAGAUGAAUUUCAACAUUAGAAAUUUUUAUUGAUUCCAUACAACUUUUAUUAUAUGAAAUUUUCCAUCAUAGAAUUAUAUCCAUAGAAGCAUUUAACUUGUUCAUAAUGGUCCUUUGCCUUGUCUAAAAAGUUCACUAGGUGUUGUCCAUAUUUUUCUAUGGGAUUGACUUCUCUUCUUAAUGCUUCUACCUUUUCAACCAUUUCUCAUGCUUUCUUCACUGCCUUGCAAACUUGAUUAGUCAGGUGCUCUAUGUACUGUUGCCUCCCUAAGUUUUUUGCUUUUCAUUUCAUAUGAGCAUCCUUUUCUGAAUCACAUGUGAAGAUCUAAUCUUUUUUCCUUCUAUGCCAUUAAUCUAUUAUUGCUAAAAUAUGGCUCUUGUGGUCUUGCACUUGCAUCUCUAACCCUUGGAUCACUUGGUGAAGUGAUUCUUUUUCAUUUAGUAUUUCAAAGUGCUUUCUUUUCUCUUUUACGAGCAUGGCUUUCAACCUUUCCUUUUUUUUUUAGCAUUCCAUCAAUCUUGCUGAGGUUGUAGAGUAUAAACCCUUCUAAUUUUAACAUUUUUGAGAAAUUUUGAUGAUCUUCUUUUGCUUUUCUUGAGCUUUGCCUUUUCAUUAGUUCAUUUCCUCUCGGAGCUCAUCCAUUUCAUGUUAUCGACUAAGAUAAGACUUGGUGACUUUUUUUAUUUUGAAUUGAACUCGUAAUCUCUUAUUUUUUUGGUGUAGAUCUUUCAAAUUAUUAUUGGUCACAUCUCAUUCUUUUAUGCUCUUUUCUAAUCUGCUCCAUUAUAUUUCUGCUUCAUAUUUUAAUUGUCUCAUCUUUUCGUGAAGUCUUAAAUUUUUUUAUUUUUAUUUCUUCUUUUUCAGCUUCUAAUUCUUUCUUGACAAGCUCACCUUCUAAUAAUUAUACUUUUGUCGAAAGAUUAGUCGAUUGGUAUGAGCUAUCAUCAGGAGGAAGUACUAUGUCUGUAGGUCAUUUUGCUUUUCAAAUAUGAUAGUCAGCGGUGACUUUAUCGAUGAAAUGCCCUAAUCUCAUUCUUCAUAUUUUCUUUCAUGCUUGAAUCAACUGCUCUGAGAUUCUUGGUGGAUUUGGUUCCCUGUAAAUGAAUUCUACCUGAACCAAGCCAUGAGUAGCAAGAACAAACUGCUUUGCACCAAAUUGUCUAAGCACCAUCAAUGAAGCGUAACUUAUAACACCCCAUAACCCUAACAGUGGUAUCCACGGUUCGUUUUCUCCAUGAUGCAACAAAGGCACACAAGGCAUCCAAGGUACCAUUAAUUCAAUUUCAUCCCCGAUAAACCUUCGUAACAAAAAGACCCACUCUUCUUUAGUCUUUAAUGUUAGCUAUUUACUUUGUAGAACUCUUCAAUUGGUGCUUUGUUUCAUAGAUACGGCUUUGAAAAUACACUUUUCUAACACUUGAAAUGACUUUAACCAACACAUAUAAUAGCGAUGCACAUCCUAUGAACUGUCUUUUUCCAUUUCGUCGACAGAAAUUCAAUGACCGGAUGGUUUCUGCCAAGACUGCUGGUGUAGGAUUAAUUGUUUAGGUUUCAAUUUGCUUGAAAAAAACUCACCACAGUUAUCUCGAUGUAACCUAAAGUCUUCGAAAAAAUCACCAUGCCAUACAAUGCUAGAGCAAACACAGCCAUGCCUUGGUCAUCAUUUAAAUUCUCCUGAAUGAAGUUUUAGAGAAAGUCCCAAUGAAUGCUGAGAUGUUCACCUUUAGGCUUUGCGAAGGAAUCAAUGGUUUCUACUUUAACCCCCAUAAGCUUGGCCAACUUUUUAUGAUAACCUGAUUUUGAUUUUCGAGUAAAUACUUUAUCUGGACACUGUAGUUCUAUUUCAAGCAAAAUCACAUACUCUUCAAUAGUUGACACCAAAUCUUUCUAAUUAAAAGUGAAGCAUCUAUAGGAUGGAUCUCAAAAUUGUAUAGCUAUCCUGACUAGCUGUUCAUCGAUCACUACUGAAAUAAGAGAUGCAAUCUACCCAUACUUCUUGUAAAAAUUUUCUUUUAUUUCUUAACUUAACUGACCUUGGAUAGCAGCUAAGUCUUCUAAAUCAUUCUGUGUGAGAUCUAAAUGCACCUUUUUGGGUAACUCAAACACAUGGCUGAUAGACAAACAAUCUCCAUUCUUUUGUUGGACUUCUUUCGAUCAAAUAUAUACUUCAUUAUACGGCUCACAUAGGACACUAAGUAAGAAUGAGCAAAUCUGUAGUUCUACAGGAUCCAUGAAAACUUCUUGGAAGAAAUAUGUCCUAAAGCAAAUAUCUCAAUACAAAAUUGUAUGAUAUGAUUAAUGCAAAACAAAAUUGAGUUAGUGUAAGGAUGCGAUUUGAGAAAAAAUAUUUGUUAAGUUGAGUUUUGAGAUUUUUUUUGUUUUGUUUUGUUUUGUAUUACACAUAACUUUUAUUCUUAGGUAUUUCCUACAAGAAGGUGGACGAGGCUCUACCUACGGCUAGUUUUUUAGGCUUAUUACAUGCUGAAUUUGGAUUGACAUGUGUCUAAAAGUUCCUAAAUUGUUUCUCACUGUCGUCCACGUUGGAUUAGUGAGGCACCUCAAUCCUCAACUAUUACAGGCUAUAAACAAAAAAAAGUUUAAUUUAAGUGAAAGUAUUUGGCUUACCAUUGCAGAGGUUAUCACCUUACGAGGGCAUAAGUACUUUACUUCCUCCUAUAAGGGACGAAACUUGGGUAUAAAGCUUAGGCAUGAGAUGCAUCAUGUUAUUGUGUGUGUAAGUAUAUAUAGAAAAAUAAAGCAUAAGAGGCAUAGUGAAAGAAAUGUAAGUGAAAUUUUUUCUUUUUGUUUUUGAUUUUUUUUACCUUUUUUGUUAAAAGUGAAAAAUAAAAAUGUAAGAAACCGAUUAGGACUGUUUAAAUCAAAAUUUGAAGAUAACACAUAGUUAGUUUUGGCUUGACUCUCGAAAACAAAAGAUAUCCCCAGUGGGGUCACCAAGCUGUCGCAACGAUUUUAUGUCCGUCCGACAAAUUUGGAAACAAAAUAAAAAAUAACGGAGUCGUCACCAAUCUUUUUUGGAUAGGUGCGACUGGCCACCUAUUAAAACAUAUCAUUUUAAUGAAAUCUUAAAAUUAAUUAAAAUUUAUUAAAAGGAUAAUUUUAGGAUCUACGCAACAGUCUGGGUUCAAAAGUCAGUUAUGUGUGAGGAAGGAUUGGCACCACCACAACGUCCAUUUAAAACGGUAUCAAUUAAUUACGUUUUAUCCAUUGAUUUUGAUAAAAACAAUCUUAUUUUCAGUGUUUGAAAAAUAAUUUUCUUGAUUGUUCAUUUAUUAGUUUUUUUUUUUUAUAUUAUUCGAGAAAAAUAAAUUAGAACCUUUUUGUUGAAAUAAUUUUUAAAAUGUUUCAGUACGUUGGUAACAUUAGAAAAACUUUUUCUCACUUAGAGAUUUCUCAGGCAUCACUUCUUGGAAUACCACAGAAUCUCAUCUUUGGAGGAUCAAAUUUACUUUUCGUAAAAAAAAAUUAUGCCAUGCAUGCAAUGCAAAUAAUAACAUGUUGAUGCACACAUUUUAUUUUUUAUUUUAGAAAUUUUAUUAAUUUUUUAUUUUUAAUUUAAAUUUUUGAAGAAAAGAAUUUUUAUUAUAUUGAAGUUUUUCUAUAAAUAUUUCAAUACACUGGUAAUAUUUAAAAAAAAUCUUCUCACCUAGGGAUUUCGUAAAGCAUCACUACUCGAAAUACUUUUAAAAUCUCAUCAUUGGAUAAAAUUUCCCUUUUCCUUAUUUAUAUUAUUAUUAUUUUAUAAAUUAAUUAAUUUUUAUUUUUUAUUAACAAAAAAAAAAUUUAUUGUAUUGAAAACUUUUUAUAAAUAUUUCAAUACACUGGUAGUAUUUUUAAAAAAAUCUUCUCACCUAGAGAUUUCGUAGGUAUCACUACUCGGAAUACCUUUGAAUCUCAUCGUCGAAUAAAAAUUUCAUUUUCUUACAUUUUUUAUUAUUUUUUAAAUUAUUUAAGGUUUAUUUUUAUUUUUGUAGUUUAUUUUAAAAUUAUCAAAAUUAUAAAAAUUUUAACAAAAUUUAUUCUGACAAAUUCAAAUAAUUUAAUAUGCAUAAAUAUUACAAAAAUAACUUAUAAAAAAAUAAAUAAUUUUGUUAUCUGAACUAGACCUGUCAACACGGGUCCAAUCAGUUUAGCGACUUGGUCUGGUUUGAUUGGUUCAGCAGUUCGAGAUCGGUCUGACUCGGUCUGGGUCUAUUCAAUUAUACAGGUUAGAGAUUGAGGGAUGGACGGGUCAUUAGGUCGGGUGCGCGGACUCCGGGUCAGAUCACAGGUUAAUGCGCGGAUCUUCAAGGGCUAAAACGACGUCGUUUUGGUUUUUAUUGAAACGUCGUCAUUUUGAUUCUAGCCUUUUAUAUAAAAAGCCCUAAAUUUUUUUCGGUCACUUCUUCUUUCUUCUAGAAAAAAAAAAACUCUCUCUCACUCUCUCAGACAAAACCCAAAGGGAUCGACCGGUCGUCCGUCGCCGGUAAUCGAAAAAUUCCAAAAAAACCAAAAUAUUCCUCUUAAUCUCCAAAGUCGGGAUCUGAGGUUAGUUUUACGAAAAUAGGCUCCAAACGGCACAGAUCUGACCUGAAAUGUUUGCUAAAAAAUUUUCUUUUUAUGUUUAUAUUGUUUUUUUUUUGUACUAGCAUUGGGUUCCCCUACCUUGGGGACUGUGGUUUUUUUUUGCUUGGUUUUUUAUGUCAAUUUAAAAAAAAAAUUUUUUGAAUCUGGUAGAAAUUUUUUUGCAGGGUUUCUGGUUUCUUUGAUCGCUCCCCCAUCAUGACAAAAAUGAGCUCUAUUUAUAGAACUUUUUAAGAUUCAAAUUCCAAUUUUUCAGUGGGCCUAGACUUUUAGGUGGCCAAAAUUUAUGCUACUAGGUUAGGUAGGAUUUUAGGCAACUGUUGGUGGUGGCGGUGGUGAUUUUGAACUUUAGGAAGAGUGCAUUUAAUGCACUCAUAUUUUUUGUCAAACUAAUUAGAACAGGAAAAAGAAAAAAGAAGGAAAAAGAAAGAAAGAAAGAAAAACAGAAAAUAGAAAAAGAAAGAAAAAAUAUAAUAAUAAUAAUAAUAAUAAUAAUAAUAAUAAUAAUACAAAUAAUACAAAAUGGUGUUUACAUGUGUGAAAUGCCAAAAUGCGUUUAUUUUUUGCGUUUGUUUAAGACUAUUGUGUUGUUAAAGAACCGAAAUAUAAAUACAUGAUAUUAAAAUUAUUUGAAAAUUUUGAACUUGAUUGACAGACUUGAUAUGUAUGAAUAAAUUUUGGUUGAUAUGUAUCAUAUCAAAUAACAUAUGUUUUUAUAUAGGAGAUUGAGAUAGGCAGUAAAAUUGGACGUGUGAAAUUUUUUUGCUUAACACAAAAAAAAAUGGAUCUUACAUGAAUGUCAAAACACAAGAAAUUGUAAUAAUUUGUAACAUCUAUUUUAACAGAAAGUAAAUAUUUACUCUUUUUAACAUAUUAUCAAUUAAUCAUUAAAUUUGAUAGUUGUAUAUAACUAAUUUACAGGAAAAAGCGAAAGAGAAAAUGGUUGCUGAUAUUGAAUUAGCAUCUAAUGGUUCUCUCAACAUGUAAGAAGAAUUGAAAAAUCGGAUAUUCAUAGAAGUUCUUAGAAAAAAAAGGCAUGGACGGGUCUGAGGCCUUGGAUUGGGUCGAAUACCAUCUAACUACUAUGGACAUAGCUCUUAGCGAUUUACAUUCUUAGUAAGUCAAUCUUCACGAGACAUUUCAAUAUUAAGAGAGGAGUUGCAAACUAUGCAACAAUAUUUCCAGCAAAUGGAAGCAGAAAGAGAACAAAAGCAUGCCAAAAUUGAGGAAGAACGUGCUAGAAUAGAGCAAAAGUGUGACCGUUGCAUGAUCAAUUCAAUCAUCUUAUGAAUUUUGUGCAACAAUAAUUUUCAAGAACUGAUCUCGAUGGUCUACCAACUCAGGUAUUAUUUAGUAAAUAUUUAUAUUUUUUAGUAUAAAAAAAGCUUAUAAUGAAGUGUUAAAAAUUGGUGACAUUGAUAUAGUGACGUUUUUCAGAUACAAAUGCCACUAAUAUAGCGCAUUUUAUAAAAAAACGUCGUUAUUUUUUGUGACACAUGUAUAAUCGAUACUCUAACUGACAUUUUUCGUAAACGCCACAAAUCUUUUAAUGGCUUUUAUAAAUAUCGCUAAACAUUAAAAAUAACGCCACUAAAAACCUAAAUGCCUAUAGUGAAUUCACAUAUAUCAAAUUUUAGACAAAAUACAAUAUUGCAAUGGUGGGAAGGACUCUUCAAGAUGACAAAUUACAGGUAUACCUACAUAUGCAAGAUGUGUCUGGGCAUGUUCCGUUUGGUAAAAACCACUAUUUUUUUUUUUCCGGGAAAUUUCAAUCUAGACAACGAUAGAGAUGUUUUAAUUCCUUGAGUUGGAGUCGCCAUGAAAUUUUUACUUCCAGCUGACUUUUACAUUUGAAUUGUAGACAUCCACAACCUUGUAAAUAGGAUGCUUUGGCUUCAAAAAUUGCCAUAUCAAAAUGGAGAUCAAAACCCAUAGGGUUAUCACUUUUCUCAUUACAUAUUUCCAUUUAUAUUUCUUUGUUCCUAUGUCCAAUUUGUCCACAGCAUCUCAUUCAUCUAAAGGAGGUUUUUUUUUUUUUUCAAUAGUAGUAUAUAUAAUUUUUAUGUUUUAUUUUUCAAAGUUCUUUAAUCUUUUGGUCUAAUAAGUAUAGUUUAAUUUUAAUAGUAAAUGAUUGAAUUAAUUCUUUGAAUAAAAAUAGAUACACUUUAGAAAAAAAAUCAAAUACAUCUAUAGCCAAUUUUUUUUUCUUUUAGUAUAUUGAUAUAUGAAGAUAUCUUCCAAUCUUUUGUUGAAGAGGUUUAAGUACAUGUUAUGGUGUCAUUCAGCCAAAAAAGGCUUAUCAAGUGUUCAGAAGCUAACAUCCUUAGAAUAGUGAAAUAAAGGAAGAUGCAACCACUAAUCAAUCACCGAGGUGAGAUAUUUGAAAUUGUAACCUCAUUGACAGAACAUACUCUAUCCUUUGAAGUGGAUUGAAUUUGUUCUGCAACAUCACGUCCAACAGAAAAUGCAGGUUCUGCUGGUAGAGGAAGUCUUAUGGUCUCGCUUGCCAACAUGACAAUCACAGAUGACAUGGUAGGUCUAUCUGCUGGGUCUUCUUGCACGCACAACAGCCCAAUACGGAUGCGUUUAAGAACCUCAGUGGCCACACAAGACUGAACAAGGAGUGGGUCCAUUAGCUCCAUCCCUCGACCUUUAGACCAUAGUUUCCAUGCCUGUAAGGUUACUUAAAAAUUAGAAUGGUACAGCGCUACGGCCAUCUAUUUUUUGAAGACAAAGAUGGUGUAAAAACGUAUAAACGUUAGGAGGCUUUCACCACGCUCGGAAAGAUGAAAGCCAUUGUUCUUUUUGCCGCUUAUUAUCUCCAGUACGAGGAAUCCGAAACUGAAAACAUCGGAUUUGACUGAAAAAGGUCCUUCCAUAGCAUACUCUAGUGCCAUGUAUCCACUAUUUCAGUUCACAAAAAUAGAUAAAAUCAGGUUAGAUUAUGAAAAUAUUAGAACCAAGAAUCAUUAAGUUUGAACAUUGUGUUGUCACAAAAUUGAAGGUUGAUUACAAAUUUUAGAUAGUAAAGAACAGCCAUGUUCCUCUGCAGAAUAAACCUCAGCAAAGACUGUGAUCCGGUGUACUGCUUUUCCAUUUUACGAGUUCAAUGCUAAUUCUUUCUUUUCAAUAACAUUUUAUUUGACACGGAUGCAAUAUUAAAGAUCAAAAGAAAACUACUGAAGAACCUAGAUUGGUCAAAAAGCAAAAAAAAAAAGAAUUGUGAGCCGAGAAAGUGCAUGGGAUAGUGGAUUUACUAUGUUCCAACCACUCUAUUGGUAUUUGCUUCAUUUUGAUUUCCACCAAAAAUUGUUGCCAUUCCAAAAUCUGAUAUCUUUGGGUUCAUUUCGUGAUCUAGCAAAACAUUGCUAGCUUUAAGAUCCCUAUGAAUAAUUCUAAGACGAGAAUCCUCAUGUAAAUACUGGAUGCCUCGGGCAACGCCAUUAAUAAUGCUAAGGCGCUUCUGCCAAUUCAGUUGCACACCAAUGCUUGAAUCUGGAAAAGAACCCCCCCAAAAGAAUAAUAGUAAUUAGUUGAUUUUUUUUACCAUAUUUCAUGAAGAAUCCUAUUAAAAACGGAAUGAACAAAGCAGAAACAAGAAUUUUAUGUUUGAGGAUCAAACCAAAAAGGAACACAUCAAGGCUUUUAUGGGGCAUGUAUUCAUAAACAAGCAGUUUUUCGUUCUGCUCCAAGCAGCAGCCCAGGAGUUUCACAAGAUUUCCAUGUUGUAGUCAGGCAAUUAACAUGACUUCAUUCUUGAACUCAAGUAACCCUUGCCCAGAAGUUCUAGAGAGCCUUUUAACAGCAAUUUCUUUACCAUCUGCCAAUUUGCCCUAAAAGAAGGAAUUAAAAAGCAUCAUAAAAGAAGUAAUUAUGUGAAGUUGAAGAGGUGCAUCGAAUUUUAUUUUUUAAACUCGAACUCAAUUCAAGGUAAAACUCGAAUUAAGUUCAAACUCGUUCGGUUUUUUUUUAUUUUUGGAUAGUUGACCUUUGUUUUCUUCUCUCUGAAGAAAUUGGACAUUGAAGGCCUUUCUCCUUCGAAGUCGAAAAAUUUGAGAGCGUGAUGUCCACAGAUCAGGAUGAAUAUUCCACUCAAGCACUUGAGGAAUCUGCAGUCCUACUUUUGCCGCAGGAUUUGGAUGAGUAUUGGAGCGAGAUAGUGUUGGAAGAACCCACUUUGAUCUGAUCGAAAUAAAGAAAAGUGUGGGAUCAAUUGGAUGAAAUUGAAGUGGAACAAAUGCACUAAAAACGAAGAAGACAAAGUGAAUUGGAUUGAAUGAGUCUAAGUGUCCGGGGCGAACAUGAUUGGAAAAGACCUCCUAUCCCUAUUCUAGCUCGCCAUUAUUCUUUUUAAAAAAUAAUAACAUAUGCUUACCUUGGGAUGUCUCAAAAAACACAGAGACGUUGGAACCAAGUCUUUUCUCUUGUGACUUGUGUAAUAGUGCCAGGGGGGAGAGGAAAGUCAUGAAAUUGAAAGAGAAGAAAAGAGCCAUGAGAUUGAAAGAGAUAGGGAUAGCGUUGCUGGGGGAGAGGAGAGUUGUGAGAUUAAAAGAGAUAGGGCUGGAUUUAUAUUUUAAAAGUAAAAUUGUAAUUUAUAAUUAAAAUAAUAAAAUAUAUAUUAAAAUAAAAAAAUUCGAUAAACUUGCGAACAACUCGAGUAAAGUAUUAAUAUUCGAAUUUGAUUCGUUCAAUAAGUUAAGUUACUCGAGUUCAAGCUCAAACUCGAUUCGACAAUAAUCGAGUCAAAUUCAAAUUUUUUUCAAAUUAAAACCAAAUAGCUUACGAGUAUAAAUAUAUCAUUUAUGCCCUUAAUCUAAAAAAAGUUUUUUUCUUUUUCAAUAGUAGUAUAUAGUAAUUUUAAUGAUUUAUUUUUCGAAGUUCUUUAAUCUUUUGUUGUAAUAAGUAUAGUUUACUUUUAAUAGUAAAUUAUUGAAUGUAAUUCUUUGAAUAAAAAUAGAUAUACUUUUGAAAAAAAUCGUAUAGCCAAUUUUUUUUUUUCUGUUGUAUAUUGAUAUAUGAAGAUAUCUCCCAUUCUUUUGUUGAAAAGAUUUAAGUACAUUUAUGGGUGUCAUUCAACCAAAAAAGGCUUAAUAAGUGUUCAGUGAAAUAAAGAAAGAUGCAGCCACUAAUCAAUCACCGAGGUGACAUAUUUGAAAUUGUAACCUCAUUAACAGAACAGAUUCUAUCACUUGAAGUGGAUUGAGUUGGUUCUGCAACAACACGUCCAACAGAAAAUGCAGGUUCUGCUGGUAGAGGAAGUGUUAUGGUCUCGUUUGCCAACAUGACAAUCACAGAUGACAUGGUAGGUCUGUCUGCUGGGUCUUCUUGCAGGCACAACAGCCCGAUACGGAUGCAUUUAAGAACCUGAGUGGGAACACACGACUGAACAAGGAGCGGAUCUAUUAGCUCCAUUCCUUGACCUUUAGACCAUAGUUUCCAUGCCUGUAAUGUUACUUAAUAUUAGAAUGGUACAGCCUUACAGCAAUCUAUUUUUUGAAGACAAAGAUAGGAUAAAAACGUACAAAGGUUAGGAGGCUUUCACCACGCUCCGAAAGAUGAAAGCCAUUGUUCCUUUUGCCGCUUAUUAUCUCCAGUAAGAGGACUCCGAAACUGAAAACAUCGGAUUUGACCGAAAAAAGUCCUUCCAUAGCAUACUCUGGUGCCAUGUAUCCACUAUUUCAGUUCAUAGGAAUAGUUAAAAUCAGGUUAGAUUAUGGAAAUCUCAGAACAAAAAAUCGUUAAGUUUGAAUAUUGUGCUUUCAUAAAAUUGAAGGAUGAUUACAAAUUUUAGAUUGUAAAGAACAGUCAUGUUCCUCUUCAGAAUAAACCUCAGCAAAGACUGUGAUCUGAUGUAUUGCUUUUCCAUUUUACGAGUUCAAUGCUAAUUCUUUCUUUUCAAUAAAAUUUUAUUUGACACAGAUGCAAUAUUAAAGAUCAAAAGAAAACAAAUGAAGAACCUAGAUUGGUUAAAAAAAAAAAGGAACUGUGAGCCUAGAAGGCAUGGGAUAGUUGACUUACUAUGUUCCAACCACUCUGUCUGUAUUUGCUUCAUUUUGAUUUCCACAAAAAAUUCUAGCCAUUCCAAAAUCUGAUAUCUUUGGGUUCAUCUCGUGAUCUAGCAAAACAUUGCUAGCUUUAAGAUCCCUAUGAAUAAUUCUAAGACGAGAAUCCUCAUGUAAAUACAGGAUGCCUCGGGCAAUGCCAUUAAUAAUGCUAAGACGCUUCUGCCAAUCCAGUUGCACACCAAUGCUUGAAUCUGGAAAAGAAACCCCCAAAAGAAUAAUAGUAGUUAGUUGACUUCUAACCAUAUUGCAUGAAGAAUCCUGUUAAAAAACCGAAUGACACAAGAAUUUUUUGUUUUAGGAUCAAACCAAAGAGGAACACAUCAAGGCUUUUAUUGGGCAUGUAUUCAUAAACAAGCAGUUUUUCGUUUUGCUCCAAGCAGCAGCCCAGGAGUCUCACAAGAUUUCUAUGUUGUAGUCUGGCAAUUAACAUGACUUCAUUCUUGAACUCAAGUAACCCUUGCCCAGAAGUUCUAGAGAGCCUUUUAACUGCAAUUUCUUUUCCAUCUGCCAAUUUGCCCUAAAAGAAGGAAUUAAAAAGCACCAUAAAAGAACUAAUUAUGUGAAGUUGAAGAAGUGCAUUGUAUACUAAAAAGUAUAAUACUCCAUCACCAUAGUUACCUUGUACACAGGGCCAAAUCCACCUUCUCCAACUUUAUUUUCAUCACAAAAUUGUUUUGUUGCUGUUUGUAAUAUAUCUAACUGAAUCGAAGGGAACUCCAUGGAUCUCACCCCACUCUCACCUUGAAAAUUUUCAAUUGAGUAGCCGUCGCCAACCCUUUCUUCUAAUUCAAGUAACUGAACUUCUUGGCUGUUAUGAUCUGUACUCUCUUCAAGAGAAAACAAUUAAUUGGCAUAACAACAGAGUCAAGAAAAAAUGAGGUGGAAGUGUGAUCCAAUGCAUACCAUGAAAAUUUCUCCUUCUCCAACGGAAAAUACCUCCACAACAGAACAGAGUGACGCCAAAAAUCGCGGAUAAAUUUGCAACAAUAGGAAUCCACUUUGGUUCAAUAGGAAUCCACUUUGGUUCGCCUUGUUUGCCACCUUCUAAGUCUGUUACUCCAAAACAAAGUUAUCUUCCAGUUGAUUUUUAGUGGAAUAAAUUUCUAAUUUUUGUAUUCUUCUAGUUGUUUCUGUUUUGCAGAUAUUAAUUAAUUUGUAAUUAGUUUCUGUAGCAGGUAUUUUUCCUACUUUCUUUUUUGAUGGAUCAAAAUUUCAGUAAUUAAAAAUUAGGCAAGCUUAAUUCUCUAGCAUCUGAUGAUACUAACCGUUUGAGCCACGUGGUUUGUUUACUGAAGGAAGGGGUGCUUCUGAUUCAACUCCAGGACUCUUGAUUAUCGUAGUGUUUGUUGAUUCGUCUCGAGGUUUUCCAUAAAAUGGAUAUAUCUCAUACCUGAUGCUACAGCUUGGUAGGAAAACUCUCGCACCUUUUCUUCCAGUCGCUAAAGAUAGGAUUUUAGCUAUUGAGCUACGUAGACAAGAUUGACAAUCGGCAACUGACAAAUCAGGGGUGCAUUGAGCAAGUCCAUACAGCUUCGUGGAAUUUGAAACACUAACUUCUGUAGUUGCAUACAUGUAGUUAGAAACAUUUGAAAUCUUCGUGAUCAGAUUGGCGAAAGUCUCGAGCAGAUUAGUUUCAAAUUUGUCAAUGUCCGUUGCAUUUGCACGAUUAUACAUACCAAAAGAAGGUGAUAGCUCCAUGAUAGAGAAGAAAGAUCUAUUGGAAAAGCGCACCAGGCAUGCAUCAUAAUAUAUGAUCGCCUCUUUGUCACCAGCGCAAUCCUCUACGAUCUUAGCGGUUGCUAAGUCAAUGCAGCUUUCACAGAAAUUGGGUUGGACAUCACCUCUACAGAGGAAAAGGCCAUAAACCUUGUCUUGAUUUUCCCCAACCGUAUCGUUAAAGAAACCAUAGAUACUUCCUUGGCCAUAAAGCCGCUGGAUAAGAAGGUGGUAAAGGUUGUUCUCGAACCGAAGACUAGAAUUAAAUCUUUCUGAGCAUCUUGUAUAGAGAUAAGAGUGCUGCAUUUCGGACUUGUUUUGUGAGAUAACAAGGAGCGGAGAAGAAAGAAAGAGAAGCAGGCAAAAUGCGCCUGAAACAGAAAGAACAACAUAAUAGUGCAUCAUCUUCUUCCAAUGUUUUUCAAUAAUUCAGAAAUCUGAAGUUUUAAGGCCAUAAUUUAUACGGAAUGGGUUAUUAACUGAGAUUAAGAGGCCCUCCUCGACAAAUUGACAUUUGACUUCUAGAGUUCCUUCUGGCGACAAAAUUAUCUCCACUCGAUGGUCUUUUACCUCGUUUGGCAAACACGUUACACACUGUUUUCUCGUUAACGUGCAUUUUGCAUGUGAAUAAUAUUUUUGUUAGUAUUUUAAUAAAAUAAAUAUUAUUAAUUGUUUUGAUCACCAUGAAAAUUUCCGAUUAAUUAUUUAUGUUAUGUUGUUAACAAGUUUUUACUUUGCUAAGCUAAUUAUUUUUGUCUAAGUUUAUUAAUUUUUAUGGUUUACCACUUUGUUAAAGCUUAAUUUAUUACAAUAGAAUUUAAAAUUUGAUCAUAAGGAAAAGGUUAAUAUAAUCUUCGUACCAUAAAAUUUUUUUUCUUCUAUAAAAGAGAUAUAUGCUUUCAUUCUAUGAAUAUAACUAAGGUUACUAUAGAAUCAGCUUUAAGCAUAUAUUACGUAUUAAUUUAUUAUUAUAUAAUAUAAUAUAAUAAGAGUACUUUUGCUUACCAAUUAACGUGAUGGAGUGACAUAAUAUCAUUGAUAUUUCUUGAGGUGAUGUGAUUACUCUUUCGAGAAGUGAUGUAAUAUCCAAACAGAUGGAGAAUUAGCCGCCAAGUACAAUCACUUAGACGCGCCGUGCGAGACAUCAAAAAAUAUUUUUAUUUCUAGAUUUGUAAAUUCUCCCUUAAAAAUUAUAAAUAAUUUUUUACUGUUAAAUUUUGCUAACAAAAGUCUUCAAAAAACAUUUUAAAAUUAUUAUGUUAAAUAAUAUUUUAUUUCAAUAUAUUGAAAAUUAAUAUAUUAACUGUCAAUUAUUCAUUAAAUAAAGAUAUUAUUAUAAAUAUAAUAUUAAUUAAUCUUACAAAUUUCUUAAAAAUACUCGAGAUAACAAAACUUUCUAUUAUUUAUUAUAUCAUUUCUUAUUAUUAAUACCAAACACUUCCUUAGAAAAAGAAAACAUAGCAAACACUCCCUUGAAAAAGGAAAGCAUUUAAACUUCCUGGAAAACCAGUAGGCCAGUCACGACAUUGUAAUUUUCAUCUUAAAUUGGAUCAAUUGACAAUUUGUUGUGUGUACAGAGCAGAGUUUUCCGCAUGCACCCCACAACUAUGCUUUUCAGCUAAAGCACAAAAUCAAACUCUUAAGGGGCCCAUGGAUAUUUCUAUUAAGACCUGCAUCAAGACCAAUUGUAUGAUACAAAAUGGGAAAGGAAAUUGUGGCACUUUUAAAGGUUUUGCAGAGGAUAGAAAAUUAAAAAGAUAAAAAAAAUUGAGAGAGAAAAAAAAUCCAAAUUAAGAUGGAAAAACUAUGAUUUUUUCUUGGUGUGAUUUGGUAAGAAAAAUUAAAAAGUGGAUGGAAUUAAAAUAAUUUUAUUAGAAUCAGCUCUAAAAAUGAAAAUCUCGAAUUUAAACUUUAAUUAUAAUUAAAAUAAUUUUCUUUUACAUCAUUUAAUUAUUUGAUUGAGUUAAAAAAUAAUAUUAUUUCAUCAUAUAUAUUUUAAGUAAAAUAAAACAAUUCUAAAAGUAAAUAAAUAUUUUAUGGAUUUAUAAUAUUUGACUCCUUUUUAUUUUCUCUCGUUUAUUUUUUUAUUUCAAAUGUUUUAUUUAUGAAUAAAAAUAAAAAAUGGCAAUCUCUUUUAUUAUUAUUAUUUUUUUUUUUUUUUUAUGAUAUCAGCUCAACUGCAGCUUAAUUAACCUAAAGGUGAAGCUUAAAUAUUAUGAGUUAUAAAUCCUAACAGGCAGUUACUAUCGAGCAAUUUCGGGGAAGAGACUUUCAAGUGAAGGUCAUAUAUACUAUUACAGACUUUCUUAUUCAGAGUUUUCUGGUAAAACUAUGUAGAAAAUAUAAAUGCAACGAAUUAAUAGGUCUUACGUAUCAAUUAAUGUGUGACUUUUGCGGUUGAAGUCGAUUCUAACGCGCAGUUGAAUAUUAUUUUCCCAACAAGACGCAAAUGGAAAAUUCAAGGGAAAGAAAACGCAAGAGAAAAUCAUUGAUUCUACGUACAACUUCAGGCAAAUAAAGAAAUGGGCGGUAAACUUUAUCAACAAUUGGAGUUGUUCCAGGAAGGUACGUUUAGCCCUUUCACCACUCUAAAGCCGACGAUGCACUGGAUAUCUUGACCUGGCCAAAACAGAAAGUUCAAUGAUCAACGAACGGCACUGGAUAUCUUGUCUUGUCUGAAUUUGUCCAUAAAUAUUAGAAGUACUAAUAAUGCUAAAAUAACAAAAAAAAGUCUCUUAAAUUUCAUAACUUUAAUUAAAUAAAAUUUUAUAUUUUUAUUAUUUAAUUUCCACUCAUAUAAUCUUUUAACAUUUAAUUUGUAUGUAAAUAACUUAUUAAACUUUUAAUUUAUACAUAAAUAAUUCCUUAAUAUAAAUCAUUCUUUUAUUUUAAAUGAAAACUUAUUUACAUACAAAUCAAAUUCUAAGAAUUUAUUUGGAUAAAAUAAAAAUAAAAGAGUUUAUUUAAAAAUAAUGAAAUAAUUCAAAGAUUUUUUUUAAUAUUUUGGCUUAAUAAUAAUUAUGUCUUGCAUACGUACUUGUGAUACAAUUAUUAAAACCUGGUAAACUGAAAUAGGUGUCGAGCAUUUAUGAAUUAAAAGGGUGUAAAUGUUAGAUGGCCCCUUAACAGAACAAUCUCAUCAAUAGUCUUGUUACAUUUGAUUUAAACAAAAAGGAAUAGAAAUUUUGAACAUUGAACUUUUAUCCUAUCAAGAAGAAUUUACAGUAGGUAGAUUAAAUUCAUCAAUUUUUUUACUCGGCUAAAUAUAUUCAGCGGGCUGAGAUAUUAGAUAUUGUCUUGUGAUUUAUUGAUGAAUCUGUUGCAGAAAGACUGGUCAACAGGAAUUAAUAACUCUGCCAACAGGAAAAUGCGGGUCUUUUUGGUUCAGGAAGAGCAAAUAAGGUUCCACUAGUUCCAGUUCUUUUCCUUCCUUCUUUACAUGGUCGCCAGGCCUGCCAAUGAAUUCACAUAUAUCAAAUUUUAGACAGAAAUAUUGCACUGAUGGGAAGGACACUUCAAUUUUGAUGACUAAUUACAGGUAUACCCACAUAUGCAAGAUGUGUCUGGGCAUGUUCCGUUUGGUAAAAACCACUAUUUUUUUUUCCGGGCAAUUUCAAUCUUGACAAUGAUAGAGAUGUUUUAAUUCCUUGAGUUGGAGUCCCCAUGAAAUUUUUACUUCCAGCUGAUUUUUACAUUUGAAUUGUAGACAUCUACAAACUCGUAAUAGGAUGCUUCGGGCUCAAAAUUAGCCAUAUCAAAAUCGAGAUCAAACCCCAUAGGGUUAUGACUUUUCUCAUUACAUAUUUACAUUUAGAUUUCUUUGUUCCUCUGUCGAAUUUGUCCCUAGCAUCUCAUUCAUCUAAAGGAGGUUUUUUUUUUUUUUUUUCAAUAGUAGUAUGUAAUAAUUUUUAUGUUUUAUUUUUCAAAGUUCUUUAAUCUUUUGGUCUAAUAAGUAUAGUUUAAUUUUAAUAUUAAAUGAUUGAAUUAAUUCUUUGAAUAAAAAUAGAUGCACUUUUGAAAAAAAAUCAAAUACAUCUAUAGCCAUUUUUUUUUUCUUUUGUAUAUUGAUAUAUGAAGAUAUCUCCCAUUGUUUUGUUGAAAAGGUUUAAGUACACGUUAUGGUGUCAUUCAGCCAAAAAGGCUUAAUUAAUAUGCAAAUAAUGGAUAAUAAGUUUUAUUAUUGAUGGAAUUAAUUACAAGUAUAAUUAAUUUUAAUAGUAAAAUGAUUGAAUUAAUUCUUUGAUAUAAAUAUAGAUACACUUUCGAAAAAAUAAUCAAAUCCGCAUAGCCAAUUUUUUUUUUUCAUGCAAUAGAAUAUGUGUGAGAUAUCUCCCAUGUUUCUGUCUGAAUAAGGUUUAAUACAUUUUAUGGUGUCAUUCUACCAAAAAGGCUUAAUAAGUGUCCAGAAGCUAGCAUCCACUAUAGGAGAUUAGGUCUUUAGUAAGUUUUUUUUUUUUUUUUUUUCAUGUUUAGCAACGUUUAUAAACUCCUUUAUAUGAUUUGCAACAUUUGUAAAAAACGUCGUUAAAAGUGUCAGUUAUACUUACGUCGGAAAAAAUAAUGACAUUUUAUAAAUUUCACGAUGUUUUUGUACUAAAAUGCCUCUAAAUUUACUAAUUUUAUGGCAUUUCUAUCUAGAAAUAUCACUAAUUUAGUAACAUUUUUUGAGAAACGUCGUUAAGUUUAGCGAUAUUUUUAGUAAAAAUGCUGCUAAAUUUAAUAGUUUUUUUGCAUACAAAUGCCGCUAAAUGAGAUAAUUUACUUUUUUUUAAAGAUUUACUGUUAUAAUUAAAUAAAAAAUAGAUAAAUAUUUUUAAAAUCAUAAAAACAAAUUUAAAUUCAUAAACUAAAUAUUAUAAAUAUCUAAAUAUUUAAAUAUAUAAUUUGUUUCAGUAUGCAUGUAACACAAAGUUUAAUAAGAAAAUUACAACAUUAAUUUUUCAAAUAUUCGAUUAUAUAUAUUUUGUGUUUUCAGAGAACUAGAAGUUAAAUUGGUGUAACAUGUUUGCUCUAGGUGUUGAGUCUCCUUUUAUAAGGAACCCAAAAUUCUAGCCAUCAAAGCCAGCUAACUUCAGGUAAAAACAACAGUACCACACCAAAUUUGAACCAUAAAAUAUAGAUACUUUCAAUUUAUUAAAUGUAACUUAUUGCUUUCAAUUUGUUCUUUAUACCAAUUUCAGCCUAGAGAAAUCUUAAAAAAGAGACAAACUACAGCUAAGAUUUGAGUGUACCUAAAUAAAUUUACUGUCAAGGAAAAUAAUGAUAACUCUACCCAAUUGAUCUUUGUUGACUGCAAACUACAAACGAUUUUACCAACAAACCAAGCUUUGCCUCAAGCUCUGCUAGUUCCUUAAGCUUUGCAAAUUACAAAUGAUUUUAGCUAUGCUUGUUGAGAGGAAAUUUUCAUGAAGAGGAAAUUCAUGAAAAACAAGAAGACCAAGGUUGUAAAUGGAGAGCAAAUCCACAAAAAAAAAAAAAGGGAUAGGCUGAAAAUGAAAGGAAUCAACUAAACAAAUGUAAAACGAUAGGAAAUGGCAGAAACAACAUAAAGGUUUAAGAAUUUGGGGAAAUUUUUAGUGGUGUUUCCUUUUUAAAAACACCACUAAAUACCUUAUUUAACGGCAUUUUCUUUUAAAAUCGCCAUUAAAAUACAUUUAAAAUAGAGAGUUUUAUGUUACUGAAAACAUUUUUUUGGAUUAUUCAAGAAUUUUUUGACAAAAAAUGCCUUGAAUAAUCUCUUAUAAAAAUUGAAUGGGGUUAUUCAAGGCAUUUCUAGCAAAAAACGUGUUGAAAAAUCCCCUCUAAUUUUUUAUUAGGGAUUAUUCAAGGUGCUUUUGAAUAAUUUUUAUAAGGGGAUUAUUCAAGACGUUUUUAGCGUUUUUGGCCAAUUUUUAUGAAGAGAUUAUUCAAAGCAUUUUUAGCCAAAAACGCCUUGAAUAAUCUCCUCAUAAAAAUUGAAGGGAAUUAUUCAAGGCAUUUUUGGAAUAAUCUAAAAAAAAUGAUAAGGGAUUAUUCAAGACAUUUUUGACAAAAAAUGCCUUAAAUAAUCCUUUCAUAAAAAUUGAAGAGGAUUAUUGAAGACAUUUUUAGUCAAAAACACUUUAAAUAAUCCCCUCAUAAAUAUUGAAAUGGAUUAUUCAAGGCAUUUUUAGCCAGAAAUACCUUGAACCAUUCAAUUUUUUAAGGGAUUAUUCAAGAUAUUUCUGAUUAAAAAUGUCUUUAAAACACCUUCAAUAAUCCAAAAAAAAGGUAGAGAAUUAUUUAAGGCAUUUCUGGUCAAAAAAACAUAUUAAAUAAUCCCUUCAUAAAAAUUGAAGGGGAUUAUUAAAAGUAUUUUUUGUCAGAAAUACCUUAAAUAACCUCAUUCAAUUUUUUUGUAAAGGAUAAUUCAAAGCUUUUUUUGAGCAAAAAUGUCUUAAAUAAUCCUCAAUAAAAAAUUACUGUGGAUUAUUCAAAACAUUUUUAACCAGAAAUACUUUGAAUAAUCUCAUUUAAUUUUUUGUAAGAGAUUAUUUAAGGCGUUUUUCAUACCAAACGCCAUAUAUAAACCAAAUUUAACGGCGUUUCCUUUUUAAAAUGCCACUAAAAUAUAUUUAAAAUAGAGAGUUUUAUGUUAAUAAAAAUAAUUUUUUUUGAAUUAUUCAAGUUGUUUUUUUGUCAUAAAUACCUUAAAUAAUCACUUACAAAAGAUUGAAAGAGGUUAUUCAAGGUGUUUCUAGUAAAAAACAACUAGAAUAAUUCCUUUCAAUUUUUAUGAUGGGAUUAUUCAAGGCAUUUUUGGUCAAAAACAAAAACACCUUGAAUAAUUCCUUCUAAUUUUUGUUAUUGAUGAUUAUUCAAGGUAUUUUUUUAUAAAAAAACACAUUGAAUAAUCCUUUGCUAAAAAUACUAGAGCAGUUUAAUCGGUUAGAGUAUAUAGCUAUUAAUUAUAAAGUCAUAGAUUCGAUCUCUUCUUUUAGAAAACACUUGUUAAAUCCUCAAAACGUUAGAAGGACUUAUCAAAGCCCAUUGCAUUUGUAGUAUUAUACAUAUAAAUAGAGGGUGAUAGCUCAAUGAUAGAGAAGAAAGAUCUAUAAGAAUAACGCACUAGUUGUUCAACUCUACAGAGGAAAAGGCCAUAAAUCUUAUCUGGAUUUUCCCUUUCAAUAUCCUUAAAGAAACCAUAAAUAAUUCCUUGACAAUAAAGACGUCGGAUGAGAAGGUGGUUAAGGUUGAUCUCGAAUUGGCUGUAACUGAAAGGCCAAAAGGCCUUAAUCCAAUCACACCAACGGAAGCAAAAUCAAACAAUCAAUUAAUCACACAAGAAAUAAUAAUUUAACGUGAUUUGGUCAAAUCAACUUACGUCCAGGAUGAGAAACAAAAUCUACUAAUUGUAAAAAAUUAUAAACAUAUUUCAAAAUAUAUCAACCACUCAACAAUCAAUACUCAUAGAUCCUCUCAAUCUCUUGUAAUCUUAUGGAGUAUUAUCAACCUAAAUAAACAUAUACUCAUGUGCAACUUUGCAACACAACCAAACACAUACCCAUAUGCACUCAUACAUCAUACCUGUGUGGACCCUCUCAGUCUACUCUAGUCCAAUCACAAACAAACAUACACACCCAUAAGACGUAAAUCUUAAGUAAUCUUAUGGGGUGUCUACCCAUAAAAUCUUACAACUCUCAUAUAUAUUUUUCUUAUAUCUAACCCUAUAGAGACUUCACCUAUUUAUAGGCAUACAAACUUGCCUAUUAAGAAUCUCUUUCAUUUUAAAAUUUUUUUCUUCAAAUCAAACUUGCUUAUUAAAAAUCUCAUUUCUCUUAGAAUUCUUUUUAUGCAAGUCUUUUUGUCCAUCAAGUAAUAUCUAACAAAUCCUAAAUAAAUCUCUUAUAGGAUUUAAGUUACUAUUCCUAACAAUCUCUAUCUUGACUCAAAUUUCAUCAAAUCAUCUGUCUUCAUGCUAGACAUGCUUGACUCCACCUAGAAUGUAAGUCUCAUAAUCAUCUUCUCUUGUGUGUUUUUACGCUUCACACAAAUCGAUCCUCAAAACAUGAACUCGAACUUUUUCCUUGAAUCAAGCUCUUCUAAGCUUGCCUCUUUUCAUGUCUCGAACCCUGCUAUUUCUACGUCUCAAACCUUUAGCCUGAUACCACUUGUUGGGCCAAAAGGCCUUAAUCCAAUCACACUAGUGAAAGUAAAAUCAAAUAAUCAAUCAAUCACACAAGAGAUAAUAAUUUAACGUAGUUCAGUCCAAUCGACUUACAUCCACGAAUGAGAAAUAAGAUUUACUCGUUGUAAAGAAUUAUAAACCUACAUUAAAAUAUAUCAAUUACUCAACAAUCAAUACCCAUAGACCCUCUUAAUCUCCUAUAAUCUUAUGAAGUAUUCUCAACCUAAACAAACGCAUAUCCAUGUUCACCCUUUCAACAUAACUAAACACAUACCCAUAUGCACUCAUACAUAAUACCUGUGUGGACCCUAUCAGUUUCUUCUAGUCUAUUCGUAAACAAAUAUAUACGUCUAUAAGACGUAAAUUUUCAGUAGUCUUAUGGGAUGUCUACCUGUAAAAUCCUACAACUCUCUUACAUCUUUUUCUCAUACCUAACUCUAUAAAGACUUCAUCUAUUUAUAAGCAUACAAACUUGUUUAUUAAGAAUCCAUUUCUUCUUAUAAUUCUUUUUUUGUAAGUUAAAGUUACCUAUUAAAAAUUUUCUUUCUCUUAAAAUUCUUCUUAUGCAAGUCUUUUUGUUUAUCAAAUAAUAUCUAACAAAUCCUAAAUAAAUAUCUUAUGAGAUUUGAGUCACUAUUCAUAACAGUAACAACUAGAAUUUAAUUCUCUUGUGCAACUUGCAUAGAUAUAAGUCAAUUGCAUUUCAGACAUGUUUUGUGAGAUAACAAGGAAAGGAGAAGAAAGAAAAAAAAGCAAGUAAAAUGCUCCUAAAACAGAAAGAACAACAUAAUAGUGCUUCAUCUUCUUCCAAUGUUUUUCAAUAAUUCAUAAAUAUGAAGUUUUGGCCAAAAUUAAUUUUUGAUUAAUUAUUUAUGUUACAUCAUUACCAAACUUUUAGUUUGCUAAGCUAAUUAUUUUUAUCUAAGUUCGCUACUAUUUUUUAGGAUUUACCACUUUGUUAAAGCUUAAUUUAUUACAAUAGAAUAAUUGAAUAAAGGCUCUCAAUAAAUUAAUACUUUAUUUUGUGAAAAUGAGUAUAAUUUGAAAUUUGAUCAAAAGUAAAGGGUUAAUUAGUCUUCACCUUAUAAAAUAUUUUUAUUUUUUUAUAAAACACAUAUAUGCUUUCAUUCUAUGAUUAAUGUUACUAUAAAUCAGUUUUAUGCAUAUAUUAUGUAUUAAUUUAUUAUUAUAUAAUAAUACUGAUAUAAUUUUAAUUACUUAUAUUUAUAUAAUAACAAUACUUUUACUAAUUAAUUAAUGUUUUGGAGUGAUCCUCAAGCUUUUGAUUUAGUGAUUAAAAACAUUUAAAAAAAUAUUAAAAAUUUGAUUUUAAGUCAUAUUUUUUAAUUAUUAUUUAUACUAAGACUUUGUCUUCUUAAUGUAACCAAAAAAAAAAAAAAGUGCUGGAGUGAGAUAAUAAUAUCAUUUUUUGAGGUGACGUGAUUACCCCUUCUAGAAGUGAUGUAUUAUCAAAACUGCUGGAGAAUUAGACACGCCGUGUGUGAGACUUCAAUUAAAUAAUUUUAUUUCUAUAUUUGCAAAUUUUGCUUUGAAAAUUAUAAAUAAUUUUUUGCUAUUGAAUUUUGCUAAAAAAAGUCUUAAAAAAACAUUUUAAAAUUACUAUAUUAAAUAAUAUUUCUUUCAAUAAAGUAAAAAUUAAUAUGUUAAUUGUCAAUUAUUCAUUGAAUAAAAAUAUUAUUAUAAAUAUAAUAUUAAUUCAUCUUAAAAUUUUCUUAGAGAUGCUCGUUGACAAAACUUUUUAUUAUUAAUUAUAUCAACUUUUUAUUAUUAAUUAUAUCAUUUCCUAUCACUGGUAUCAACCACUCCCCUAGAAAAAGAAAGCACUUAAACUUCUUGGAAAAUCAGUAAGCCUGUCACGACAUUGCAAUUUUCAACUUAAAUUAGGAUCGAUGGGUAAAGUUUUUUGUAGAUUUAAUAAUAUGUAUAUUUAUAUAAUAAAAAAUAUUAAAAUUUAUAUAUUUGUAUUAUAUUUUAUAUAAAAAUUAUAUAUUAUAAUUGAUAUCAAUAUAAAAAUAAAAAAUAUAUUUUUUAUUUUAUUAAAUUUAUAUAUAUAAUUAUUAUUAAAAUUUAAAAUUAUAUUUUUUUAUUUUUUAUUUUUAUAUUAUAUUUAUAUCGUAUUAUUAUAUUAUAUUUUAAAUUAUCAAAUUUAAUUAUUUGGAUGCAUUCUAUGUGACAUUUGAGGUAAAAAUCAAUUCAACGUGCAGUUAAAAUAUUAUUUGCUAACAAGAAGAAGCAAAUGCACCCUCAAUGUGUGGCAUUUGAGGUAGAAGUCGAUCCAAGAAGCAGUUGAAUAUUAUUUGUUAACAUCAAGAAGCAAAUGGAAAAUUCAAGGGAAAGAGAAAGGGAGAGAAAAUCAUUGAAUCUACGUAUAACGUUAAACAAAUAAAGAAAUGGCCGAUAUAGGUUUUCCACAAGUGGAGUCGCUCCAGGAAAGUGCUUUUAGCCCUUUCACCACUGUAAAGCUGGACGAUGCGCUGGAUACCUUACCCUACCCAAAAUAGUAAGUUCUAUGAUAACGAACCGCACUGGAUAUCUUGUCUUGUCCGAAUUUCAUUGGGGUAGAUACCGUCGUUGUCAACUUGUCCAUAAAUAUUAGAAGUACUAAUAAUGCUAAAAUAACAAAAAAUAAAAAAUAACCCUUGAAUUUUAUAAUUUUUAUAAUUUUAUUAUAUUUAAAAAAUAUUUAAUAUUUAAUUUAUACUUAAACAAUUGCUUAACAUAAAUCAUUUUUUCAUUUGAAAUAAACACUUAUUUAGUUACAAAUUAAAGUAUAAAAAUUUAUUUAGAUAAAAGAAAAAUAUAAAAAUUUAUUUAAAAAUAGUGAAAUAAUUCAAAGUUUCUUUUUAAUAUUUUGACCUACUAAUAAUUAUGUCUUGCAUACGUUCAUGUGAGACAAUUAUUAAAACUUGCCAAACUGAAAUAGGUGUCGAGUUAAUGUAUUAGAAGGAUAUAAACGUUAGAUGGCCUGUUAACAGAAUAAUCUCAUUAAUAUUCUUGUUAUAUUUGAUAUGAACAAAAAGGAAUAGAAAAUUUUUAACAUUGAACCUAUUCCUAUCAAGAAGAAUUUACAGUAGCUAAAUUAAAUUCAUCAAUUUUUUUCUCGGUUAAAUAUAUUCAGGGGGCUGAUAUAUUAGAUAUUGUCAUCUGAUCAGGUAGCGCAUUGGAAAGGAAUUAGGAUCUCCUGACACAGGUAACAAAUUAUGGAGUUGGCUACAUUCAUGAUUUCAAGAAUAACAGUAAAUAUAUCAGUUAAUUGUUGUAUAAAUUUCUUAUAGAAAUGUAACUAUCAUCAGGUUGCUAGCAACUCUUUCUUCAACUUAACUGUUAUAAGUUGAUUUACAUACUUGUGCUGAUCCUGAUUUGCUUGAAAACAUCUACUUUUGUUUUAUCUAGGGGGGGAGGAAAUUAUGCUUCCCCAAAUCACUUGUUCAAGCCAAGAUAAUUCUACAACAAGCAUAUUUACGGGUUAAAUAUAGCUUCUUCAUUAGUAUAUAAAAUUGCAAGAGACAAUUGAUGAGCAACUUAUUUGAUUUAAUAAAACAUGAAGAUUACUGCAGAGUAUCAAGAUUUUGGGGCUAAAUAAAUUUUGUAUAUCCAGUUCAUACAUAAAGUGACUGGAUCAAGUUCACAAGUACCACUACUGAAUUAUACCAAAAAUUCACAACUUUGGCAGAAAAAUGACUUAUUCAACAUUGGCAGAUUGCUAUCUACGCUGAGGAAGCAUCUAUUAACUCACUUUACCGAGGAUCUAAUUCAGAAAUCGAUGCUUCAUUGAUAGACCAUGGCAUUGAUUGACUAGUGGAUUGAUCAGACUCCAGCCCCAUGUUUGGCAUACUUCCCUCUGUUCUGCUGUGAAGGAAAAAUGCCGGUUGGUUAGGCAAUGGUAGUGUGACGGAAAAACUGUUAAGCAUGAGAACAAUGGUAGCCAUCGUAGGCCUGUCAACCGGAUCGUCCUGAACGCAUAAUAACCCAAUUUGGAUGCAUCUAAUGACUUCAUUUCUAGAGUAAGUAUCCCUCAGAAUAGGAUCCAACAAUUCUAAUGGUGUCCCAUCCUUCCAAUGUUUCCAAUCCUGCAGUGGUUCAUCAAGUAAGAUUCAAAAAGUUACCUCACCUUAAAUUUUAAUUUCGUAUUUCGUAUAGGCUGAAUUAUACUCACGUAGCUAAUGAGGUCCUCAGCACCAUCUGUUUGAUAGAAAUUAGUGUUCCUUUGGCCACUUAUAAUUUCUAGAACUAAAACACCGAAACUAUAUGCAUCUGAUUUCACAGAAAACUGCCCUUGCAUUGCAUAUUCGGGAGACAUGUAGCCACUGAAGAACCAUUAGCAAUGUUAGUAUAAUGACAAGAACAAAUAUUUUUAGUUUGAUCUAAUAAUUUAUAUAUGUUAACAACAAUCAGGAUAGCUUGUUAUAAAUGAUUUAGCUGGAGGUGUUAAUAUGUCGCAAGGAUUCCUAAAUUCGAUUAGAACCAGGGUAGAAUCAAAAUGAACUUUUAUUUCUUUAAGUUGUUCAACAAUUAGGAUGCAACAACUCAUGGUUAAAUUGCCUAUGAAACUUAUGCUAAACAUGUUCAAAACUUACUAGAUACCAACAACUCUUCUGGUGGUUCCUUGAGUUUGAUCAACACCAAAAAUCCUUGCCAUGCCAAAAUCUGAAAUUUUUGGAUUCAUUUCACCAUCUAAUAAUAUAUUGCUGGCCUUGAGAUCACGGUGUAUAAUUCUAAGCCGAGAAUCCUCAUGCAGGUAAAGCAUUCCUCGAGCAAUCCCUCCUAUGAUCUUGUAACGUCUUGACCAAUCCAAUUGUCCUUGUUUUGCAGGAUCUACAAAAAUAAAUAAAUAAAUAAAUAAAUGAAUAAGCAGUUUUGUUCACACAGUAAAUCUUGGCAGUGUUUAAAAUCAAUUCAAAGACCCAACAAAAUUCUGGCAACAGCAUAUUACACGUACCAAAAAGAAAACAGUCAAGACUUUUAUUGGGCACAAAUUCAUAGAAGAGUAUCUUUUCUUCUCCUUCCAAGCAAAAUCCGAGUAGUCUCACUAGAUUUCUGUGUUGAAGCUUGGCAACCAAUACAGCCUCAUUUUUAAAUUCCUCCACCCCUUGCCCUGAACUUCUCGAUAACCUCUUAACAGCUAUUCCUUGCUCGUUAGGAAGGGUACCCUGAGAAUGUAAGAUACCCUUCAUUAGAAAAGCUUUCCGAGAGUUUGAGUUUGGACUCUGUAUGCAUGGAUAAAAUGGCUACAUGUAAUUUAAUACUAAUAAUACCUUGUAAACUUCACCAAAACCACCUUCUCCUAGCUUGUUCCUAUCUGAGAAGUUGUUUGUGGCAACUUGUAUCACGCUAAAAUCAUACUGCAGUGACUCUAUUGUGGUUAUAUCAUUUCCUGCUGUAAAAUCAAAAUUGCAAAUGUCAUAUUCUGUAAAAUAUUAUCAAAGAACAGGUAAGACCGAAGCAAUGAGAUUCUUUUGGCACAAAAUAAGUUGUGUUUUACCAUUUUCUCCUUCUAUAGGUUUGUACUUCCUUGCUCUCCUUUUUAAUAGACAACAACCCACGAAAAAAAGCAGAACAGAGGAAAUUGGAGCAACAAUGGCAACAAUUAUAUGCCACGACUUUUGGCUUUUUCCUGCAGAAGCAAUAAAGAAUUAAAGAUGUGUCACGAUAAUUUCUAAUACUUCUCACCAUAAAGGAUACUUAGAAGGUGGAGAGAAUACGAGGGAGGCUACAACCAUCAAAUAAAAUCAAAUUCAAAUUCAUUUGAUCGCUUUUAAUUGGAGAUGUCUCUGCAGCGCAAUAUCUCGGGUACCAGAACUUUCCAAAUGUCAAUUCCAUCAAGGAAAGGCAAAUUUUAGUGUUGGUAAUUUUUUUGAAGAAAACUGUAAGGCAUAUAAUCGUCCUAAUUAUAAUUAUUUAACUCAACUAACAAAAAUAAAUAAAAAGGCAAUAGUACGGAUGGUAUGACUGCACCUGGAGCUGCUGGAGAAGGAGUUAUCACAGACGGAGGUGACGGAACUGAAACUGCAGUUUGAUUAUAGAACGGGUAAACUUCAUAUCUAAUGUUGCAGCUAGGAUUCAGCACUCUUCCCCCUUGCUUUCCACUGCAACAAUUGGGCAGAGCCGCUAUAUUCCUCGCAGACAUGUAUUACAAUCCGAGCUUGACAGGUCAGGAGUACACUGCACAAGGCUGUAUAGUGUUUGAAACCCUGAAAUAUUCGCCUCUCUGGUCGCGAAGUUUUUUAAACCUAACGUAGCAUUUACAGCCAGGGUUGCUGCAUUAUUCAUCGUAUCAGCCAGUAUCUGAUCAAAGCGGUCUUGGUCCGUGACAUUUCCCGUAUUCCACAUAUAGAAUGCAGGAACAACAGUCAUAAAUGGAAAAGAUAGAUCGAUUCGAGUAAUGUAAAAGGCUAUUAUCAUACCAAAUCACAGCAAUUUUUUCAAUAGGACAACGUUGAGUGACGUCGUUGAUGGCGGUAGACACACAUUCUUCGCAGCUACUAUUUGAAACAUCACCCUUGCAGAGAAACAGUCCGUAGACCACGUCAGAGUUUCUGCCAGAGGUUGUGUUGUAGAAUCGAUAGCCACGGGUGGCGUUGGAGGAUAGAGAGGAGAGCAGGUGAUUGAGACCGGCUUGGUAAGUACCGUUUGUGGGAAAAGUGGUCGUGUUCGAACAGCUAUGGUAGAGGUAAGUUUGUUGCGCUUCAAUGGUAAAGCUAAGCAAGGAGAGGACCAACAGAGUUAUGAAGGACUUGUAGACAAGCAUUUUUUCU
This 89458-nucleotide long non-coding RNA is filed under the name Durio zibethinus. RNAcentral describes it as "long non-coding RNA (DZIB_LNC001514)". The record is from RNAcentral. Lineage: Eukaryota; Viridiplantae; Streptophyta; Magnoliopsida; Malvales; Malvaceae.